UUAGUCUUUAUUUAAAAGGGGAAAUUAUAAAAAAUUCUCCUCGUUCCCUAAAAAUCUAGGGUUUCUCAAGAAUCGCUAAACCUAGAUCCCAAUCCUUCAAAAUCUCAAUUUAACCUCUCUAGGGUUUCAAUUGUCAAGGAUUCGCUUCAAAAUUUAGUAUUUUUUUAGGGGAUUUUGCUUGUCUCGUAUCCUUCAAUUGUUGUUCGGUUCUGAAAAUAAUUUGGAAUUUUAGGGAUUUUCAGAUUAUUUGGUUUUGCUUGAGUGCAUUUUCCUCUAGUUACGGUUUCAGUUUGAAGGGUUAAGUGCGAUUUCGAAUAUUGUUAUAAAAUUUAAAUUAAAAUUCAUAAAACGAUUGGGCGUUUAAUAAUUAAUUGAUGGCUAGCGAUACUACAACGGCGGCCGCAGCUGCGGAAGAAGCAGAGGCGGUGGAGGAGUAUGAUAGCGAUCCAGAUGAAGUGAAACGCUCUCUUGCGAUGCGCAGAAGGGAAGCCAGCGAUGAGGAGGUUGAGGAGGAUAAAGAUUCAGAGCUUCCAAUAGUUCAAAGUGUCCACAUUCCUGCAGGAGAAGCCGAGGCUGUGGAUGAGUAUGAGAGCGAUCCAGAUGAAGUGAAACACUCUCUCGUGAUGCGGAGAAGGGAAACAAGCGAUGAUGAGGAGGAGGAUAAAGAAUUUGAGCAUCGAACAAAUCGUAGGGUCCACAUUCACUCUUACAUUGAAUCUGCUGGCCAAGGUGGUGCUCCAGCUGAGUAUGAUGAUGAUGAUGAUGAAGAAGAGGAACAUGACAGAGAAUUGGAGGAAGAAGAAGAAGAUGAAGAAGGGGAUGUUUAUGAGGCCGUAGAGGAAGAAGAAGUUUAUGAAGAAGAGGAGAGGAAUGAUGGGGCGGUUAAAGUCAAAGGAAUAGAGGGUAAUGAUGCAUGAGGAGUACGGAGGGUGCAGUGGAAGUGAGUAAAGGGAAUAAUGAUAAUGGCAAUGGUGCUAAAAGAAUGAUGCAGCAGAGGAGGGAAUGGAGGAAGAGAAGAAGGAGAGUAAUGAGCCUUUUGCACAGCAACUGGGGCUUUUUAUAUGGGACAAUGUUGCAGGUCGACACAGGUAUUAUUUGAUUUGAGUGACAAUUUAUAAAUAGCUAAUAGCUGUACUUUCAUUAGGGCUUGUCAAUUAAUCCAGUCUUGUUUUUUGGUGCUGUAUAAUGAUUGUUUGCUGGAAUCUGUGUAGAAGGCUUUUGGCCUAGUAGGUUGAAAGGAGGGAAAGUUCUCAAAUAAACAUCUGUGCUUUGCGGAAUAUAAUUAAUAGGUACAAAGCAUACUAAAUUACUUGACUGAUAGAUGCCGAGCUAAUCAUGAGCUAUGAUAGCAUUAUCCGUGCUUUGUGUAUUUUUAACAGGGCUUGUCUAUUUCAAAGUGUGUAGUGUAGAAUUUUUGGGUUUAGUUUGAGUGAUGAAGUGUUAGAUAGGUUUCUGUUUGGCAUAGUUAAGUGGUUAAUACGAGCUAUUGAAGCAAAUAUGGAGUAGGAUAUCUAGUUUUGGGUUUGGUCUUAGUUUGAAGAUGGCUACUGAUUAUGCAGCUAGGUACGUAUUAGUGUUUGUGGAUUGCUAAAUGCUUUCUGUCAAAUGUGACUAGAUUAUUACUUGAAGUGCAUGGAUCUUACACUUAAUUAAUUAUAUAUCCAUUUGUAAUGUUCAAAAUGAUCAUGUACUAUUGCUUAAAAUUAUGUUUUCAAGACAUCAUUUUGAAUCCAUGGUUGUAAUGUGUCUCUAAAUUCAGUAAUACAAGUUCUGUCAAUUGCUGUCGGAUGCAGUGACUUGAAUAGUUUAAUAUUCAUUUGCAGAAAAAAUUUGAGAAAGAAAACUAAAAAUUUCUGUGCGUUCUGCUGGAAAUUUAAUUAGCUUCAUUUGAGCAUUAAUUGCUGGCAUUAUCUCUUAGAUUUCUCUUGCAUUGAAUGAAUGGAUGAGUGCUAAUCCAUGCAAAGACUUCCAUGCAUACACAAUGAAUGCUUCAUCAAAGGUAUGGUAAAAUGUCAACACGCUUUGCCCAAAUUAUCAAGCUGGUGUGGUGGCUGCUAGAUUUGUUCAUCCGGAUUUUGGACCAUUUUCAUUGACAAUGAGAAAAGCUGCAAGAUCUGUAAAUCGGAAACUCAUUAAAGUGCCAAAAGAGAGAUGGAAUUGAAUAACUAGAGAGUUAGUGAAAAGAGGGUGCAGUGAUUGUGUGGGAAGCUUUGGGUAUACUUGGGGUUUGGAUGUGAGAUAAAAUAAUUUGAGAGAGAGGUUGUAUCAAUUUUUUGGUAAUAGAGUUUUUCAGGUAACUCUUGUGUUGUGUGAUUGGAGUAUUCUCUAUUGUAUUUUUUUAUUUGUUAUUUAUUUGACGUAUUGCUAGCGGAGAUCUUUGUCAAUUGUUUUAAACUCUAUUUCGAACAGAGCAUGAAGGGAUUCACUUAUCUGAUUAUGUCUUUUAUGCUUUAACUUCACUUGAUUUCAUCUUGUUUGUCACUUUUAAUAAAGUUGUAUAUGUUGGAGUAUUAGGUUCAUCACAGGGAUCAUAUUACGGCUAAGGAAGGGGCACAGUUUAUCAGCUGCACUCAAGUGUAGCAGAGUAUUUGGAUUCAAGACUGUUCGAAGGUUGUUACAAUGCAAGGCUGUUGCUGUGUAACUGUAUGCCAUUCUCGCAAGUGCACUCUUAACAGAUUGCUGAGCUGGCACCGGAUGUUUUUAGCUAAUAUUAGUUAUUGGUCUAGAGUGUUCUGAUUUAUUCUAUAAGUAGCUCAUUUGAGCUUAGAACCUUUAUAGUGUAUCAUACGUUUCCGUUACUUCUAAUAAUGAUUUUCUCUAUUCUUUUUUCUUUCACUUUCUCUUCCAUUUUCAUGAUCCCCAAACACCAUCAAUCCAUGAUUUUCUAGAGUAUUAGUUGUCUAUUUCUACAAACAAAGAAUUGUUGUUUUAAGAAACAAAGUACUCUGUCCUGUCACCCGCGGUCUCCUUGUUUAUCGACUUGUGAAUGGGGCUAAAUAAACGGCAAAUAAGAUAUUGGGUCAAUGGGUCUAACGUGACAAAAUAUUGAAUUAUUGCCCUUUUCUUUUCUCCACAAAUCUUUGGUUAAUUUUUAGGUUCCAUCAACUUUGUUCCCCUUUAGCACUAAAAUUCAUUUUUGAUACUUUAUGCAAAAAUUAUGAUGCAAAUGAGUCACUUUAGAACAUUAAUAAAUUUUUAUUUUUACAUCCAAGAUAACGACAGUUACACUUAUAUCACUCUCAUUUAGUUGAAUUAUAUAGGUAAUAAAGUUGGCUUAACAAAAUAUGAUUCUCAACUGUUGUCAUUAAGGGCUAGUAUUCUUUGGUUUUAGUUGUAGGGCUUAUAAUGCCGUGGCUCAGUUCUUGGUGGGUUUGAAUUAUUAGACGAUCAUUCUCAAUCCUUUACUAUUCGUAAUAAAAAAUUCCUAUAUCACAAUUAGAACUUACAAACAAGUCAAAGUGGGUUAAAUCAUAUGUAUAAAUUCGAGGUCUAUUACAAACUUUUAAAAAAGAUUUUCUCUGUUUUUUUUUUUCUCUUUCACCUUCUCUUCCAUUUUCUCAAUCCCCAAACACCACCAAUCCCUGAUUUUUUGAGUAUUAGCUGUCUGUUUCUACAAACAAGUUCUUGAAUUGAAUGGCUCCUCUUUUAUCCAUAGAUCUUUGCUUAAUAUUUUUGUUCCCUCAACCUUUUUCGGCCCUUGGCUCUAAAAUUCUUUUUUGAUACAUUACGCAAAAAUUAUGAUGAAAAUAAGUUACUUUAGAACAUCAAUAAAAUUUUAUUACAUCUAAGAUAAGACAAUUAUGCUUAGAUUACUCUUAUUUAGUUGAAUUAUAUGUAAGAAAAUUAGUUCAAUAAAAUCUAAUCCGUAAAUAUUCCUUAUCACAUGAUUAACGUACUUAAAAAUUCUUAACUGAUCGGUCGCUUGUUUUACAAUUCUUUUAUAUAUCUUUGAAACUUUCAGCUUCCCAACACAUCAUAUUGUUCUCAAUUCGUCUAAUUUUUUUUUUUCAAACACUGCAACAACAACCAGUAUAAAAUAGUAUAAACUCAUUUAAUGGAAAUUUUCCUAGAUGCUUUCAUGGCAGAAUCUCAUUGGUCUAUUUCUCUUCGCACCUUAAGGUUCCUCUAACAAAACUACCUCUUAACUCUCAUGUCCGAAUUUAAACUUAAAAGAUGUUCCCCGUCCCACGUGUCCCCAAAUCUUUGUAUUUCCAAACAAACCCCUGCCAACUAAGUCAACUGAUAGGAUGGCUUUUAUUACAAACUGUAUGAACGUUAUGGCCAUGGGACAUUGGAUAAAACUAAUGGAAUGUAAAGCAAAAUUACCGAUUAAACUAAAUUGAAAAUCCAACCAAUUGAAUCGGUUCAGUGUCACACAAAAUAUGUGUGUGUAUGUGUAAAACAACACAAUUAUCAUAUUAAUGAGGCAUUGUUAAAUUCAUUCAGUGAAUAUUUUUCUUUUUCAUUUUCAAUGAAUACUUAAUAUGACAAACAAUCUGUCCCAUUGAGCACUUUUUAAGUCAUUCAAUGAAAAUGAAUACUUCUAUAACAAAACAAUAAUUCCUUAUUUAUUUGACACGCAAAGAACUUUCUUGCUCAGCUCAGCGGCUAAUCCUUUAAAAUUUGUUAAAAUUCAGUUAAUUGAUGAACUAGACAUAACCCAAUAAAUCGUUUAAUUUGUAUAAUUGAUAAAAAUUUGAACUUCAAAUAAAAUGGAUAGAAUGAUUAAUUUUUUUCAUAUUUAGAUAAUUAAUAUAUGUCAUGUUACUAUGAGUAAAAGAAUGAAGUGUAUGAUAGAAAACAUAAUGUUUAUGUUUGUAUUAAAAAUUUUAAGUGCAAAUCUAUUUAGUGUAGGUUAGACAUAAAAAUAGUUACCAACUUGUCUUGUUUCUCAUUUUGUUUAAUUUUCCUAAUUUGAAUAACUAUUAAUUAUGAGUCAAGGGUUUAUUGCGAAAAUAUGGUCUUCCAUUUACUAUGCAAAGAUUAGUGUGAUUUAAUUAUUUUUCUUUUUGCUUGGUGUCUGUAAAAUUAUGAAUACUUUGGUAAAUAAGAUAAUUAUAAAUACCAUUUUGAAAAUUCAUGGCCAUGGUUGUGAUGUAUCUUUAUCAAUCAUGGAUACAAAAAUUAAUCAAAAUUAUCGAUUGUUUUAAAUUCUGUUUUUAACAUAGCAUGAAGAUGUCGCUUAUCUAGAUUUAAUUUUUAUGCUUUCACUUCACUUAAUACAGCUUCUUCCUCCUUUAAAUGUAUGCCAUGGCGGCAAGUGUAUUGUACAGAUUACUGAGCUGGCACCGAUGACUAAGCUAAUUAUUAGUAAUCAAUCUAGAGCGUACCUGUAAAUACAAUAGGUUGCUUAGGUGGCACCAAUAUACUAACUUUAUGCCAUGUUUCUGGUGUGUCUUCACAAAUUCACCGAUAAAAAUUAAUUUCUACCAAUAUUACCAAAUGAUUGUAUUUUACGUUUCUAUUUACUUGUAAUAAAGAUCUUCAAUUUUAUUGGUUACAAAAUUCUCUAGGAUUGCAUGUACAUUAUACUUUUAUAUACAUAUUUUCUUCUUUCUCAUUCGUUUUCUGGGUGAACAUAUUAUUUUCGUCAUCAUCUCUAUAACAAUGAAGUGAAAAUAGUCCUCAUUUAAAGUAUUGACAGCAAUAUUGUACUCAAUAUAACGUAUAAAGCACGCAUAAUUUAAUUAAUGGGGCAGCUGCUGGUACCUUCUUUAGAAGAGAAUUAUUGCAGCAAGGUUAAUUGGAAGCUCAAAGAGUUUCCGUAUUAGCCGAAUCUAAGCGAUAAGUGUUUCCAUGUGAGCCAUAAUUUGGGAAAAAGACCAAUUCGAGUUAAAGAUCAGAAAACAAACACUGUCAACAAGCAUUAAUGUCAUUUGAUGCAUGAAAGACAAUUAGUCCCAUUUUUUGUCCGUUUAUUUUGCAAGGCUGUUGCCAUGCUGGCAAGUGUGCUGCUAUAACAGAUUGUUGAGAUGGCACCAAAGAUUGUAAACUAAUUAGUACUGGAAAAUCAUGAGUUUGAUGAUGAAGAGGACGAAAAAUAUUAUUUUAUUAUUUAAAAUAAGACUAUCAAUUAUUUCCAUGGUCAUCUUUUUUUUUUAUUAAUUGGCCUAAAUAUUAUAUUUUUUGUCAGGAGUCUUGCAAUGUUGCGUAGCACCGUAAGUAAGAAGAACUAGUGAAACUUUAAAGCAUCAUAAAAUUGUUUCAACAUAAGUAAUUAAUUUGAAAAAUUGCCAAUAAUGUUUAAAGUGGUAACGAAAAGAUUAUACUAUACGAGACACGAUAUUAUUUAAGACAACUUAUAAAUUAUGGGAAAUAUAUCGAUCUUACAAAUAAUAUUUAAUAAGUACAAAUUUCAAAUUAAAUAAUAAAUCCUUAAUUUCCUUUUAAUCAUAAUUAUGAUCUUAAUAAUUAAAGUCAUUCAAUCUUAACCACUUUUUCAUUUUUUUAAACUAUCUAAAUGACAUUGAAAACUCUACUCAAUAGGGGAUUUUUAUUGAAUUGUUUAAUAAUAUACUACUAUCUAAUAAAUCAUUAAUUUCCUUUUAUUCGAAUUUUUUGUUUCAAAAUAAUUGAAAACUGUAAAUGAAACUGCAAUCACAAAUGGCCUAAAAUGGGAUUUUUAUUUUUUAAUAUUGCAAUGACUUUGAUCUUGAUAUUGGAAAUUUAUUUGUAACUUAUACUAAGUCUUCAAUUUUAUCAUAAUUAGUUUCCAAAGAUGCAUUUUCCAAACUGUGUAGUUGUAUUGUAUGAUGAUAUAUUACAUUAGGGUGCAUUGUAUUGACCUGUAAUGCAAUACUAUUUUAUAUUAAUGUUAAAACUAAAUCAACAUUAUUUAAAUUUAUUAAUAUUUUAGGGUUUUAUUAGUAAUAUCUGAAAUUAGGUAUUAAAUAAUUAUUUUUAUAAUAUACAAAUUAUUUAAUAAUAUUCUACUAUUAAAUAAUAAAAUAUUACAAUAUUAUGUUAUAUUAUUAACAAUUAUUCUGUUAUAAUAUAAUUUAUUUUUAUAUAUUAGUUAUUAUAAUUUAUUAUAAUCAUAUUAUAAUAAUAUUAUAUUGUAAAAAUAUAAUACUAUAUAAUUGUAUAAUAUAAUAUGAAUUAAUUUACAAUUUAACAUUAAAUUAUAAAUUUAUUUUAUUUAUUAAUGUCAAAUAUAAUUGUCUAAUUUAAAUUUAGUAUUUUUUUUAAAAUAAACUAUUAAAUAAUUAAAAUGAUUUUAUAUAAUAAAGUAAAAUAAUGUAUUAUUAUUUAUUAAUUAAAUAUUUGGGUUUAUUAAUAUACUAUAUUAAUAAAAAAUAAUGUAUUAUUAUUUAUUAAUUAAAUAUUUGGGUUUAUUAAUAUACUAUAUUAUUAAUUAAAUUAAUGAAUAUUAAUUAAUAAUUUAAAUUUAUUAAAUAAUAAAAGUUAAAUGAUUAUAUUUAAAAUAUAAAUAGUAUUUUAAUGCAAUAAAACCUAAAUCCCACAUGUAUACCACAUUUGUUAUACAGUGUAAUGCAACUAUAAAUUAUAAUUAUAUAAAAAUAAUAUUUUAAUACAAUAUAAUACAAGUAUAAUGCCACUUGAGAAAUUAAUAUUUUAAUGGAACCAAAUUUUGCAUUUGGUUUGUGGGUCUCUCAAAAAAUAAUCAUAAAAACCAAUAUAAUACAAUGAUUCUGUCCUCUUUAAUAUUUUUCUAAAUGCUUCCAUGGCAUAAUCUCAUUGGUCCAUUUUGUUUCACAGCUUAGAUUCAACUUAAGAUUUUCAAUUUAAAGCAAGCUGUGGUCGACUGGCCGUGGCCAAACAAACGUGCCUCAUGGAGUCAUGGUGACUGAAUCAUCUCUUAUGUCAGAAUUUGAACUUAACUACCUUCACUCUUAUUGUAUAAAUAGAGAAGAUGAUGAUUCCUACAAAGCCACGUAAGUCAAGUGAACGUUACGGUCAUGGGACAUUGGAAUUGGAUCAAACCACCGGAAUGUAAAGCAAAAUUAACCGAAUAAACUAAAUUAGAUCCGACCAAUUGAAUCGGUUUAGUGUCACUCAAAAAACAAAUAAAUAUAUAAAACAACACAAUUAUCAUAUUAAUGGGGCACUUUUUUUUUUCAUUUGUAAUGAAUGCUUAAUAUGAAAAACAAUCUGUCCCAUAGAACAUUGUUUAAGUCAUUCAAUGAAAAUGAAUACUUCUAUAAGAAACUAUCAUUCACUUGUUUAUUUGACACGCAAAGAACUUUUUUACUUAGCUCAGCGGCCAAUCCUUUAACAUUUGUUGAAAUUCAGUUAAUUGAUGAAUGUGAAAUAACUCAAUAAAUCGUUUAAUUUGACUGUAAACUAAUUAUUGGUGUACAAUAAUAGAUUGCUUAAGUUAGCUGGCACCAAUCUACUAAUCUUAUGCCAUGUUUCUGAUGUGUCUAUAAAUUCAGUAACACGAAUUAAUUUCUACCAACAUUACCGAAUAAUUUUAUCGAUUUUUAAGCACGUAAACAUACCAGCUUUCUUUCUUUUACUCUCUAUUUCAUGUUUAUUCAAUUUCAAUCUUCUGCAAGUUUUUGGCUGUUUUAUUAGUUACAAAAUUCUCUAGGAUUGCAUGUAGAUUAUGCUUUUACGUGCAUUUUUUUUUCUUUCUCUUUUUUUUUUUGUAAACAUAUUAUUUUAUCAUCUAUCACCAUAGAAUGAAAUGAAAAUAGUUCUCAUUUAAAGUAUUGACAACAAUGUUAUACUCAAUAUAAUGUAUAAAGCACACAUUUAAUAAGGUUCUGUUUGGGAUUGGGGUGCUAUAACUUUUAAGUUACAGCUGCUGUGGAAAAAAAUUGUAACUAUAGAACAAAAGUUAAUAAUAUAUAGUAAAUAUAAAUUUUAAAUAAUAAUUUUGACAAAAUUAUUAAAGAUAUAAUAGAUUUUCCAUCAUACAAGUGAAAAAUCAUAUUAAGAUAACUUGCAAGUUAUAGCAGCUAGUGUUUACCAAAUAUUCUAGUGCUGUACUUUUUCAGUUACAGCUAUCCAACCUCAAUCCCAAACGCAUCCUAAAUGGGGCUGCUAAUAUCUUCUUUGAAAGAGAGUUAUCGCAGCCACGUAAUUAGAAGCUCAAAGGGUUUCCAUAUUAGCCGAACCUAAGUGAUAAGUGUUUCCAUAUGAGCCACAAUUUGGGGAAAAAAACAACUCAAAGUUAAAGAUAAGAAAAGUGUGUCCCGGACGAAUACAAUAAUUCAAGCCACACAUUUAUCAAACGCAUGGCAGAGACGCUUCAACAUGUUGUCUCAUGGAAAGAGAUCCUUCUGUCUUUGGCGUAAUACUUGGGGCAACGUAAAUUGACUUUACAUUAAAACAAAACAAAACAAACACUGUCGACAAACAUUAAUGUAAUGUAGUUAAGAAAAACUUACGUUAAACCGUUCAAUUUAACUUUGAUAAGUGCAAGAGAGGGGUGGGACAGUUGGACUCAUUUGAUGCAUGAAAGACAAUUAGUCCCAUUUUCUGUCUUGUUUACCUGACUUGGGCGAUUUGCCGUCAACUUUUCUCAUCUACGUCAGGUAAUAUGGCUUUUAUUUGAUAUGAAAAAGCCAAUACUUCGAUGAGUGGGACAUCACUGAUUUGUAUAAUUUUCAGGACUAGAAAAUUAUCUCAAUUUCAAAAUAUGUACUUACAAUUAUCGAACAUCACUAAUUCCAACAAUUUAUCCAAAGAUAUUUUUGAGCUUCAAGGAAUGUAACGCUUAUGAUAGAAUGGUCAAGUCUUUCAACUUUUUAGAUAUUUGAUAUAUGCCAUGUUCUAACUUACAAUGAGAAUAAAAUUAUAGUAUAAUUUUUUUAAAUUAGUGGAAUUAUUAAACUCUUUUCUGAAUGGAGCAUUAAAGGACUACUUAUCUAGAUACGUUUUUUAUGCUUUCACUUCGCUUGAGCCUAGAACUUACAACUCGUAUUUUACGUUUCUCUUACUUUCUCUUCUAUUUUCCCGACUCCCAAACACCAACAAUCCUUGAUGUUGUAGAGUAUUGGCUGUCUAGUUCUACAAACAUAAUAAAGAAAACAAGAGACAGCUGCCAUAUAUAUUCCAUAUUAAUUAGUCACCGUCCGAUUGUUUCCACUCCCACUGACUCUGUCGAUUCAUGCUUUGAUGAAGUGAAACGCUUAACGCACUAUUGUGAUGCGGAGGAGAGGAGGAAAAACACAAUUUUAUUAUUGCAAUCCUGACACGCGCAAAGAGCUUUCUUACUCUGCUCGGCGGCUAAUUCUUUAUAAUUUGUUAAAACUCAUUUAAUUGAUGAAUGUGACAUGAAGCUCUAUAAAUAGUUUAAUUUGUAAAAUUGUUAAAAUUUUAAAUUUCAAGUUAAGUAGAUAAAAUGAUUAACUUUUUUCAAUAUUUAGAUAAUUGAUAUACGUCAUUUACUAUGAGUAAAUGGCUGAAAUUUUUCAUAGAAAACACAAUGCUUGAAUUAAAAAUUUUAAGUGCGAAUCCAUUUAUUGUAAGCAGAUGAGUGCGAUUUAAUUAUUUUUCCUUUUGCUUGAUGUCCUGAAAAUUAUGAAUGCUUUGUAGGAUGUAGAAGAUUAAAAUUUUUAAUGCAUAUUUAUAUUGAAAACUGAGUAAACAUAACACUAUUGCUUCUAUAAAUAGAUCAUUUCAACUUAAAACCUGUUACUUGUAUUUUACAUUUCUGUUUCUUAUCAUAAAGAUUUUCUCUGUUUUUUUUUUUUUUGGUUUCACUUUUUCUUCCAUUUUCCCGACCCACAAACACCACCAAUCCUUGAUUCUUUUCCUAGAGUAUUAGCGGUCUAUUGUUACAAACAUAGACAUACUGUUUGUCUAAUUACUAUUAAGAAACAACAUACUCUGUCCUGGGGUCUCUUCGUUUACUGACUUAUGUGACACGUUAAGAAUUAUUUUUCUUUUCAUUAAAAAUGAUAAUGAAAGAAUGCAAAGAGCCCAAGAAAGUACAAUCCAUUAGACACGUUAAGAAUUAUUUUGCUUUUCAUUAAAAAUGAUAAUAAUUUUAAUAAAUUGGAUUGAAUUAAUAAUAUUUGCCUGUGUGAUAUAAAUAAUCGCUUUAGUGUCGCCCCAUCAUUAAUGAGUGACUGUCCGAUUGUCUUCUCUUUCAUUGACUUUGAAACUGUGACUUCUGAGUUGGAUUAAGAAUUGACAAAAAUGUUGUUACCCAUGAAGCACGUAAAAUUAAUUAAUGGGCCACUAAUUCUUCAUCUUAAAAGAAAAUUUUUGCAGGGAGAUUGAAAAAAGACUAAUUCGUAUUAAAGAUCACAAAUGAGUAUCUAUCACAAAUACAAGUCAAGCUACACAAUUGUUCUUGUCAUACUAUUUUAGCAACAACACUUCAACAUCUGUUGUCACAUGGAGGGAAAUCCGCUUUCUCUUUGAUGUAAUAUUUGGCAAAAUACAAUGACUUCUCAUUAAAACAAGCAUUGUCAUAUUGUUGACAAAAACUCACGUUAAAGUGUUCAAUUUAAUUUUGAUAGGUGCGAGAGAAGGAUAGGACCGUCCAAUUAAAUUGCAAGUGGGCAUUCCCACCAUUCUUGUCUCAUGCUUGUUAUAUUUAAAUUUAGAAAUCACACCAUGUCAGUUUGGUGAUGAUGUGAAAUUGUUUCACCAAAAUUUUUAUCUUCAUAAUCUCUGUUAUAGAAAAAAUAUUGGGCGCUCCCAGUGGAUGCUUCUAUUGAGUGGCAGAAUCAGGAUUUUAUUUCGAUGGUGGCCAUAAUAAUUAAACUAUAAACUUAAGUUGGUUGUGAAAUAAAAUCAACGUUGUAAAUACUGCGUCCACAUUUUAUAAAAGUAUUUUUAUUUAAUAAACUAUUAUACCAUAGGAUAUCAAAGUGAAUCCGCAUGAAAUAUGCAUUUAGGUAAUAACUAUCAAAUAUUGAUACAUGUUUGAAAAAACUCUUGAAAAUUGGUUUCUACUUACGUUAUUACAGCUCUUGUAUAAACUAACAUGGCAACAUAUGAUUGGUUAAUAAAAGAAUAAAUAUAUAUCAAGUGGGUUCUACCAUGUUUUUAAUUCAACUAAUGCUACAUCAAUUUGUACAACAGUAUUUAUGACCAUAUCAUUACUCAUUAAUUAAUAGGAACACUAAUUUAUUUUCUUAAAAGAGAAUUCAUCAAUUUGUAUAGUAAUAUUUUAUAAAAAUAUUUGUAACCGUAUCAUUACUCAUUAACUAAUAGACCACUAAUUUAUUCUUCUUAAAAGAUAAAAACUGCAGCGAGGUUGGAGGCUCAGAUUUUCCCAUAUUAGCCAAACAUAAGAGAUAAGAGUUCAUAUGAGACAUAAUUUAGAAAAUCAAUUCCAUGCAAUAGGUCUUAGUGGGUUCGACUCUGUAUACGAUCAUAUUCAAUUUUUUAGCAUCUUGUAAUUAAAGAUUCCUAUAUCACAUUAUAAUUUUCAAACAAAUCGAAGUGAGUCAAAUCAAAUUUAGAAAUUUGAGGUCUACUAUAGACUUUUGACAUAUUAAAUUUAAGACGAUUAAGUAAAUGCUAGACAAAAUCUAACUUGCAAAUUUACCUUACCACAUGAUGAACGUACUUAAAAAUCUUAACUGAUUGCUCACCAAUUAAUUGUUGUUUUACAAUUUUUUUAUAUCCUUUCUUUUCCCUAAAACUUCUGGUUUCCUAACAUCUUGUUCUCAAUAGGUCUAAGUAUAAUAUAAUUUUUUUAAAUAUAAAUAAAUUGAAUUUAUUUAAUGGUCAAGUAUUUGUUUUCUUUAGUUACAGUUUGGUUUGAAUGGUUAAGUUCAAGUUCGAAUUUUCUUUUUGUAAUUUAACUUAAAAUUGAUAGAACAAAUGGGCUGAUCAGUCUGAUGAAGAAGAAGAAGUAAAAGCUAUUAAGCAUUAUCCUAUCACCAUAUCAAAUGGACCGAAUUCAAUCAAAUGAAAUCUAGAAAAUAGAGCAGCUCAUAGAUGUACGUCGCUAAGUGGAGGUUCAUUUGUAAGUACUUGGUCGAAUUGCGACUUGCGCCGGAGGCUUCGUUUUAGAAGAGUGCAGAGCAGCUGCCUUCUCCAUUAGGCAGGCCAACGACUUUCUAUUGACCAAUAAUUUUGAAAGCGAUAUUAUUAAUUUACCAUCUAAUUUUUUUUUAUAUUAUCAUUUUACCAUCAAAAUUUUUUAACAAUUAUUUUUUUCACUUAAUGUUUUAGUUUUUAUUAUUUUACUACCAAAAAUUGGCAAACGCACCCCUAGUGUAGGUUAUCCACAAAAAUGGCUACCGAAUUGUCUUGUUUCUCAUUUUGUUUAAUUUUCAUAAAUUCGACUCACGAUUCAAAUAUGAGUGAAGAGUUUUUUUUGGGAAAAAAUCUGGUCUUCCAUUUACUAGAAUUAGGUAUGUGUGAUUUUAUUAAUUUUCUUUUGCUUGAUAUAUAUCUGGAAAAUUAUGAAUGCUUUGUAGGAUUUAGAAGGAUUUGAAUGUUUGAACGCAUAUAGCUUUCUGUCCAUCAGCUAAUGCAUAUUCUGCAUUUUAUGAAUAUCAGAGCUGGUAGAUUGAAAAAUGGACCUUAUUACAUGUCAUAAGAUACUUUGCUCAAAGCUGCAAUUGGGCAACACCGUGCUGUUCUUAUCGGCCAAUGCAAGCCAUUUACUAUUCUUUCUAAUGGAGCAAAAUAAGAUGAUUCUUACCUGCUUAGAGAAUUAGAAAAGAAAAGGAGGAUUACUGAUCUACAGAGCUGUCAUUUACUAGAAGCACAUAAAUCUUACACUUAAUUCAUUACCCAUCUGUAAUGUUCUAAUGAUACUUAAGUAUUAACUAAAUUAGCCUUUCAAAAUUUCACUUCGAAAAAAUCCAAGGUUGUGAUGUGUCUGUAUAAAUUCGCUAAUAUAAGUUCUCUCUAUUCCCAAUUGUUUUAAACUCUGUUCUGAACAGAGCAUGAAAGGCUAUAUUCGUUUAUCUAGUUAUAUUUUUUAUGCUCUCACUUCACUUGAUUCACCUUCUCCAUCUUUUAAAACAGUUGUAUAUGUCGGAGUAUCAAGUUCAUCACAAGGAUCAUAUUAUGGCCUAAGGAAGGAGCACAGUUCAUUGUCUGCACUCAAGCUUAGCAGAGUAUUUUGGGAUUCAAGAGUGUUAGUAGGCCGUUACAGAUGCCAUGCUGGCAAGCGUGCUAUGACGUAAAAUUGCUAUUUGCAAGUAAAAUUGCCCAAAACAAAUAGAAUGAGAAUACUUGUACAAAAGUACAAGAUUAAUAAAGUGAAUUAAUUUUAUCUUUUAUCUAAUUUCUUCUAAUAAGUAGCUCAUUUGAGCUUAAGACUUGUAUUUUACGUUUUUAUUACUUUCUCUGUUCUUUUUUACUUUCACUUUCUUUUCUAGAGUAUAGCGAUGCAGUUCUACAAACACGAAACUGCUGUUGGUCCAAUUACUUUCAAGAAACAACGUACUCUGUGGUUUAUUGACUUGUGACAUGGGCAAAUUAGUCACGGUCCGAUUGUCUCCUCUUCCACUGACUCUGUCAAUUCACGACUUUGGCACACAGUAGACGCCAGCUGCCUGCCCCAUUUGACGUGCAAAAAUCGAUUGAUUAUUUUGUUUGGUGAUGAUGAGUUAGUUGUCAAUUCAUGAGUUUGAUGCAGUGAAACGCUUAACGCUCUCUUGUGAUGCGCAGGAGAAAAGCCAGCGAUGAUGAAGAGGACGAAAAACAUUAUUUUGUUAUUUACAAUAAGGCUAUCAAUUAUAUAUUCCAAAAUAAUUGGGUUUCGAUGGUCAUUUUGUUUUCUAAAAUAUCCAAAUGGAAUCUUACAGAAUUAGAGUGCUCGACUUCUUUAUACAGAAUUUAUAAAGGGGAAAAAUCAAGAAAUUAAAUACUCUUCAUAUAGUGAGAGGAGAUUCGGUUGCCAUUAUGAGAAAUAAAAGAAAAAUAAAUUAAAAGUACAAUACUUCAAUAAUCUCAUUCCCAAACAUACCGGAAAUAAAAUUUUCUGUAAACAUCUUUAUUUUCUUUGCAUACGAGCCUUCUUUCUUUUGCUUUGGCCUUUGCUCUUGACUAUAUUUCAUGGUCAUAUUCAAUCUAAAUCUUCUGUAGGUUUGCGGCUGUUUUAAGAGUUACGAUAAAUAUGUUAUCUCAAUUUAAAAAAAAAAAUGCAAUCGCAAUUAUCAAACACGACUAAUCCUAACAAUUUAUUCAAAAAUUUGAGUGUCAAGAAAUGUAGUAUUUAUGAUAGCAUGGCUAGUUUCAGAUAAAUGAUAAAUCAAUAUAUGACAUGUUACUAACUUACUUUAGGAAGAAAAUUAUAGAAUAAGUUUUUGAAUUAAUAGAAUUAUUUUACGACAAAACUAUCACAAUCUAAUUUAAAAAUAAAGUUAUUCUUUAAAUUUCUCAUUACUAUUCCUACUUGUCUUGUUAUACUACUUAAUGGCACUAGUGAAGCCUUGAAUUAUCAAACAAAAAGCAAAAACACAUCAACAUCUGUUGUCCCAGUGAGCACUGUUAAAUUCAUACGAUAAAACGAGUCUUUAAUUGACAUAGGCAAUGUGCGGUCAACUUGUGGCACCCUUACUGACACGUAAAGAACUUUCUUACACCACAGCCAAUACUUUUAUGAAUUUUUAGGACUGGUGAAUUUUUCAAAUUUAAAAGAAAAAAAUACAGAAAAGUAAUUUCAAUUUAUCCAAAAAUUUGAGUUUCAAGGAAUGUAGCAUUUAUUAUAUGUCAUGUUAAUAUAAAGAAGAGAAUUUUAAAAAUUUCUUUUUCGAAUGAAUAAAAGUAUUUUUUGAUAAAAAUUUGACAAUCAUAUUUACAAAAAAAAAUUUAAAAAAAAAUUCUCUCCUCUUCCUACAUAAUUUAAGAGUUUAACAUUUUAAAUUAAUCUUUUUAAUCAAAGUAAUAAUCUCUCCUUCCGUCUGCAAAUGCUAAAAUUUAAUAUUAUAUCCGUUGACGAUUUUUGCUCCAAAUUCACCAGAAUAAAAUUUCUAAUAGAAUUGUGAAAUUCGUUACUCGAAAUUUGUAUAAAAGUCGUGAGAAUAGAAGGUUUGAUCAUAGGAAAUUAAAAUAUCACUAUCCAAUGCAAAAAUGGUUAUAAAGAAAAACAAAAGUCACGGGCUUAUUAUAGAAAAAAAAAAUUACUCUCCAUUUUCCAAUAAUUAAAGUAAUUCUAAAAUCAUAGACUUUUGGAAAGUAUCACAAAUGAUAGACUUUUGGUGACCGAGGUCAAGCCUAACGCAUGCCGGUCUUUUUCUCCUUUACUUCCAUAGAAAUUUUGGUUUCACUAUAAAUACUCGGCAUUACCAAUCCAACUAAGCACAGACUUACAAUCUAAAACACUCUCAUCUCAUGGAAAGAGUUCAUUCUCUCAGUAUGAUGAGCAGAUUUCUCUUACUUCAUUGUUUGAUUCUUAUUUCCUUAUUUAUCGCGGCAGCAACAGCCAACACAAGUUCUACUAUCACAGACCGAGAUGCUCUGUUAGCCCUGAAAGCUCACAUAACUCAUGAUCCGACCAAUUUCUUGGCUAAGAAUUGGAACACAAGUACUCCUGUCUGUAAUUGGACAGGCGUCGCUUGUGAUGUCCAUAGCCAUAGAGUCAGUCUUGAAUAUUUCAAGCUUAAAUCUCAUAGGCACCAUCCCUUCUCAACUUGGGAAUCUAUCUUCCCUGCAAUCACUCAAUCUCAGUUGUAACCGACUUUCUGGUUCCAUUCCCUCCGCCAUCUUCACCACGUAUACACUGAAACAUGUUAGUCUCGGUGAAAAUCAACUCUCUGGGCAAAUUCCUACAAAUAUUUGUAGUAAUCUUCCUUUCCUUGAAAUUCUUUUCUUGUCCGAAAACAUGUUUCACGGAGAAAUACCGUCCGCUCUAUCAAAUUGCACAUAUUUAAUAAUCUUAAGUUUGGCAUACAAUGAUUUCUCGGGAGCCGUACCUAGAGAAAUCGGUAAUUUGACCAAACUUAGGGAAUUAUAUCUUGGCUGUAACAGACUCCAAGGUGCGAAUAAUCACGGAGUUUCAUUAUGAAAUUUUUUCCAUAAGUUGUAGUAUGAAUAAUGUUCCAUAAUACAGUUUACACACGUUGAUUAAUUUGCAGGAGAAAUUCCUCGAGAGUUUAGCAAUCUUGCCGACUUGGAGCGGAUGUCGUUGGGAGACAACAAUCUCCAAGGCAUGAUUUUAAACUUUUUGCAAUUUUAUUUUAGCUAUGCUUGCUUCUGUAUUCAUUCGCUUGUUCUUUGAUUAUGCGAUGAUUUAUUGUUUUUCUUUCAGAUAGAGAUAAAGCUCCAUGUCUCCCCUCACUCAUUUCAUUCUUUAAUUUAUGCAGAUAAAAAAAAAAAAAUGUUUUGUAAUUUUCUUUUGUCAUAUUGCCACUUCCGUUUUGAAGCUCCCAAUUAAGUCGAUGAAAAUGAAUGAUGUUUCAUUCUUAUUCUUGUCAGCCUAAUUCUUAUAUAAUUGAAGAGUAAAUUGUUAUUAUGAUAAUUCUUUUUUUUUUUUUUUACCCCAAACAUGAGUGAUCAAAUUGUUUGCGCAUACGUACUUAAUUCGCAGGAGGUAUUCCACAGGAAUUGGGGAAUCUUGCAAAAUUGGAGGGGUUACAGCUGUUACAGAAUAACUUGACCGGUAACUUUCUUUACUAUACAUAUAUGAGACAUCUUCCGUUUCUUAAUUAAUAGAUUUCAAGUCUCUCACUAUAAAUUCCGCUUCUUAAUUAAUAGACAUCUUCCUCUAUCUGCUUUUAUGUAUUAUUAUUCUUACAUACCCCGACAUAGGCUUUUAGGGAUGAGUGGCGUCAAAUGUGAUUAUAAUUCUUUCAAAAUACAGAUGAAAUAGCACGUGAAAUCGGAAAAUAUUUUACUGCCAUAAGAAUUCAUAUAUUCAUUGUAGUAGCACAUAGAAAAGAGACUAUAAAUUUAGUUUCAAAAAUACAUUCUUAUCUUCAUAAAGGUUUUACAUUACUAAUUUAAAUUAAUAUUAAAAUAUGUUGUUUCUUUCACUAUGUUAUUUUAUUUACACAAUGAUGUGACUACUGGAAUUAGUAAUACUUAUAAUUAUUUUGUAAAAAUAUAAAUUUAAUACUUUGUUAACAUUUUAUCUACAUAUAAUAAUUAAACUGAAACUUGUAUUUAAAAAAUUCUAGUUACGCAUAUUCAUUUCAUGACAUAAAAGUGCAUAUUUAUGCUAAUUUACCAUUAUCAAAAAAAUGCUUUGAGACAAAUAAUCUAAUUUAUAUUUGUAUAUUUAAAAUACUUGCAAUUAUUAUAUUUUGAAAAAACUUUAUUUGCAAUUAUUUUAAACCGUUGGAUUCAAAUUUUCGUAGUUAUUAAAGUCAAAGGGUAUAAAUGUAUAAUAGUCAAAAACAGAUUUGUGUGAUCAUUUUUCAAUGUAUAAAUUUUCUUAGUUAGUAGGAAAAUUAGAAAUUGUUGAUUUACUCAUAAAUAAAUUUAAUGUUUAGCAUUUCAAUUUUGGAAAACUUGAACUAAAUGUUGAUAACUUUGAAUCGGUCGAGCCGAGUUUCGCUUCCUUGACCCACUGGCCCAUUUAAAGUUCUAUUCGAAUUCAGUUUCCUGGUGCUUAUAAAAAGUAUUUCUUUUCCUUGUCGCAGUAAUUUAUUCACAAAUGAGUUGAUUAGCAUCGAAGUUACCUGAGAGUCUGAGACCAUGCUAGUAGGAGAAAUUUGAAAAGAAAUUAUUUUACUGAAUAUAUUUAUUUUAUCUUGUUGUAACUGAAAUACUACUUUUUUUUUUUACCUAUCACUGGGGCUUGAUUUACUUUAAUAGUAGCAGCCACCGACUUAGAUGUUUUUUACUUCUCACCACACAAUUUGAUCUUUUAAUUCGUUUUAACCACAUAAUCUAUCUAUUUCUCACCUAUUGCUUACUUAAAUCACAUACAUAUUUUACCUACUAAUUUUUAUAAAUAUUAGUCAAAUAUAUUUUAAUACGUUUCUCUCGUAACUGCUCCAAAUGUGUACUAUUAAUACUUAACCCUCCCUUUUAAUUUACCGUGCAAUCUAUCUAUCGUUUAAGUCACAUAUAUAUUUUACCUAUAUUUUACCCCAAAAAAUAUAAAAAUAAAAGAAAAAGAAUAUGUGUAGCAAUUUGCAUAUAACUAACAACACAUUGAUGGUGUGUAGCCUUUCAAUACUUCACGAGUGGCUUUUCUUGUGUGUUAGUACUUGUAAUAAUUGUGUAGCAUAUAAAUGACAUUUUAUUAUUAAAGUGCGUCCAUUUUUAGAUAUUACUUAUUAUUUGAAAAAUAAUCUGAAUAUAAUUCUUUUAAAAUACAGGGGAGAUACCACUUGAAAUUGGUAAUCUCCAAAAUCUGGAGGAGUUGCAGCUUGGUCAAAACAAAUUAAUUGGUACUGUCCCAGCUGCAAUCUUUAAUGUGUCAACACUCAAAUUUCUUGGGCUUCAAAAUAAUUCUCUCUCUGGAAGUCUUUCGUCCAUCGCAAACGUCCGACUACCAAAUCUUGAAAAGCUUUAUUUGUGGGGUAAUAAUUUUAGUGGCACAAUUCCUCGUUUCAUCUUUAAUGCUUCUAAGCUCUCUAAGCUAUCAUUGGGAAUGAACUCAUUCUCCGGUUUUAUUCCCAGCACAUUUGGCAACUUAAGAAACCUUGAGCAACUUGGUUUAGAUGAAAAUUAUUUGACAUCUUCAACUCCAGAAUUGAGCUUUCUAUCCUCGUUGUCAAAUUGCAAGUCUUUAACACUUAUUGACUUAUCAAAUAAUCCACUAGAUGGCAUUCUUCCUAAGACGUCUAUCAGUAAUCUUUCUCGUUCUUUGGAAGAAUUUUACAUGUACAAUUGUAACAUUAGUGGCGGCAUCCCUGAAGAGAUCAGCAACUUGACCAACUUGGUAGAGAUUGAUUUAGGAGGCAAUAAAUUGAAUGGAUCAAUUCCGAUUACUCUCGGCAAAUUACGAAAGCUUCAACGGUUGAAUCUUGAAGAUAACAUAUUAGAAGGAUCAAUCCCAGACGAUAUUUGUCGUUUGGCUGAACUGUAUAGAUUGGAGCUGGGCAGCAAUAAGCUUUAUGGAUCAAUCCCUGCAUGCUUCGGUAAUCUGGCUUCUCUGAGGAUACUGUCGUUGGGAUCCAAUAAGUUAACUUCUAUUCCCUUAACUUUUUGGAACCUUAAGGAUAUCUUGCAACUCAACUUUUCAUCAAAUUUUUUGACUGGCCCACUCCUAUUAGAGAUUGGAAAUUUGAAGGUUUUGAUUGGAAUUGAUUUUUCGAUGAAUAAUUUUUCAGGCGUUAUCCCAAGAGAAAUUGGAGGCCUAAAAAAUCUAGAAUAUCUCUUUUUAUGAUAUAAUAGAUUGCGAGGAUCGAUUCCUGAUUCAUUUGGUGAUUUGAUAAGUUUGAAAUUCUUGAAUUUGUCCAAUAAUAAUCUCUCUGGGGCUAUUCCUACAUCUUUAGAGAAACUCUCAUAUCUUGAAGAUCUAAAUCUUUCUUUCAACAAGCUAAAAGGGGAAAUUCCUAGGGGAGGAUCUUUUGGAAACUUCUCAGCUGAAUCAUUUGAGGGAAAUGAAUUAUUAUGUGGUUCACCUAAUUUACAAGUCCCGCCAUGCAAAACCAGCAUCCACCAUACAUCAUGGAAAAAUUCUCUUCUCCUAGGGAUUGUCUUGCCAUUGAGUACUACAUUAUUGAUAGUAGUCAUUUGGUUGAUUCUAAGAUAUCGACAGAGAGGAAAAAAACCAUCGAAUGAUGCUAAUAUGCCACUAGUAGCAACGUGGAGAACAUUUUCAUACCUAGAACUUUGUCGAGCAACAGACGAAUUCAGUGAAAACAAUCUAAUCGGCAGAGGAGGUUUUGCUCUGUUUAUAAGGCAAGACUUGGGGACAAGAUGGAGGUUGCAGUGAAAGUUUUUAAUUUGCAAUGUGGAAGAGCGUUCAAGAGUUUCGAUGUUGAAUGCGAAAUGAUGAAAAGUAUUCGCCAUCGAAACCUUAUCAAAGUUAUUAGUAGUUGUUCAAAUGAAGAGUUCAAAGCGUUGGUAUUAGAAUACAUGCCUCAUGGAAGUUUGGAGAAGUAUCUAUAUUCAAGUAAUUGCAUUUUGGAUAUUUUUCAAAGAUUGAACAUAAUGAUAGAUGUUGCAUCAGCUUUGGAAUACCUGCACUUUGGUUAUUCAGCUCUAGUAAUUCAUUGUGACUUAAAGCCCAGCAAUGUAUUGUUAGACGAUAAUAUGGUUGCUCAUUUGAGUGAUUUUAGCAUCGCAAAAUUGUUAACUGGAGAAGAUCAAUCUAUGACUCAAACACAAACACUUGGCACAAUCGGCUAUAUGGCACCAGGUUUGUUCAAUAUAAAUAUUUUCUAUUUCUUGUAAACUUCCUAAUAAGUUAUUUAUGUUUCAUGAUCUUCAUUAGAUAAGGAAAUUAUUAUUAAUGAUAUAUCUUACUAUGUAACUGUUACAAUUCAUAGAGUAUGGAAGAGAAGGACGAGUAUCCACAAAUGGAGAUGUUUAUAGCUUUGGGAUUAUGUUAAUGGAAACUUUUGCCGGGAAGAAACCCACAAAUGAAAUUUUUAACGAAGAAAUGACAUUAAAGCAAUGGGUUAAUGGUUGGCUACCCAUUUCCACUGUGGAAGUUGUUGAUCCUAAUUUGCUUAGUCAGGAGGACGUACAUUUUGUUGCAAAGGAGCAAUGUGUGUCAUUUGUCUUCAAUUUGGCUAUGGCGUGCACUGUGGAAUCACCUGAGAAGAGAAUCAAUGCAAAAGAAAUUGUAACAAAGCUCUUAAAAAUUAGAGGCUCAUUACUUAGAAAUGUUGGAGGCAGAUGUAUAAGACAAUCAAAUUUAAAUUGAUUCUGCCACUCCAUUGCUCUCUAUCCUUUUCAGAGACUUGAACGGUUAUCCUUCAUACCAGUUUUGUUGAUAUGUUUUGUUAUUGUUCUUGCUCAUGUUUGUUUCUCUAUUUCUUUAAUUUGCAUGCAUGUAUUUUUCGUUCUUUUUUAUGUUUUUGUUGGUUUAUAUGUAGUUUGUUUUUAGGGGUAAGGUUGAUUAUAUCCUCUCCUAAUUAGACGUAUCCUUUUUAUGUUUAUUUAAUAAAGCUUCUCUAAUACUAUGGAGGUUCAUCAAAAGAAAAUUUUUAAUUAAUUUUCUUUUCUUUGACAGGUAAUGAAAUUCUAAUCUUCAUAGUGAAUAACUUCAAUAAUAGAGUGUAAGAGUAUUAGUAGUUAUGGUUGUUUUUUGAACCAAGAGUCAAGAACAAUUUAACAGCAACAAACAAGUCUGUUGUAUUGUAGGCAAAAUUAUUUUCAUUAAUCUUAUUUGUCUACAUGUUCUCCUAUUUUCUCCAAUAAUCUUCGCUCAAGGUUUCAUGCUUCCUCUUUGAUAAAGGAAAAUAUUACUUGCGAAUAUUUCAAUUUGACAUAAGAGACUGUUUUGCCAACCAUUUGAUAAAAUGGAUAUGAGUGGAGCUUUCAAUCAUUACCUCCACCAAAAUCCUUACAACGCCACUUUUAAAUUUUAUUUUUAAAAUACAUUCAAUUUAAUUUAUAAAAAAUAAAUCCAUUUGUUAAAAUUAAUCUUUUUCUCAUAAAUUUCAACCUAAAAAAUAUAUUUCUUUUAAAUUUUUAAUUAUAAAAUACAUACAAGUUCUAAACUAUUAUAUUAUUUUCUUCUUAUUAUAUAGUUUAUAUCUCCAUAACUCUAAACUCCUAUAAUUGUUUUAAAAAUAUUUUUAAUUUAAAAUAUAAAUAUAAAGUAUAGAAUGGAGUGGGUAUAAAAAACUUAAAAGAAUAAUUCAUUUAAGUAUUUAACUGAAUUUAAAUUAAAAUAAGAAAUAAAUUAAUUUAUUUUUUAUUAGUUAAGUAAUUUUCAAUCGAAAAAAGAGCUGUAUAAGUUAUAUUAUUGAAAUAUGAUUAAAAUUCUUAUGAAUAAAACAUUUUCAUAUAAAUACUAGUGAUAAUUAUAGAGAAAGUACGAUGAACCAAAGAAAACUUGAAUAGAAAUACUCCAAUGUAAUUUUACACAUGCAAAUUAUGAACCAAUCCAUUGAUCUUUAGAGGAUCAUAAAAUUAUUUUAACACAAUUAUUUAUUUUGAAAAACUGCCAACAAUGUUUAAAGUGGGAUCGAAAAGAUUAUGCUUCUUAUAUAAGACAUGAUAUCAUUUAAGAUGGCUUACAGAUUAUGAGAAAUAUAUUGAUCUUACAAAUAUUUAAUAUGUCAAUUAGACGGGCCCAGCUACCUUCCACCCGCUGGAAGGUACAACUUAUUUGGUCCUCUAGUGUUUUGGUCGUUGGAUAUUUGAGAAGUUGAUCUAACGGUUCUUUUUAGGCAGCGUGAAAUUGAAUUUCAAUUGGCAACUGUUUCAUGAACUUUGCAAGAGACAAUAAUCUACAUAAACAUUAAAAAAAUAAAAAAAUAAAACAAUUUUUCCCUUUCAUCAGUCGCCGCCGCCACCCACAUCCCCUUAAUAUCAUCAUCACCAUCCCAAUCCUUAGCCGCCAUCCACAAGCUCUAACAACCACCAUGACCGCCAUCACAACCACCAUUCCUCAAAACCCCUAGCCACCACUACAAACAUUCACAAACUCUAACCAUCAUUGUCAGUUCACCAGCUUUAUCCUCCAUUGCCGCUGCCUACUGAUAACUAUAUGAAAUGAGAGUUAUCAUAACACUUUUAGAUUUAAAUCAAUAUUACUUAGAGAGUAAAUGAUUGAUGUGUUUUUAUUGCAUUUUUGUUACAUUUUGCAUAAAUAUUCAUUUUAGUUUAGUGUUAAUAAGUUUUGCUUAAUUUAAAGUAAUUCGUGCUCAAAUUGUGUGCAUAAUUGCAGGUUUUCAAAAGCUUAUAAUUCAUGAAAGGAAUGCUGAUGCAAUAGGCUUGCAAAAAUGACAAAGAACUUGGCUACAAAAGAAUUGAAACAAAUCUGGAACAGUGCAGUUGCUGUAGAUAUUGCUGUAGCAAUCAUUGUUGUAGCAACCAUUGCUGUAUCAAUCCUGGAACAACGACAGAGAAAAUUCCGCGCGGGAUACUUGCAGAAUUGCGACCUGUAGUUUCCUAAUCUGACUUAUGUGCGCCCUAGGCUUUCAUUUACCCUAAUUUUGAACUAUAAAAGAAGCACACAUCAUGAGGAAAAGGGGAGAGCCGUCACCCAAGGAGAAAAACAAGAUUCAAGAGAGAGAUUAAGGGCUGCACAAGAGGAAAAAUUACAGAAAUCAAUUGGGAGCUCAAUCCUUCUUAUUCUUCUCUUGUUUUCGUGUUUUCUAUUUAUUCAUGGGGAUGUGUUUCAUGGCUGGAACUUUGUUCUUUAUUUUUCUUUUGCAAACCAUGAACUAAAUUUAUUUGUGGUUGAGUGAUAAACAAUCUUCAUGGUUUAUUGACUAGAAAUAUAUGUUGCUGUAUGUUUGCUGUAGCAGUUUGUUUUGAUAGUAUUUAUUUUAUUCAUUAUUUCGGUUGAUCACCCAUUUAAUGAUACUAGCUAAUGAAGAGCCGCAAAAGGGUCUAUCUUAGUGGAACAUAUCAGAACAAUACUUGAUCUUAAAUUGAGUUUCCCGGAUUGAAUUUUAACUUGAGUCCCAAAAGGGCUAUGCUUGAUUUAAGAUUAGUGAUGAACUAGACAUAUGGAUUCACCUUGUAGGGUAAAUAGAACAUAAGCGUGUAAUGCUAUAUCUUAUGGUGGCAUAACAAUUGAUCACUGUUAGGUUGCAUAUAGAUAUAAGAUAUCCAACAUGCGACGGCUGAGGAUACAUAAGGAUUCUGCCCAGUGCUGUAGCAAAUACUGCAGCAACCGAGCCAACCAUUAGAAAAUAGUCAAGACCAUUAGGAGAGUUUAUUCACUCAACUACUAUAUAUUCUCAUUAGUUUUAUCCUUGAGAUUGACGUGAUAAUUUACUUUAUUGCGUUUUAUUAAUUACAUUUUUAUUUUAAUUAGUAUAUUAGUUUCAUUAAUUGUUUAUUUUAUUUUAGCAGAAAAUCUGCACUGUUAAGAUUGCUGUAGCAAAUCUGAUAACAUCAAUCCCUGUGGAGAUGAUCUUGAAUACUCAUCACUUUAUUACUUGUUGUGUACACUUGUACAUUGACACCAAUAGCAUUAGUAUUUAUACACCAACAAGUUUUUGGCGCCGUUACCGGGGACUGCUUGUUCAUUGUGAUUUGUGAAAUUAGUUUUAAUGGUUCUAAUUUUUUAUUUUAUUUUAAUUUGUUUAUUUUGUUGACAUAGGUGAUCUAGCAACCCUUGCAUGCACAAAUAUAAAUCUGUUGACUUACCGUUUGAUCCAAAAAUUGAAAGAACUGCAAGGAGAUUGAGAAGAGAGCAUCGGGAAUUACAAGCUGCUAUAGCAAUUGAUGAUUUGUAAAAUUUGAGAAACUUGAACCGUAGAGAGGGGAUACAACCAGUCAAUGUACAUGAAGGUCUGAAUGGACAAUGUGUUCAAAGGCAACCAGGGAACAACAACAUUAUUCACAUGGCGAACGAUAGAGAUAGAGCCAUUCGAGACUACGCAGUGUUAACUCCUCAAGCCAUACAUCCGGGAAUAGUUAGACCCGACGUUCAAGCUGAUAAUUUUGAACUCAAACCCGUGAUGUUUCAUAUGCUUCAAACAGUGGGGCAAUUUAAUGGUUUGCCAUCCGAAGAUCCUCAUCUACACCUUAAGUUAUUUUUGGAAGUGAGUGAUGCUUUCAAGAUUGCUGGAGCAUCGCAGGAAGCAUUGAGACUCAGACUUUUCCUGUUUUCUUUAAGAGAUCGAGCAAGAGCAUGGUUGAAUUCUCUACUACUAGAUUCUAUCACUACAUGGAGUGACUUGGCUGACAAAUUUUUGUUGAAAUAUUUCCCGCCAACCAAGAAUGCAAAGUUGAGGAAUGAGAUCACAUAUUUCCAUUAACUUGAAGAUGAGAGCUUGUGUGACGCAUAUGAGAGAUUUAAGGAGUUCCUUAGAAAAUGUCCUCAUCAUUGUAUUCCUUGCUGCAUACAGUUGGAAACAUUCUAUAAUGGUCUCAACCCAAGCACUAGAUUGAUGGUGGACGCUUCAGCAAAUGGGGCAUUAUUAUAUAAGUCUUACAAUGAGGCUUAUGAAAUUUUGGAGAGGAUAGCCAACAAUAACUAUCAGUGGCCAUCAACCAGACAAGCUGCAGCAAGAGGAACAACAGGAGUUUAUAACGUAGAUGAUGCAAUAGGCUUGCAAAAAUGAGAAAGAACUUGGCUACAAAAGAAUUGAAACAAAUCUGGAACAGUGCAGUUACUGUAGAUAUUGUUGUAGCAAUCAUUGUUGUAGCAACCAUUGCUGUAGCAAUUCUAGAACAACAACAGAGAAAAUUCUGCGCGGGAUACUUGCAGAUCAUAAGGAAAAGGGGAGAGCCGUCACCCAAGGAGAAAAACAAGAUUCAAGAGAGAGAUUAAGGGCUGCACAAGAGGAAAAAUUACAGAAAUCAAUUGGGAGCUCAAUCCUUCUUAUUCUUCUCUUGUUUUCGUGUUUUCUAUUUAUUCAUGGGGAUGUGUUUCAUGGCUGGAACUUUGUUCUUUAUUUUUCUUUUGCAAACCAUGAACUAAAUUUAUUUGUGGCUGAGUGAUAAAUAAUCUUCAUGGUUUAUUGACUGGAAAUAUAUGUUGCUGUAUGUUUGCUGUAGCAGUUUGUUUUGAAAGUAUUUAUUUUAUUCAUUAUUUCGGUUGAUCACCCAUUUAAUGAUACUAGCUAAUGAAGAGCCGCAAAAGGGCAUAUCUUAGUGGAACAUAUCAGAACAAUACUUGAUCUUAAAUUGAGUUUCCCGGAUUGAGUUUUAACUUGAGUCCCAAAAGGGCCAUGCUUGAUUUAAGACUAGUGAUGAACUAGACAUAUGGAUUCACCUUGUAGGGUAAAUAGAACAUAAGCGUGUAAUGUUAUAUCUUAUGUUGGCAUAACAAUUGAUCACUGUUAGGUUGCAUAUAUAUAUAAGAUAUCCAACAUGUGAUGGCUGAUGAUACAUAAGGAUUCUGCCCAGUGCUGUAGCAAAUACUGCAGCAACCGAGCCAACCAUUAGAAAAUAGUCAAGACCAUUAGGAGAGUUUAUUCACUCAACUACUAUAUAUUCCCAUUAGUUUUAUCCUUAAACUUGACGUGAUAAUUUACUUUAUUGCAUUUUAUUAAUUACGUUUUAUUUUAAUUAGUAUAUUAGUUUCAUUAAUUGUUUAUUUUAUUUUAGCACAAAAUCUGCACUGUUAAGAUUGCUGUAGCAAAUCUGAUAACAUCAAUCCCUGUGGAGACGAUCUUGAAUACUCAUCACUUUAUUACUUGUUGUGUACACUUGCACAUUGACACCAAUAGCAUUAGUAUUUAUACAUCAACACCUACCAAUUAUCCACAACACUUAACCACUGUCACCAACAAACCUUAGCCGCCGCCUCCUACAAGCAAGCCUCACCACCCACCAUACUAUUGCGACAGAGGCCACAAUGUAGGCAAGAUCCAAUAGAGGAGGGAUGUCUUCAUUCUCCGGCUAACUAUUAUUUUUUGUCUUUUUUAUUUUUUAAUUAUUAUAUUACUUUUAGUUAUUUUUAGUUUUUCUUUUAUUUUGUCUAUAUUUUGGUUGUUAGAUUGUUUUUGUUGUUGCCGGCGGUAAUGGAGUUGCAGCUCGUGAUGAUGAUGGUGAUGUUGGUGUCAUUUUAAUCGAGAUUUUGUUUUUUUUUACGGGUACGGCAGUCAUCUUCAUUCAUUACGUGUCCAUUUCUAACAUGUUAGAUUUAACUAUUUUUUAAUCCAAGGGUUAGACCACAAUGAGACAAAGGAUGGGGUACCUUCCAACGGGUGGAAGGUAGUUUCGGCCCAAUUAGACUGAGUCUAUACAAUAAAAAUUUUAUAUUAAAAAAUAAACCUUUUAGUUUCUUUUAAUCAUAAGUGUGAUCUUAAUUGUUGAAGUCAUUCAAUGUCCAUUACUUAUUCAUUUUUUUAAUAACCUAAAUGACAUUGAAAACUCUACUCAAUAAUAAUUCGUUCAAAUGUUUUAUUUUAAAGUAAUUGGAAACUGCAAAUGAAACAAAUACUUGAAAUCACAGACGGUCUAAAAUUAGAUUUUCAUUUUUCAAUGUUGCAGUGACUUUGAUCUUGAUAUUCAAAAUUUAUUUGUAACUUAUAUAAAGGCCUCAAUGUUAUUAGUGUUUUAUAUUAUAAUCUUUUCAUUGUCACUUUAAACAUUUUUUGUAACUUAAAUCAUUUUUUUAAAAUUAAAUAUAAAACUUAAUUUAAUUACAUAUAAAAAUCAUUUAAAUUAAAUAUUAACAUUAAUUUAUAAUUUUUUUUACCUAGAAUUUUGUAUUAUAUUAAAUACUAAAAUUCUAUUCGAUAAUGUAUUAUCAUUUAUUUAAUAAAUGUUUAGGUUUUUAGUAUGUUAUAUUAUUAUUUAAAUUACUUUUUUAUUUACAUAUAAACAUAAAUUAAUAUUUACUACUUUAAAUUUAUUAUAAUUUGUUAAAUAAUAAAAGCUAAAUGAUUAUAUUGAAAAUAUAAAUAGUAUUAUAAUGUAUUAUAGUCUAAAUCUUACCCCUAUGAGUUUAUUUUAUACACCUUUUAUUAUAUUAACCACAUUUAUAAUGAAGUGCAAUGCAACAAAAAAUUAUAACCAAAUAUGAGUUAGCAUGAAAAUAAUAUUUUAGUACAAUGUAAUGUAAGCUGACAAAUGGAUAUUUAAUGGAAGCAAAAUUUGCAUAUGGUUUGUGGGUCUCUCAAAAGACAACAAAGAAACCAAUACGAUACACUAAUUCUAUCCUCUUUAAUGGUGUCUUUACUAAAUGGGAAUCAUAAUGAAUUGGAAUUGAAAUGGGCUUGAAUCGAAAUAAGGAAUUAGAAUCAGAAUAAGUUGUUUGUUUAAGUUGUAUGAAUUAGAAUCGAAAUAGUUUUUAUUCAAAUUGAUGUGUUUAUUUUCUCUUGAAAUUAGAAUGGACUAUUACAAGUUACUACAAAAUCAUUUCGUAAUUGUUGUCUCUAAUAUUAUUUGUACCUGUUAUAAUGUUAACAAUAAUAAGAAUAAAAAUAAUACUAAAAAUGAAAAUAAUAAUAAUAAAGACAAUUAUAAUAAAAUUAAUAAAUUAUUAUUACUACUACUACUACUAGUACUGAAGACCGCCUAGUGAAGAUUGGAUAGUGAAGAUGAAGAUGACGAUCCUGGCAACCAACUGCUGCUUCAAAGAUGAUGUGCCCAAAUGGAGACAACCAGGGAUGACCAGCCAACUAGAUCCCAAUCUCGAUGUUGUGAUCUCGCAUGACCAUUGAUAAAGCGAUGUGUGAUGCCAGUGUUGUGAUUUCUUUUUAUUUAUAUUUUUUAAUUUAUUGGGGGUAUUUUUAAAAUUUAGUAAUUUUAAUAUGGAAAAAUUAGAUUGUCGAGGGAAUAGGAGACUGAUUCCCAACCAUCCUAAGAAUUAGUCUAUCAUUCUCUAUUUCUAAUUUGAUGUGCGUCCAACUAUUUCACUUCCACUUCUUACAUUUAUUUGUAAAGUAAAUGAAGUUAAUGAUUUCGAUUUCCAAUUGGAGAUGUAAACACAUCAUAAUAUUUUUUUAGAUACUUCCAUGGCAUAAUCUCAUUGGUCCAUUUUUCUUCAUGCCUUAGAUUCAACUUCAAGAUUAAGCCUGCGGCUGACUGGCAGUGGCCAAGCAAAUGUAACUCAUAGUGACCGAACCAUAUCUUAUUAUCUUACGCCAGAAGUUAAACAAUGUUCCCAUUCCACGUGUCACUCUCUGACCGAUCCCCAAACUUGCUACAUAUUUCCAAAGAAACCCUUACCAAGUCAAGAUAAUUACCUUCACUCUACUUCUAUAAAUACUGUCGUCGAUUCAACUGAUGAUGACAUAUCCUUACAGUCUUUAUUUAAAAGGAAAAAUUAUAAAAAAUUAUCCUCGUUCCAUAAAAAUCUAGGGUUUCUCAAGAAUCGCUUGAAAAUUUAGUAUUUUUUAGUGGAUUUUGCUUGUCUCGUAUGCUUCAAUUGUUGUUCGGUUCUUAAAAUAAUUUGGAAUUUUAGGGAUUUUCAGAUUAUUUAGUUUUGUUUGAGUGCAAUUUCCUCUAGUUACGGUUUCAGUUUGAAGGGUUAAGUGCAAUUUCGAAUUUUUUGUUAUAAAAUUAAAAUUAAAAUUCCUAAAACGAUUGGGCGUUUAAUAAUUAAUUGAUGGCUAGCGAUACUACAACGGCGGCCGCAGCUGCGGAAGAAGCAGAGGCGAUGGAGGAGUAUGAUAGCAAUCCAAAUGAAGUGAAACGCUCUCUUGUGAUGCGCAGAAGGGAUGCCAGUGAUGAGGAGGAGGCGGAGGAUGAGAGAGAUUCAGAGCUUCCAAUCGCUCAAAGGCAAGAGCAGAAGGGAAACAAGCGAUGAUGAGGAGGAGUAGACAGAAUUUGAACGUCGAAUAAAUGGAAGGGUCCAGAUUCACUCUUACAUUGAAUCUGAUGGCCAAAGUGGUGCUCCAGCUGAGUAUGAUGAUGAUGAAGAAGACGAAGAGGAACAUGACACAGAAUUAGAAGAAGAAGAUGAAGAAGGGGAUGUUUAUGAGUAUGAAGAGGAAGAAGAUUUUUAUGAAGAGGAGGAGAGGAAUGACGAGGCGGUUAAAGUCAAAGAAAUAGAGGGUAAUGAUGCAAGAGGAGUACGGAGGGCGCAGUGGAAGUGAGUAAAGGGAAUUAUGAUAAUGGCAAUGGGCAGCGAAGGAGGGAAUGGAGGAAGGGGAGAAGGAGAGUAAUGAGCCUUUUGCACAGCAGCCGGGGCUUUUUAUAUGGGACAAUGUUGCAGGUCGACACAGGUAUUAUUUGAUUUGAGUGACAAUCUAUAAAUAACUGAUAGCUGUACUUUCAUUAGGCUUGUCGAUUAGUCUAGUCUCGUUUUUUGGUGCUGUCUAAUGAUUGUUGGCUGGAAUCUGUCUAGAAGGCUUUUGGCCUAGUAGGUUGAAAGGAGAGAAAGUUCUCAAGUAAACAUCCGUGCUUUGUGGAAUAUAAUUAAUAGGGACAAAGUAUACUAAAUUACUUGAUAGAUAGUGCCGAGCUAAUCAUGAGCUAUGAUAGCAUUAUCCGUGCUUUGUGUAUAUUUAUUAGGGCUUGUCUAUUUCAAAGUGUGCAGUAUAGAAUUUUUGGGUUAAGUUUGAGUGAUGAAGUGUUAGAUAGGUUUCUGUUUUGCAUAGUUAAGCCGUCAAUAUGAGCUAUCGAAGCAAAUAUGGAGUAGGAUAUCUAGUUUUGGCCCAAAUUAUCAAGCUGGUUUGGUGGCUGCUAGAUUUGUUCAUCCGGAUUUUGGACCAUUUUCCUUGACAAUGAGAAAAGCUCCAAGAUCUGUAAAUCGAAAAUUCAUUGAAGUGCCAAAAGAGAGAUGGAAGUGAAUAACUAGAGUGUUAGUGAAAAGAGGGUGCAGUGAUUGUGUGGGAAGCUUUGGGUAUAACUGGGGUUUGGAUGUGAGAUAAAAUAUUUUGAGAGUGAAGUUGUAACAAUUUUGCACGUAGAGAAAUUUUUUGUCUCGUUGUCCUUGGCAACUGUGGUUUUUUAUUUGGGUAAUAGAGUUUUUCAGGUAACUCUUUUGUUGUGUGAUCCGAGUAUUCUCUAUUGUAUUUCUUUUAUUUGUUAUUUAUUUGACGUAUUGCUAGCAGAGAUCUUGGGUGGGAACCAAAAAUUCCCAACAAUUGUCAGUUGUUUUAAACUCUAUUCCGAACAGAGCAUGAAGGGAUUCACUUAUCUAAUUAUGUCAUUUAUGCUUUAACUUCACUUCAUUUCAUCUUGUCCGUCACCUUUACUAAAGUUGUGUAUGUUGGAGUAUUAGGUUCAUCACAAGGAUCAUAUUAUGGCUAAGGAAGGAGCACAGUUUAUUAGCUACACUCAAGUGUAGCAGAGUAUUUGGAUUCAAGACUGUUAUAAGGUUGUUACAGAUGCAAUGCUGUUGCUGUGCAACUGUAUGCCAUGCUCGCAAGUGCGCUGUAACAGAUUGCUCAGCAGGCACCGGAUAUUUUAAGCUAAUUUUGGUAAUUAGUCUAGAGUGUUCUGAUUUAUUCUAUAAAUAGCUCAUUUGAGCGUAGAUAUCUACAUUUCUGUUACUUCUAAUAAAGAAUUUCUUUAUUCCUUUUUCUUUCACUUUCUCUUUCAUUUUCAUGAUCCCCAAACACCAUCAAACAUAGAAUUGCUGUUUUAAGAAACAAAGUACUCUAUCCUGUCACCCAGCGGUCUCCUCGUUUAUCGACUUGUGAACAGGGGGCAAAACGUGACAAGUUCUUGAAUUGAAUGGGUCCUCUUUUCUCCAUAAAUCUUUGCUUAAUUUUUUUUGUUCCCUCAACCUUUUUUGGCCUUUUGCGCUAAAAUUCUUUUAUUUGAUACAUUAUGCAAAAAUUGAUGAAAAUAAGUUACUUUAGAACAUCAAUAAAUUUUUAUUACAUGAUAAGACAAUUAUACUUAAAUUACUCUUAUUUAAUUGAAUUAAAUGUAAUAAAAUUAGUUCAACAAAAUCUAAGCCGUAAAUAUUCCUUAUCACAUGAUUAACGUACUUAAAAAAUCAUAACUGAUCGGCCGCUUGUUUUACUAUAAAAGAUUGGUGUGAUUUAAUUAUUUUUCUUUUUGCUUCGUGUCUGUAAAAUUAUGAAUACUUUGGCAAAUAAGAAAAUUAUAAACACCAUUUUGAAAAUCCAUGGCCAUGGCUGUGAUGUGUCUUUAUCAAUCACGGAUACAAAAAUUAAUCAAAAUUAUCGAUUGUUUUAAAUUUUGUUUUUAACAGAGCAUGAAGAUGUCGCUUAUCUAGAUUUACUUUUUAUGCUUUGACUUCACUUAAUACGGCUUCUUCCUCCUUUAACUGUAUUUUUGGUUUGUCUUCACAAAUUCACCGAUACAAAUUAAUUUCUACCAAUAUUACCAAAUGAUUACUGAGCUGCUAGAACCUUCUUUAGAAGAGAAUUAUUGCGGCAAGGUAAUUGGAAGCUCAAAGAGUUUCCGUAUUAGCUGAAUCUAAGCGAUAAGUGUUUCCAUGUGAGCCAUAAUUGGGGAAAAAGACCAAUUCAAGUUAAACAAUUAUUAAUUAUUUUAAACUAUGUUCUGAACAGAGCAUGAAGGGUUUCACUUACCUAGUUACGUUUUUCAUUCUUUCACUUCACUUGAUUUCAUCUUGUCCCUAUCGUUUAUAAAAGUUGCAUAUAUUGGAGUAUCAAGUCCAUCACAAGGAUCAUAUUCUGGCUAACGAAGGAGCACAGUUCAUUGGCUGCACUCAUGUGUAGCAGAGUAUUUGGAUUCAAGACUUACAAUUGCGGAGGUAAUUAGUGUAGAGUGUUCUGUGAUUUAUUCUAUAAGUAGCUCAUUUGUGCUUAAAACCUACAUGUCUUGUACGUUUCUAUCGGUAAUUUAAUUACCUUUCCGUACUUUAUCAAUCAUCGAAUGAUUUUACUGGUUUGAUCGCUUGAUUGUUUGAUCGUCUGUCUGCAAGUAAUUUACAAUUCACUCUCCAAUUUUCAUUAAUUUAGUCUACCAAAGCUUUAACUAGAUAGGUAGAUAACGUGGUCAUGAAAACUUGAUUAAGAGUUUAAUGCAAUCAAAUCUACUUUAAUGAUUAUUUAAUGCACGGAGAUUUAACAUCAAUUAUCAUCACGUUAUUCUAACAGCGAGAUUGCACAAACUCAGAAGCACAAACUUUCAACAAUGAUAAUAGGUAAAAAUUGAUAAUCUUAUAAUAAAAAGCAAGAAAAAAAAAGUUGAUUUAGGAGGUAAGAAUAAAAAAAGAAAAAUAGAGAGAGAAAUUAGUUUAGGCUCUAACCAUUGUUAUAGUAGAGAAAAAAAAAAUUGAUCAAGAGUAAUUUUAUGACUUUUUAGAAAAGAGUGAAUUAAAAUAAUAAGUUAUAAUUUGAUUAUUAUCUUAAUUAAAAAAAUGGGGUUGAAAUAAAAUUAGUGAAUUUAAAUAGUCUGCCCAAAAUCCAAACUUGCAUAUCAAUUAUUUUCUAAUUUACAUGAAGUUUUUCUAUAUGUUUGAUAACAUUUGAUUCUCAAUUGGUCUAAUGGAGAAACAACCAGCAAAAAAAUAAAAUGAAUGCAAUUAAAUGGAAAUUUGAAAAGAGCAGUAGAUGACAUUUGUGUGCAAGCAAAAUGCAAAAUUGCAUUCUGUUUGUGGGAUCCUGGAAAAAAUAAAAGAAAGAAAACAGAGUAAGACGCUGAUACUGUGGGCUUUAAUAUUUUUCUAGAUGCUUCCAUGGCAGAUUCUCGUUGGUUCAUUUUUCUUUACGCCUUAGAUUCUAUGAUUCAAUUUCAAUCAAAUACGACAAACAAAAGAAGCUUUUAAGCCUGCAGCUCAAAAAGAUGGCACUUUAAUUUUCGGCUGAACAUACAUAUGGCAAGAUUAUUAUUAUUGAGCUUCAUAAGUGGGGAUAGCAAAAUCCGAAUUGGGAUGUAGGUGCAUUCGGAUUUGGAUUCGGGAAAAAAUAUGUGGAUGUGGAUUUGGAUGCGGAUAAUAUAUGUACGGAUUGUGGGUGAAUAUUCCGGAUAUUCAGAUCCGCAUAAUAAAAAAUUAUAAAAUAUUGCGGCUUCAAAGCCCAUAUGAUCAUGGGCCACCGCUUGCCCAUGCUUUGAAUCAAAAUUUUCUAAUGAAGUGAGGUUGGAAGCUGAAAGGGGCAAAUGAUAUAUUGAGCCCAACGGGACAAGAUCAUCAUUUAAUUCCCUCCUCUUGUCGAUAGAUGUUUGCCGAAUUUUUUCAUUUAAAAAAUAUUAUAUUGGUUAAUAGAAUUUGAAGUUUUACAAAAUAUAAGUUUAAUUUAAAAAAAUUAUAUUUGUUAAUUUAAAUUUUUCAUUUGGUGGUUGUGUUUGAGAAAAAUUUUAGGUAUACUCGGAUAUACUCUCUUAUUAUUCAUUGAAUUUGGGCAUUUAAAACAUACUAGUAUGCAAUAUUUUUAAGUAAUUACCAGAGAAGUAUACAUGAGAAAAAUAUAACACGUGAAACAAUACACAAUGAAAUUAUCUACAAUUUUCCAUUGACUUAGUCAACUCUUCAUUAAUUUCAUUGACUUGAUCAACUCAUGAUCUAACUUGACAACUUGAAAAUUAAAUUAUGCUAGUAAUUCUGUAAAAUAUGCUAGUAAUUCCGUAAAAUUAAAAUUUAUCUCCCAAAAUUGAUAAAUACUGUGUCACUUUGUCAAAUUACUUAGGGUAAAAGCUCUGUGGCUAAAAACUUUUAACAUUAGUUGUAUGCUAAUUGAGAAGGACAAGACACGAAAGAAUUCAAUGAAUGCCACAUCAUGUAACACUAAUACUAACACUACUUACUCUUAACAAAUUCUUACAAACGUGAUUCAUGAAAUUAACUUGACUUUUUGUCUAAAAAAGGCCUAAAGAAACAUGCCAAGCAACAAAUAAAGUAGUCCAAACGUGAUUCAUGAAACUUGAUAGGCACUAUCUAAAUAGUAUUAAUAUGGCAACCAAAAACAUGCGCGCAAAGUAGACUUUCUUGGACGAUCCAUGCCAAUCAGCAUAUAAAGUAGUCCAAACGUGAUUCGUGAAACUUGACUUCUUGUCUAAAAAGGCCUAAAGAAACAAGACCAAAAUUUCCAUGCAAUAGCAAUAUGGUGGCCACAAUGCACUUUUUAAGCCAUUUUUCAAAACUAAGUUUCUUCGUAUCACAUGCACUAUUCAAGCAAUUUUUCAACAUUUUCUCCUUCCCCUAAAAGCUACAUGCAUGAAUCAUGUCCCAAUCAAUUUCUUGGCAAAAAUUGGAACGCAAGAACCGAUUGGAGCAUAAGGACAAUGUCGCGAUUCAAGAUUCUCAGCAAGACCACGUCACAAUGCAUCACUUUUGGAAAGUAAUUUAGCAAUUUCCAAUGCCUUAGCUGAUUAAUGGCUUGACCAUGUGACGAUUGGUCCACCUUAUGCACAUGGCAAGAUCAAAGAAAAUAUCACAGCUAGCUCGACGACUACUAGCCAAAAUAACAAGACAAUGACGGCCAGUUACAAACUCUUUACGAAGGAAAUACCGAAAUAUGAAUAUCCCUCCUAAUCACUUUCUUAUAUUAUCAUUAUUUUGUACAUGUAACAGAACACGUUCUCUCUUGUAAUGAAGUCAAGAAAACGGUUUUAGUUUUUAUAUCAAUAAUGGAAUCCAAAAUCUUUCACAGCUUGCUUCUCCUUUGGACGCUUGAAAGACUUUCUUACCUGGCUAAAACUGUGAAAAUUGUUCAAACUAAUUUGAUUGAUAACUUUCUGACACUAUAUUGUAUAUGAAGGCUGCAUUUAAAUGUGAAAUAAAAAUGAGUGCUUAUAUUAAAAAACAAUCAGUCUCAUUGCGUCCUCUUUCAUUGACAUAGGCAAUUUUGCGGUCAACUCGAGGAGUUGUUUGAUUUUAUGUUUCAAAUUAAGUACCAUAGCAUUACUACUUCUAUAAAUAACUCAUUUGAGCUUCGAGCUUGUUAUUUGUAUUUUACGUUUCUGUUUCUCUUCAUAAAGAUUUUUUUUUUUCAUUCUCUUUUUCUUCCACUUUCCCGACUCCCAAACACCACCAGUCUUUGAUUUUCCUAGAGUAUUAACUGUCUGUUUACACGAACAUAGACCGACUGUUUGUCUAAUUACUGACAAGAAACAGCAUACUCUAUCUCGGGGUCUCAUCGUUUAUUGACAUGUCACUUGUGAACGGGCUAAUUAAAGGGCGUUCCUUCCUUCAAGAAAGAAUGCCAAGAAAGUACCAUCCAUUAGACACGUUAAGAAUUAUUUAACAUUAAAAAUGAUAAUAAUCAUAAUAAUCGGUUUAGUGUUACCCCGUUAUUAGGUAAUGACUGUCCGAUUGUCUUCGCUUUCAUUGACUUCGCAACUGUGAAUUCUAAGCCGGGUUAAGGAUUGACAAAAUGUUAUAACCCAUAAACACUACAACAAACAGUUAUAUCACCGACGAAAUAUUUCCGAGGGCGUAAAAUACCUUUGAUAAUAAGUACUUUUUUCUAAGGUGUAAGAUGGCCGUCGGAUAAGGAUGAAAAUAUGAUCAAUAUUUCCGAGGGCAAUUUGCCCUUGGUGAUAAUGAAUACUUCGUCGAAAAUGCCUGCUAGACUUAACUAGAAGCACCCCAAAAUUUACACACUUCGGGCCCGGCCUUUGGAGUAGAGUACUAAAACCACAAGCCCGCAGCCAUAACUUCCACUAAUUGUUUUUUUAAGAGUAGCGUACUUGGAAAUUUUUUUUCUUGUAAAUUUAAUUACUCUUGGUAAAAUUAAAAACCUAAAAGAAUGAAAUACAAAUAAAAAGCUAAGAAAAUACAGAAGAAACGAAAAAAUAAACAAAAGGAAAAAAAUUAAAACAGAAGGGAAAGUUCAAAAGAAAACAAAAAGAACAAAGUUAAAGAGAACGAAUAAGAAAGAAAAAGAAGGGGAAAGUUCUUCAAUCAUUGCAGCGCAAGCACUCACAUCUCUCACUUUUCAAUUUCUCAUUGUCCAUUGCUCGCCCAAUCACUUUGGUAAUUAUUUCACUGUUGCUUUCUCUAUUUGCGCUAGAUUUCAUCUUUUUUUUUCCUUCAAUUAACUUAGGGUUAGGUUAUAGUUUCCAUCAUUGAUGAUGAGUCUGAAGGCUAAUUAUUUCUCUUAAGUUUGUAAUUGUUACCAUCUCUUGCAUAAUCGCUCACUCUAUGCUUCUAAUUUUGUUUUUAAUUUGUUUUUGCUGCUUCCGAUUUUGUUUUAGGCCAAAUGGUAGCUUCCUAUAAGUUCGGUGAAGCUAUUGCAUUUUUUUUUUAAUUUUUUAAUUUUUUAAUUUUUAUUUUGGAGCUCUUACUUGUGAUGCUAAUUAUUUAGAAUUCAUUGUUUGUUAUCUGAUUUGGAUUAAUUUUAAUGAUCUUUUUGCUGGAUUUCAUUAAUUUUUUUUUUCCAUUUUUAAUGUUAUGUGAUGCUAAGUAUGGACUCUAAAGGAUGUUGAUAUUUUUUAAUUUUGAGGAGUUGUAGGGAGAUGAAGUGAAAUAAACAUUUAGGGGGUCAUGUGUAUAUAGAAUUGUUUGAUAGAGCUAACAUGACUAAAAAAUGUAAGUUAAUGCUAUACUAAAGCGAUGGUUAACUUUGUACUUUGAAUUUUGCAGCAUGAAUUUAGUAUAUUGGUAUUUUCAUUUUAUGUGUACUAAAAACUAAAAAGGAAGAUAAAAAUAGAUGAGUUACCAGGGAGAUAAAAUUCAAUCUGCGGUGAACUAGUUGUAUUUCUUUUUCUCCUUUUUUUUUUUUUUUUGCCCCACUUUCUAUGCAUCCUCAUUUUAAAUAGUUAGUAUUGCUGGUAUUGGUUUUAUCAUAAUCAUAACUUGUGAGAUGAAUUUUGUGCUUAAUUUUUUUUUUUUGUUUUGUUGAAAGGGUGUAUAAAAUUUAAUAGUAAUAUCAAGAACAAGUUUCUUAAGCUUUGAACUGAAUAUAUAUUAAGCUUUUAAACUUUUCCUGGCUUGCUGCAAUGAUUUCUUUUCUAAGCUUUUCCUUCCUUGUUAAAGCACUUAUUCACAUGUUUCAGGUUUUGAUUGUUGUACUACUAUACGAAGUAGCUCUAUGCUUUGUAGGGGAUGCCUUCUUGAUGAUAUUCUGCAGGUUAGAAUCUGAUUCUCUAAAAAUUCUUAUACAUGUAGAGAACAGGAGCUUAAAGAUGUCGUAGAACUUCAUGUAAAAAUUCGUUUUUCAGAUUGGAUGUCAGAGCUGAGGAGGGGAAUUUUUAAGAAGUAUCCAACUGUUGGAGAGCAUUAUGCACAUGCUCCUGAGAAUGUGCCUCCAAGAAUAUUGAGACAAAUGGUUGACAAAUGGAUGGAUGAGGGGUGGAAGGUACCAAUAAUGACUAUUAGCAUUAUAUUUUUCUGUCCUUUUCUUUCCUAAGCUUUGCUGUUAUUUUAAUUCAUCAGUGAAUUAUAGUUGCUAGAAUCAUUAUAGAAAUAGGAACUGAUAAAUCUUAUCCAUGUGCUUUGUACAUGAGUUGUUCUUGGCGGGUUUAGAAUAACCAAGUUGAUUUUAUGUUUUUUUUUAACUUAUUUAUAGAAAACAAGCACAACAAACAAGAGGAACCGAACCAAGUCCAAACUUAUUCACACUAUAUAUUCCCAUAUUUUUUUUUUUUGGGCAUGAUUUCAUUACUAUAUGCACUCAGACAAAUGUAUGUAUUUAUUAUAGGAAACAAUGGAAUCAAUAUGAUCAACUGUUAUAGAUCAAGGCUUGUCAGUUGAUGAAUGGAAAAUAUUUCGAGAAGUAACAGGAGAACCAGCACAUGGUCGUGUUGUUGGUUGGAGAGCCGGCAUCAAAGGCAAGGAUGUGUAUGGUUCUCCAGGUCAAGGAGGUAACAAGCAUCAAUGUACUAAUUUGGAAGUGAAAGUAAAAGACUUAGAGAAGAAGUCAAGAAGUUGAAAAGACUGAUAAAGCUCGUUCUUGGAAAAUCCGCACAAGAAUCAUCUCAAAAGGUAUAGGUUGUUUAUUUCAUUUUAUUAAUAGAUUAAGUGAAUGAGUAUGUUCUAUGUUUUGAGUUCUCAUGGAAAAUGAUUGGUGACUUGUCAUUGCUCUGUUAGUUAAUGAACUGAAGUGAUUAUGGACAAGCUUAUAAUAUAGGUGGAUGAUUGAAUAAUUAUUAGAUUUUUUUUUUUUGAAACAGAGACUGCAUUUAUAUAGAGUUUUUUUUUAUUGCACAAUUUUUCUCAUUAGUCUCAGCCUCUUUAUUAUAUUUUUUACCAGUUUUUGUUUUGGUAAUAAUAGUGAUUAAAAUUUUUUCUUUUACCUAGGAUAUUGUUUUGACGGAAGAAGAUGACAGGUAUGAGGAUGAUGAAGUUGAGCCAAACGAUUUAGAAAUUGAAGAAGUUGGUUUAGAGGAUGAUUGAACACAUUCAAGAUAUGAUGAUAUCAUUUUGUAUAUACAUUUGGUAUUUUUUUGCAUAAAAGAUACUAUAAAAUUGAAUUUUUUGUUGUAUUCUUGAAUGAUGAAUGUGAUUUUAUGAAUUUUUAAAAUUAAUGAAGUUACCUUUAGUAAUUUCGAAUAUUAUUAUUACUUUUGUUACAUCACUUCUCUAAUAUAGAUAUUUCAACAAUAAAAAUAAAAAAAUGAAUGAAAUAUUAUUACUAAAUAAAAUAAAGGGGGCCAUUAAACAACAAAAUAAGUUUAUUUUCGACGGUAUAUCUUUUAUUUCCGAGGGCAAGUUGCAGAUGAAAAUAAAAAUAACCAGGUUUAUUUAUCUUUUUUCCGAGGGCAUUUAAUUCCAUUUCCGACGGCAAUGCGCUCGGAAAUAAUUUUUUUCUCCGACGACUCGUCGGAAAUUCGACAUUUCCGAUAAGACUUAAUACGGCGACGGUCGACGGCAUACCACGCUCGAAAAUGAGUUUUUCUAAGGGUCUUUGUGUAUUUCCGACUCCGAGGGUAUUUGCCCUUGGAAAUGACCCAUUUUCUUGUAGUGAAAGCACAGAUAAUUAAUCAAUGGGCCACUGAUUUCUUCUUUCAUAAAAGAGAACUUUUCCAGGGAGAUUGGAAUAAAAGGCUAAUUCUUGGUAAAGAUCAGAAAGUUCUCAAAUAAAAUUCGGCUCUGUGGAAAUUAAAUUAAAAGCAAUUAAGCAUUAUAAAUUACUUAACAGCUUAAUCGAGUUUGGUUUUGAAAAAUAUAUCUUUAAAUCCCUUGUAAUUAAAGAUAAUUAUCAUAUUACCGUCUCAAAUGGACCGAUUUCAAUCAAAUGAAAUCUAGAAAAUUGAGCAGCUCAUUGAUGUAUUUGGUCGAAUUGUGACUUGUGUCAGAGUCUUCGUUUUAGAAGAGUGCACAGCAGCUGCCAGGUCCACUUGGCAGUUGGCACGCCAAAAUUUUUCUGUUGACCAAUAAUUUUGAAAGGGAUAUUAUUAAUUUACUAUCAAAUAUUUUCGAACACAUCACUUUACUAUCAAAAUUUUUUGACAAUAAUUUUUUGUCACUUAAUAUUUCAAUUUUUAUCAUUUUAUCAUUAAAAAAAUAGUAAAUACAUGCUUAGUGUAAGUUAUCCAUAAAAAUGGUUGUUGAAUUGUCUUGUUUCUCAUUUGGUUUAAUUUUCAUAAAUUCGACUCACACAAUUCAAUUAUGAGUGAAGAGUUUUUUUGGGAAAAAUCUGGUCUUCCAUGUACUAGAAUCAGGUCUGUUUGAUUUUAUUAUUUUUCUUUUGUUUGAAAUAUACGUGAAAAAUGUUGAACACUUUGUAGGAUUUAGAAGAAUUUGAAAGUUUGAAUGCAUAUAGUUUACUAUCGAUCAGCUAGUGCAUAUUCUGUAUUUUAUGAAAUCAAAGCUGGUUGAUUGAGAAAUGGACCUUAUUACAUGUCAUAAGAUUUUACAGUGCUUUCUAAUGGAGCAAAAUAAAAUGAUUCUUACCUGCACAGAAAAUUAGAAACGAAAAGGAGGGUUACUGAUCCACAGAGUUGUUAUUUACGAGAAGCACAUAGAUAUUACACUUAAUUUAUUAUCCAUCUGUAUUGUUUGGAUGACACUGAAGUAUUACCUAAAUUAGCCUUUCAGAACUUCGUUUUCAAAAAUCUAUGGUUGUGAUGCGUCUCUAUAAACUCACUCGUAAAAAUUCUAUCUAAUGCCAAUUGUUUUAAACCCUGUUCUGAACAGAGCAUGAAAGGAUAUGUUCACUUAUCUAGUUGUGUUUUUUAUGCUUUCACUUCACUUGAUUCACCUUGUCCCUCUUUUAAAACAGCUGUAUAUGCUGGAGUGCCAAAUCCAUCACAAGGAUCAUAUUAUAUCCUACGGAAGGAGCACAGUUCAUUGGCUGCACUCAGUUUACAGAGUAUUUCGGGAUUCAAGACUGUAGGUUGUUGCGGAUGCAACUUGCAAGGCUGUUGCUGUGUGACUGUAUGCCACGCUGGCAAGUGUGCUCUGACAGAUUGUGGAGAUGGCACCAAAGAUUGUAAACUAAUUAGUACUGAAAAAUCAUAUUUGCACAUAAAUUGCACAAAAUAAAUAGAUUGAGAAAAGUUGUACAAAGAAAUAAGAUUAAUAAAGUAAAUAAAUUUAUCUUUUAACAAAAUAUUUCUAGUCUUUUGGCGUUUUUGUGUAUUUUUGUGUAAGUGCAAAUAGCAUUCUAAUAAGUAGCUCGUUUGAGCCUAGGACCUGUAAUUAUGUUUUACCUUUCUGUUACUUUCUCUUAAAUAUUAUCUCAGUUCUUUUCUUCUUUUCUUUCACUUUCUCUUCCAUUUUCCUGACUCCCAAACACCACCAAUCCUUGAUUUUCUAGAGUAUCAGCUAUCUAUUUCUACAAACACAAAACUGCUAUUUACUUUCAAGAAAUAACAUAUUCUGUGGUUUAUUGGCUUAUGCCUCGUGAACGGGGCUAAUGUUGGUCUAACUACUCCCGUGAAACAACGUACUCUGUGGCUUAUUGUCUCCUCUUCCAUUGACUCUGCCAAUUCACGACUUUGACACGCACACUAGAUGCUAACUGCCUUCUCCAUUCGACGUGCAAAAACUUUCUUGAGUCGGGUUAAAAUUAAUUGAUCAUUUUAUUUGGUGAUAAUGACUUAGUUGUCAAGUCAUGAGUUUGAUGAUGAAGAGGACGAAAAAUAUUAUUUUAUUAUUUAAAAUAAGACUAUCAAUUAUUUCGAUGGUCAUCUUAUUUUCUAAAAUAACUUAAUGGAAUCUUACAGAAUAGAGUGCUUGACUUCUUCAUACAGUGCUUGACUUCUUUUUACAGAAUUAUAAAGUGAAAAAGGAAAUUAAGAAAUUAAAUACUUUUCAUGCGAGUGGAGAACAUUGGGUAGCGAUUACAUUAAAUAAAAGAAAAUUAAUUUAAAAGUACAACAUUUUAAUAAUCUCAUUCCCAAUCAUAUCGGUACAAAAAUUCUGCAGAUUUAUUGAAUAACUAUUGAUUUUACUUUGGUAAUUUCUUUCUAAAAGUGAGGUAAACAUUUUUAUUUUCUUUGCAUUCGAGCUUUCUUUCUUUUGCGCUGGCCUUCACUUUUGACCGUAUUUCAUGGGGCACAUUCAAUCUCAAUCUUCUGCAAGUUUGUGGCAGUUUUGUUAAUUACGAACAUUUGUAGGAUUUUAUGUAGAUGAUACAUUUUUCUUUUCUUUUUUUCUUCGGUGAACAAAUUAAAAAUUUAGUUUUUGUCAUCAUGACUAGUGAAAUGAAAAUAGUCCUCAUUGCAAGGAUUGACAAAAACGUUGUACUCAUACCGAUUAAUGGGGAACUAAUUUCGUCCUCUUCAAAAAGAAUUAUUUGCAGCGUGGUAAUUCGGACCUAAGUGAUAAGAAUUUCCAAAUGAGAUAUAAUUUGGAGGGAAACAAAAAACUAAUUCAAGUUAAAGACCAGGAAUUUGUGUUCCUCACAAAAACAAUAAUUCAAGCCUCGCAAUAAUUUUUUUGAUUUAUUUAAAAAAAAAAUUGUUUUCCUCACAAAACAUUUCAACGUCUAUUCUCUCGUACAGGGGAAUAUCCUUCACUCUUUGGCGUAUCCCUGGGGCAAUGUAAGUUGACUUUACAUUAAAACAAAAUAUAAUUACAAUCACAUAAUUACAAUUAUCAUCACUGAUUUGUAUAAUUUUCAGGACUAGUAAAUUAUCCCAAUUUUUAAAAAACAUAAUUACAAUUAUCGAUCGAACACCACUAAUUCCAACAAUUCAUCCAAGUUUUUCAACUUUUUAGAUAUUUGAUAUAUGUCAUGUUUUAACUUGGUACGAGAAAAAAAUUAUAGAAUAUUUUUUUUUCAAAUUAGUGGAAUUAUUUUACGAUAAAACUAUCACAAUCACAUUUAAAAACAUUCUUUAAAUUUUCACUAUUUCUACUGUUAUUCUUUAAACUUUUUUCUGAACAGAGCAUGGAGGGUCGCUUAUCUAAAUAUGUUUUCUGUGCUUUCACUUCACUUGAUUCAUCUUGUCCCUCUUUUAUAGCUUCUAUCUCGUGUGAGCUUAGAACCUGCAACUCGUAUUUUACGUUUCUGUUACUUUCUCUUUCAUUUUCCCGACUCCCAAACACCAUCAGUCCUUGAUGUUAUAGAGUAUUAGCUGUCUAUUUGUACAGACAUAGAGCUACUGUUCCCACUGUAGAUCUUCAGAUGGUUAGCUCACUAUUGUUUGAAUAUUAAAAUUAAUUUGUUAAAUAAAUAAAGAAAACAAGAGACAAUUGCCAUAUAUAUUCCAUAUUAAUUAGUCACCGUCCGAUUGUCUCUACUUCCAUUGACUCUGUUGAUUCAUGCUUUCAUGAAGUGAAACGCUUAACACUCUGUUCUGAUCCGCAGGAGAGGAGGAAAAACAUAAUUUUAUUAUUUCAUUCCUGACACACGCAAAGAGCUUUCUUAAUUGAUGAAUGUGACAUGAAGCUCUAUAAAUAGUUUAAUUUGUAAAAUUGUUAAAAUUUGUUAAAUUUCAUUUAAUUGAUGAAUGUGACAUGAAGCUCUAUAAAUAGUUUAAUUUGUAAAAUUGUUAAAAAUUUAAAUUUCAAGGUAGAUAAAAUGAUUAACUUUUUUCAAUAUUUAGAUAAUUAACAUGUGCCAUGUAACUAUGAAUGAAUGAAUGAAAUUUUUGAAGUGCGAAUCCAUUUACAAGUUACGACUUGUCUUAUUUCUCAUUUUACUUAAUUUUCAUAAAUUUGACUCACGAUCAAUUAUGAGUGAAGAGUUUGUUGGAAAAAUAUGGUAUUCCAUUUAUUGUAAUCAGAUGAGUGUGAUUUAAUUAUUUUUUCCUUUUGCUUGAUGUCCCGAAAAUUAUGAAUACUUUGUAGGAUGCAGAAGAUUAAAAAUUUUAACGCAUAUCUAUAGUCAAAACUGAGGAAACAGAACAUUAUUGCUUCUAUAAAUAGGUCAUUUCAACUUAAAACUUGUUACUUGUAUUUUACAUUUUUGUUUUUUAACUUUUUCUUCCAUUUUCCCAAACACCACCAAUCCUUGAUUCUUUUCUUAGAGUAUUAGCUGUCGAUUGUUAUAAACGUAGACAUACUGUUUGUCUAAUUACUAUCAAGAAACAACAUACUCUAUCCUGGGGUCUCUUCGUUUAUUUAAUAUUUAGGUUUAUUAAUAUACUAUAUUAUUAAUUAAAUUAAUUAAUAUUAAUUAAUAAUUUAAAUUAAUUAAAUAAUAAAAGUUAAAUGAUUAUAUUGAAAAUCCAAGUAGUAUUUUAAUGUAAUGAAACCUAAAUCCCACCUCUAUACCACAUUUGUUACACAAUGUAAUUAUAUAAAAAUAAUAUUUUAAUACAAUAUAAUACAAGUAUAAGGCUGUGUAAGGCUGUAAUAUUAAUUAGCCUGUGUAAUAGUAUCCCAUGCUGGCAAGUGUGCUAUAACAGAUUGUCGAGCUGGCACCAAUUAUUUUAAACUAAUAUUAGUAAUUAGUUUAGAGUGUUUCGAUUUAUUCUAUAAAUAGAUCAUUUAAGCUUUGAACCUGUGAACUUGUAACGUGUACUGUACUUUUCUAUUACUUCUAAUAAAGAUUUUCUCUAUUCCUUUUUCUUUCACUUUCUCCUCUGUUUUCCCGACCCUCAAACACCGUCAAUCCUUGAUUUGAACUACUGUUUGUUUGUCUAAUUACUUUCAAGAACAAUACCCUCCAUCCCGCGGUCUCCUCGUUUAUUGACUUGUUACUUAUGAACAGGGCUAAAUAAAGGGCAAAUAAGAUGUUGGGCCAAUGGACCCAACGUCACAGAUCUUGAAUUGAUUGCCUCUUCUUUUCUCUACAAAUCUUUGCUUAAUUUUUAUGUUUCCUCAACUUUUUCCCCCCUUUUGUGCUAAAAUUAUUUUUCUGAUACUUUAUGCAAAAAAUAUGAUAAAAAUGAAUUAGUUUAGAAUAUCAAUAAAUUUUUAUUACAUUCAAGAUAAGGACAACUACUCUUAGAUCACUUUUAUUUAGUUGAAUUAUAGGUAAUAAAAUUGGUUUUAACAAAAUAUGAUUCUUAACCCUUGUAAUUAAAGACUGGUGUUAUUUAGUUUAGUUGUAACACCAUGCAACAGGUCAUCUUGGUGGGUUCAAAUUAAUAUACGAUCAUUCUCAAUAUUUAAUAGUUCGUAAUUAAAAAUUCCAAUAUCACAAUUAGAAUUUACAAACAUGUCAAAGUCAGUUAAAUCAAACCUAUAAAUUUAAGGUUUACUACAAGCUUCUAACAAAUUAAAAUUUAAAACGAUUAAUUAAAUGCUAGACAAUAUUUAGCUUAUAAAUGUUCCCGACCACAUGAUGAAUGUACUUAAAACAUCCUAAUUGGUCGCUAAUUGAUUGGUUGUUAUUUUUUCAAUUUCUUUUUAUAUAUCUUUGAAGCUUCUAGUUUCAUAACAUGUUAUUUGCAAUUCGUGUAAAUUAUUAUUUUUUAAAUAUUAGAGCAACAACCAGUAUAAAAAUAAAAUGCACUCAUUUAAUGGAAAUUUUUCUAGAUGCUUCAAUGGCAGAAUCUCAUUGGUCUAUAACUCUCAAUAAAUUUUUCUAGAUGAUUCAAGAUUCAAUUUCAAACCAAUGCCGAACAAACAGUAUAAACCUUAAUAAGAUAGUUGAAUAACCAUCUCUUACGUCGGGUGACCGAAUAACCAUCGCUUACGUCGGAAUUUAAACUUAAACAAAGCUACAUCCCACGUGUUCCCCACUUUCUUCAUAUUUCCAAAAAACCCCUACCAGAUCCAGAUAAUCACCUUAACUUUUCUCGUAUAAAUAGAGAAGACGACGACGAUUCCUGCAAAGCCAGGUGAGUCACGUGAACGUUACGGCCAUGGGACAUUGGAAUUGGAUCAAACCACUGGAAUGCACAGCAAAAUUAACCCGAAUAAACUAGGUUGAGUUAAGAAUUACUUUUCUUUUCAUAAUAAAUUAGAUUGAGUCAAUAAUAUUUGCCUGUGUGAAAUGAAUAAUCAGUUUAGUGUCACCCCAUUAUUAAUUUGUGACUCUCCGAUUGUCUCCUUUUUCAUUGACUUUGCAACUGUGACUUCUGAACCGGGUUAAGAGUUGACAAAAAUGUUAAUGUUAAUAUGUUAUAAUUCAUAAAACACGCAUAAUUAAUUAAUGGCCCACCAAUUUCUUCUUCUCAAAAGAGAAUUUUUGCAGGAGAUUGAAAAAAGGCUAAUUCAUGUUAAAUAUCUUAGAUGAGUGUCUAUCACGGAUACAAGUCAAGCCACACGAUUUUUCUUGUUAUACUAUUUGUUGGCACUUGUGAAUCCUUGAAUUAUCAAAUGAAUAGCAACAACACUUCAAUAUCUAUUGUUACACGGAGAGAAAUCCGUUCUCUCUUUGAUGUACUACUUGGCAAUAUACAUUGAUCUUUCAUUAAAACAAGCAUUCUCAUAUUGUUGAGAAAAACUCACGUUAAACUAUUCAAUUUAAUCAUUUAUUAAACGGAUAUUUGGUUUGAUUCAUUUUAUUCAUUUAGUAGAAUUAAUAAACGAAUCGAAUCGAAUCCAGAUUCAUUUAUUCUAUUACAAAUCUACAACGAAUUGAAUCGAAUCGAAUCAGAAUUCAUUUACAGUUCGUUUAGAAAAAUAUAAUUGAUAAACAAAAUUAAGCAAAAUAAAAUAUAAAAAAAGCCGCAAAUUUAAUACCACUUCCUACACCAUAUUCCUAAUUAGCUAGGGAUAGUCUACCAUGCAAUGGCUGCUGUCUUAAUUAAAUAAGAUAUGUGCUUUUAUACGCCCUCUCAAAGAAUAUCGAUCUCCUCAAGACUUUACAUAUUUGUUUUUGAAUAUAAACACUUGUUCACUUCUACAUAUUUUUUUUUAGCUACAUCCAUAGAAUUGCUCUAGCCUCUACGUUGGACAUAGCUGCUGUCUUAAUUAAAUAAAAUAUGUACUUUCAUACGCCCUCUCAAAGAAUAUCUAUCUCGUGGAGGCUUUACAAGCUUCGGUGGGAUCUUUAGAAAACGUCUCGACGACUCAAAAGACUACACUCCCACUUUCAAAAGUGGCACGAUUUGAACUUAUCCUGCCAACCUUCUAGAAGAGUAGUGAUAAACUUCAAGAUCAUUCUUUUAAUUUUCUCCCUUUUAACAUUUUGGUUUCAGGUAAGGACCAAUCACUUGGACACUUCAAUUUUACUUUUGGACCUUUCUUAUAAUGACAACACCCUCCAUCCCUCGGUCUCUUCGUUUAUUGACUUAUUACUUGUGAACAGGACUAAAUAAAGGGCAAAUAAGAUGUUGGGCCAAUGGACCCAACGUCACAUAUCUUGAAUUGAUUGCCUCUUUUUUUCUCCAUAAAUCUUUACUUAAUUUUUAUGUUUCCUCAACUUCCCCCCCCCCCCCCCCCCCCUUUUGAUGAAUUAUUUUUCUGAUACUUUAUACAAAAAAUAUGAUGAAAAUGAAUUAGUUUAGAAUAUCAAUAAAUUUUUAUUACAUUCAAGAUAAGGAGAAAUUUGUAUAAAAGUCGUGAGAAUAGAACUUUUGGUAAAACAAAAGUCGCGGGCUUAUUUAGAAAAAAGAAAAAAUUACAUUCUAUUUUCCAAUUACUAUGGUCAGCCUUAACACAUGCCGGUCUUUUUCUCCUCUACUUUCUAGAAAUUUUGGUUUCACUAUAAAAACUCGGUAUAUAACAAACUUAUGAGUGUUCUUGCAUUACCAAUCCAACUAAGCACACGCUUACAAUCUAAAAUACUCUCAUCUCAUGGAAAGAGUUCAUUCUCUCAGGAUGAUGAGCAUAUUUCUCCUACUCCAUUGUUUGAUUAUUAUUUCCUUAUUUAUCGCAGCAACAACAGCCAACACAAGUUCUAAUAUCACAGACCGAGAUGCUCUGUUAGCCCUGAAAGCUCACAUAACUCAUGAUCCGACCAAUUUCUUGGCCAAGAAUUGGAACACAAGUACUCCUGUCUGUAAUUGGACAGGCGUCGCUUGUGACAUCCAUAGCCAUAGAGUCACAGUCUUGAAUAUUUCAAGCUUAAAUCUCAGAGGCACCAUCCCAUCUCAACUUGGGAAUCUUUCUUCUCUGCAAUCACUCAAUCUCAGUUGUAACCGACUUUCUGGUUCCAUUCCCUCCGCCAUCUUCACCAUAUACACACUGAAAAAUGUUAGUCUCGGUAAAAAUCAGCUCUCUGGGCAAAUUCCUACAAAUAUUUGUAGUAAUCUUCCUUUUCUUGAAUUUCUUUCUUUGUCCCUAAACAUGUUCCAUGGCGGAAUACCGUCCACUCUAUCAAAUUGCACAUAUUUAAGAAUCUUAAGUUUGGCAUACAAUGAUUUCUCGGGAGCCGUACCUAGAGAAAUCGGUAACUUGACCAAACUUAAGGUAUUAUAUAUUGGCGCGAAUAGACUCCAAGGUGCGUAUGGUCAUGGAGUUUAAUUAUAAACAUUGUUCCAUGAGUUGUAAUAUGAAUAAUGUUCCAUAAUACACUUCUGAGCCCGAAAUCCUUUCCUUUCCUCCUUGACUCUCCUAUCGUCGAGCUAAGUGACUCUGUCAUGCCGCUUCAAGUAAUACAAACGUUGAUUAAUUUGCAGGAGAAAUUCCUCGAGAGUUUGGCAAUCUUACCGAAUUGGAGCAGUUUUCGUUACCAACAAACAAUCUCCAAGGUAUGAUUUUAAACUUUUUGCAAUUUUAUUCUAGCUCUGCUUGCUUCUGUAUUCAUUCGUUUGUUCAUUAAUUAUGCUAUGAUUUAUUGUUUUUCUUUCAAAUAGAGAUAAAGCUCCAUGUCUCCCCUCACUCAUUUCGUUCUUUGAUUUAUGCAGAUAAAAAUAAAAAAAAAUGUUUUGUAAUUUUCUUUUGUCAUAUUGCCACUUCCCUUUUAAAGCUCCCAAUUAAGUCGAUGAAAAUGAAUGAUGCUUCAUUCGUAUUCUUGUCAGCCUAAUUCUUAUAUAAUUGAAGAGUAAAUUGUUAUUAUGAUAUUCGUCAGCCAAUAAAUUCUUUUUUUUUUCUCAAAAUAUGAGUGAUCAAAUUGUUUGCGCAUAUAUAAUUUUACUUAAUUUGCAGGAGGUAUUCCACAGGAAUUGGGGAAUCUUGCAAAAUUGGAGAUUUUACAGCUGUUCCAGAAUAACUUGACCGGUAACCAUCUUUACUAUAUAUAUAUGAGACAUCUUCCGCUUCUUAAUUAAAAGAUUUCAAGUCUCUCAUUAUAAAUUCUCAUAUGAGGAUAUGUCAUUACUACAAUCUAACAUUAUUCCCUUUUUUAUUAGAAAUUAGUUUGUGUUAAUUCAAAAUUUUGUAACAUUUAAAAAAAAUUAAAAACACGUGGAAUAAAUCAUCAAUCUUUCUUCUUUAUUGAAUUUGGAUUUCUCAAAAAUUUUCUUGACAAGUAUACUUCACUAAUGAUAUGCAUGUGUGACAACUUCAUAAAAUAUUUUACAUGGAGUCACCAAUUAUCUUUAAAUAAUUGGAGAUGCCAUCAGUGAUACAUAAUUUCUUAACAAGCACCAUAUCAAAAGAAAUCAACAAUUUUAUUAAUCUUCAAGAGUUGCAUCUUCACUGCAAUUAUGACAUAAAUUUUUAGUCAUCAAUCGCAUAAUAUUUUAUCUUAACGGAUGAUGUUCAGUCUUGGAAUUUAUAAUACCUUGAAGGUUAGUAGCUUUGAAAAUAAGAACUGUUCAUUUGCUAAAAAGUUAACUUAGUAUUUAAGUUUUUCAAUUGAAAAUUUUGAAAAAAGUCUUGAGAACUGCCCUCCUUAGUAUUUCAGCUGAUAAAUAUGAAAAAUAGGCUAGAAGAAAUAUUGUUGUGUGUGCUUAUUCUACUUGGGCUUUGGGCUUGAUUACAAGGUCGAGCCUUGAUUACAAGGUCGAGCACUUACACCUGUCAUAAUAAUAGGCUUUUACUGUCACCACACGUUUAAUAAUUUCUUAACCUUCCGAAUUAAGUUAUAGCAAUUUAUAUAUAAAUAACUAUAGCAUACUAAUGCUAGCACAAAGUACUCAUGACUUAGGCUUGUUGUGUUACCUAUUACACACGGUCGAACACUUACAUCUAUUAGAAUAACAAUAGCAUCCGCGGAUCGACUAUCAGUGAUCAAAUUGUUUGCACAUAUGUAAUUUGCAGGACCAAUUCCACGGGAGUUGGGAAAUAUUACAGGAUUGGGGAUCUUAGCGCUGUCUGAUAAUUUUUUAACCGGUAUCAUUCCUUCAUCUAUCUACGAAUUGCUUUUCUCUAUUAAAUUUGGAACUGUCAUUUAAUAACUUAACAGGUAACUUCCCUUACAAAAUGUCUGUGUGACAUGUUUUGCUUCUAAAUUAAAAUAUUUCGCGUCUCUCAUUAUAAAUUCUCAUAGGCGGAUGUAUUGUUACUACUAUUUAACAUUAUCUCAUUUUUUUAUUAGAAAUUAAUCUGUGUUUAUGCAAAAAAAUUUAGCAUCUAAAAAAAGUAUAAAAACACGUGGAAUAAAUCGAAAAUCUUUCUUCAUUACUGAAUUCGGAUUUCUCAAAAAUUAUCAUGAGAACUUCAUAAAAUAUUUUACAUGGAAUCAGUAAUUAUCUUUAAAUAGUUGGAGAUGCCAUCACUAAUAAAUAGUUUCUUAAAAAGCAUCAUACUAAAAGAAUUCAAUAAUUUUAAUAAUCUUAAAGGGUUACAUCUUCACUGCAAUUAUGACAUAAUUUUUUAUCUAAAUAUAUUUUUAGUCAUCAAUCGCAUAAUAUUUUAUCUUGACGGAUGAUGUUCAAUCUUGGAAUUUAAAAUAUCUUGAAGGUUAGUAGCUAUGAAAAUUAGAAAAUUUUUAUUUGCUAAAAAAUUAACUUAGUAUUUAAGCUUUUCAAUUGGAAAAUUUGAAAUAAAUGUUGAGAACUGGCCCUCCUUAGUAUUUCAGCGGAUAAAUAUGGAAAAUAGGAUAGAAAAAAUUAUUUUACUGAAAUAAUAGUUAAAAAUAGAGGAGAAGUACAGUACUCAUGACUUAGGCUUGCUGUGUACUUUUUUUUACUUGGGGUUCGGGCUUGAUUACACACGGUCGAAUACUUACACAACUCCCCCACAUAGGGUUUUACUUUCAUCCCACAUUUGAUAAUUUCUUAACCUUCCCAAUUAGAUUAUAGCAAUUUAUAAAUAAAUAAAUAACUAAAGCAUACUAAAGCUAGCAUUGAUGGAUGGAUGAGUGGUGUCAAAAGUGUAUCUGUUUUUAUGUAUUAUUGUUCCCUGAUACAAAUCUAAAUAAUGGAAAAUAUAAAUUUAAUACUUUAUUUAAUACUCUGUUAACAUUUUAUCUAUAUAUAAUAAUUAAACUGAAACUCGUACUUAAAAAAAUUUUGGUUACGCAUAUUCAUUUCAUGAUAAAAAAAUGUCUAUUUACACUAAUUUACCAUUAUCAAUAAAAUGCUUUGAGACAAAUAAUCUAAUUUAUAUUAGUAUAUUUAAAAUACUUGCAUUUAUUAUAUUUUUGAAAAAAAAUUAUUUGCAAUUAUUUUAAACCUUUGAAUUCAAAUUUUCUUAGUUAUUAAAGUCAAAGGGUAUAAAUGUAUAAUAGUCAAAAAACAGAUUUGUAUGAUCAUUUUUCAAUGUAUAAAUUUUCUUAGUUAGUAGGAAAUUAAAAAUUGUUGAUUUACUCAUAAAUAAAUUUAGUGUUUAGCAUUUCAAUUUUGGAAAACUUGAACUAAAUGUUGAUAACUUCGAAUCCAUCGAGCCAAGUUUCGCUUCCUUGACACACAGACCCAUUCGAAUUGAGUUUCCAAGUGCUUAGAAAAAGCAUUUUCUUUUCCAUGUCACUAUAAUUUAUUCACAAAAGAGUUGAUUAGCAUCGAUGUUGCUGCAGAGUCUGAGACCAUGUUAGUAGGAGAAAUUUGAAAAGAAAUUAUUUUACUAAAUUAACUUAUUUUAUCUUGCUGUAACUGAAAUACUACCUUUUUUUUUUUUUUUUGUUAUCACUGGGGCUUGAUUUACUUUAAUAAUAGCAGCCACAAGCUUAGGCUUUUUUUACUUUUCACCACACAAUUUGAUCUUUUAAUUCAUUUUAACCACAUAAUCUAUCUAUCUCACACCUAUUGCUUACUUAAAUCGCAUACAUAUUUUACCUUACUAAUUUUUACAAACAUUAGUGAAAUAUAUUUUAUUACAUUUCGCUUGUAACUGCUCUAGUUGUGCACUAUUAAUACUUAACCCUCCCUUUUAAUUUACCGUGCAAUCUAUCAACCACUUAAAUUACAUAUAUAUUUUAUCUAUAUAUUUUUCCCGAAAAAAAAUAUAAAAAUAACAGAAAAAGAAUAUGUGUAGCAAUUUGUAUGGAACUAACAAAGCAUUGACGGUGUGUAGCCUUUCAAUACUUCAUGAGUGGCUUUUCUUGUGUGUUAGUACUAGUAAUAAUUGUGUAGUGUAUAAAUGACCUUUUAUUAUUAAAGCGCGUCCGUUGUUAGAUAUUAUUUAUUAUUUGAAAAAUAAUCUGAAUAUAAUUCUUUUCAAAAUACAGGGGAGAUACCAACUGAAAUCAGUAAUCUCCGUAAUCUGGAGGAGUUGGACCUUGCUCGAAACAAAUUAGUUGGUAUUGUCCCAGCUGCAAUCUUCAAUGUGUCAACACUCCAGCAUCUUGGUCUUCAAGAUAAUUCUCUCUUGGGAUGUCUUUCGUCCAUCGGAGACGUCCGACUUCCAAAUCUUGAAGGGCUUUAUUUGUCGGGUAAUAAUUUCAGUGGCACAAUUCCUAGAUUCAUCUUUAAUGCUUCUAAGCUCUUUAAGCUAUCGUUGCAAAGGAACUCACUCUUUGGUUUUAUUCCCAACACAUUUGGCAACUUAAGAAACCUUAAGUGGCUGUCUUUAUAUGAUAAUUAUUUGACAUCUUCAACUCCAGAAUUGAGCUUUCUAUCCUCGUUGUCAAAUUCCAAGUCUUUAACAUUUAUUGACUUAUCAAAUAAUCCACUAGAUAGCGUUCUUCCAAAGACAUUUGUCGGUAAUGUUUCUCAUUCUUUGGAAUUCUUUGUCAUGUCGUAUUGUAACAUUAGUGGCGUCAUCCCUGAAGAGAUCACCAACUUGACCAAAUUGACAACCAUUAUUUUAGGAGGCAAUAAAUUGAAUGGAUCAAUUCCAAUUACUCUCAGCAAGUUACAAAAGCUUCAAUAUUUGGGUCUUGACGAUAACAAAUUAGAAGGAUCAAUCCCAGACAGUAUUUGUCGUUUAGCUGAACUGUAUGAUUUGGAGUUGGGUGGUAAUAAGCUAUCUGGAUCAAUCCCUGCAUGCUUCAGUAAUCUGGCUUCUCUGAGGACACUGUCGUUGGAUUCCAAUGAGUUAACUUAUAUUCCCUUAACUUUUUGGAACCUUAAGGAUAUCUUGUACCUCAACUUUUCAUCAAAUUUUUUGAUUGGUCCACUCCCAUUAGAGGUUGGAAAUUUGAAGGUUUUAGUUGGAAUUGAUUUUUCGAUGAAUAAUUUUUCAGGCGUUAUCCCAACAGAAAUUGGAGGCCUACAAAAUCUAGAAUAUCUCUUCUUAGGAUAUAACAGAUUGCAAGGAUCGAUUCCUGAUUCAUUCGGUGAUUUGAUAAGCUUGAAAUCAUUGAAUUUGUCUAAUAAUAAUCUCUCUGGGGCUAUUCCUGCAUCUUUUAGAGAAACUCUUAUAUCUUGAAGAUCUAAAUCUUUCUUUCAACAAACUAGAAGGAGAAAUUCCUAGGGGAGGGUCUUUUGGAAACUUCUCAGCUGAAUCAUUUGAGGGAAAUGAAUUAUUAUGUGGUUCACCCAAUUUACAAGUCCCGCCAUGUAAAACUAGCAUCCACCCCACAUCAUCAAAAAAAUUCUCUUCUCCUGGGGAUCGUCUUGCCAUUGAGUACUACAUUUAUGAUAGUAGUCAUUUUGUUGAUCCUAAGAUAUCGACAGAGAGGAAAACGACCAUCGAAUGAUGCUAAUAUACCACUAGUAGCAACAUGGAGAAUGUUUUCAUACCUAGAACUCUGUCGAGCAACAGACGAAUUCAGUGAAAAUAAUCUAAUUGGCAAAGGUGGUUUUGGCUCUGUUUACAAAGCAAGACUUGGGGACGGGAUGGAGGUUGCAGUGAAGGUUUUCAAUUUGCAAUGUGGAAGAGCAUUUAAGAGUUUCGAUAUUGAAUGUGAAAUGAUGAAAAGUAUUCGCCAUCGAAACCUUAUCAAAGUUAUUAGCAGUUGUUCAAAUGAAGAGUUUAAAGCGUUGGUAUUAGAAUACAUGCCUCAUGGAAGUUUGGAGAAGUAUUUGUAUUCAAGUAACUGCAUUUUGGAUAUUUUUCAAAGAUUGAACAUAAUGAUAGAUGUUGCAUCAGCUUUGGAAUAUCUGCACUUUGGUCAUUCAGCUCCAAUAAUUCACUGUGACUUAAAGCCCAGCAAUGUAUUGUUAGACGAUAAUAUGGUUGCUCAUUUGAGUGAUUUUAGCAUCGCAAAAUUGCUAACAGGAGAAGAUCAAUCUAUGACUCAUACACAAACACUUGCAACAAUAGGCUAUAUGGCACCAGGUUUGUUUAAUAUAAGUUAUUUAUAUUUCAUGAUCUUGAUUAGAUGAGGAAUUAUUAUUAAUGAUAUAUCUUACUAUGUAAUUGUUGCAAUUCAUAGAGUAUGGAAGAGAAGGACGAGUAUCCGCAAAUGGAGAUGUUUAUAGCUUUGGGAUUAUGUUAAUGGAAACAUUUACUGGGAAGAAACCCACAGAUGAAAUGUUUAAUGGAGAAAUGACAUUAAAGCAUUGGGUUAAUGAUUGGCUACCCAUUUCCACUAUGGAAGUUGUUGAUGCUAAUUUGCUAAGUCAGGAGGAUACAUUUUGUUGCAAAAGAGCAAUGUGUGUCAUUUGUCUUCAAUUUAGCUAUGAAGUGCACUGUGGAAUCCCCUGAGCAAAGAAUCAAUGCAAAAGAAAUUGUAGCAAAACUCUUAAAAUUAGAGACUCAUUACUUAGAAAUGUUGGAGGCAGAUGUAUAAGACAAUCAAAUUUAAAUUGAUUCUGCCCCUCCUUCAUUGCUUGCUAUCCUUUUCAGAGACUUGAACAGUUAUCCUCCAUAGAAGUUUUGCUGAUAUGUUUUGUUAUUGCUCUUGCUCAUGUUUAUUUCUCUCUUUCUUUAAUUUGCAUGCGUGCAUUUUAGUUCUCUUCCAUGUUUGUGUUGGUUUAUAUGUAGUUUGUUUUUGGGAUAUGGUUUAUUAUGUCCUCACCCUAAUUAGAUGUAUCCUUUUGAUUUUUAUCAAUAAAGCUUCGCUAGUACUAUCGAGGUUAAUCGAAAGAAAAUUUUCAAUUGAUUUUCUUUUCUUUGACUAUAAUGGAAAUUCUAAUCUUUAUAGUGAAUAACUUCAAUAAUAGAGUGUAAGAGUAUUAGUAGUUGUGGUUGUUUUCUGAACUUGGAGUUAGAGUAGUUUAACAGCAACAAAUAGGUCUCUUGUAUUAUAGGCAAAAUUCUUUUCAUUAAUCUUAUUUGUCUACAUUUUCUCCUAUUUUCUUCUUUAAUCUUCGCUCAAGGUUUCAUGCUUCCAUUUUGACAUGUGAGAUUGUUUGUCAUCCAUUUGCUAAAAUGGAUAUGAGAGGAGCUUUCAAUCAUUACCUCCACCAAAAUCCUUACAAUGCAACUUUUAAAUUUAUUUUUUAAAAUACGUUCAGUUAAUUUAUAAAAAAUAAAUCCAUUUGUUAAAAUUAAUCUUUUUCUCAUAAAUUGCAACCUAAAAAAUAUAUUUCUUUUAAGUUUUAUUUUAAAAUACAUACAAGUUCUAAACUAUUAAUUAUUUUUUCUUAUUAUAUAGUUUAUAUUUCCAUAACUCUAAACUCCUAUAAUUUUAAAAAAUAUAUUUUUAAUUUAAAAUAUGAAUAAAAUAUAGAAUGGAGUGGGUAUACAAGUUUUGUAAAAGAAUAAUUCAUUUAAGUAUUUAGCUGAAUUUUAAUUUAAAUAAGAAAUAAUUAAUUUAUUUUUUAUUAGUUAAGUAAUUUUUAAUUGAAAANNNNNNNNNNNNNNNNNNNNNNNNNNNNNNNNNNNNNNNNNNNNNNNNNNNNNNNNNNNNNNNNNNNNNNNNNNNNNNNNNNNNNNNNNNNNNNNNNNNNNNNNNNNNNNNNNNNNNNNNNNNNNNNNNNNNNNNNNNNNNNNNNNNNNNNNNNNNNNNNNNNNNNNNNNNNNNNNNNNNNNNNNNNNNNNNNNNNNNNNNNNNNNNNNNNNNNNNNNNNNNNNNNNNNNNNNNNNNNNNNNNNNNNNNNNNNNNNNNNNNNNNNNNNNNNNNNNNNNNNNNNNNNNNNNNNNNNNNNNNGAAAACUUGAAUAGAAAUACUCCAAUGUAAUUUUACACAUGCAAAUUAUGAACCAGUGAUCUUUAGAGCAUCAUAAAAUUAUUUUAACACAAUUAGUUAGUUUGAAAAAUUGCCAAUAAUGUUUAAAGUGGGAUUGAAAAGAUUAUACUAAAAAUAUAAGACAUGAUAUCAUUUAAGAGCUUACAGAUUAUGAGAAAUAUAUUGAUCUUACAAAUAAUAUAAAAUAUGUCAAUUAGACUGAGUCUAUGCAAUAAAAGUUUCAAAUUAAAAAAUAAACCUUUAUUUUCUUUUAAUCAUUAAUGUGAUCUUAAUUAUUAAAGUCAUUCAAUGUCCAUUACUUAUUUAUUUUUUUAAUUAUUUAAAUGACAUUGAAAACUCUACUCAAUAUUAAUUCAUUCUAGUGUUUUGUUUUAAAGUAAUCGGAAACUACAAAUGAAACAAAUGCUUGAAAUCACAAAUGGCCUAAAAUUAGAUUUUUAUUUCUUAAUGUUGUAGUGACUUUGAUCUUGAUAUUGAAAAUUUAUUUGUAACUUAUAUAAAGGCCUCGAUUUUAUCAUAAUUGAUUAGUAAGGCUAUGUACGGGAGCAUGGAUAAAUUUUGAGAUUGGAUUAUAUUUUUGGAACUAAAAAAUUAAUUUCAUCCAAUGUUAUGUAUAGCUGUUGGGACUAGCAAAUUAGUCUAAAAUUAUUGAAAUUAUUAGUCUUUUAAAUUAUAAUUUUUUCGUUCCCACUUUAAAAACAAAAAAUAUUUUGGUGGAAAACUGUACAAUGAUUAAAAACAAAAAAUUAUCAUUUUCCAAUGUUUACAAAGAAAACAAGAGACAUUUUAUUUCACUUUUACGCUCGGGCCUCACUAUCUUAACUUUUGUAACAUAGUGUAAUAAAUUACGUGGGCCCAUUUAAUAAAGAAAUAAUCUAAUAAAUAAACUAAUAUAACAAAUAUUUAAAAAUAAUAGCAAUAGUUUAUUCCAUACCUUGCAGCUUAACUACUUAAUAGAUUACCCAAAUUGUUUUAAAUAAAAAGUAAUAUCAUAUAAUUAUUAUACUAAAUUAUUACAUUGUUCGACCAAUAUGCAGUUAUUUAAAAAUUAUUACAAAUUUUCAUAUAUUAAUGAAAAUAUUUCAAUAAUAAAGUUACUUCUUGACAGCUAAUAUAAAUAAAUAUAUGAUAAUUAUGAAAUAAUUUAAAAUUUUCUCAAUUAAUAUUAUCUUAUAACUACAAUUUAUUUACAUAAUUAAAAGUUUUUAAGAAAUCAUAAAAUAUCAUCGUACCUAUAUGCAUUUAUAAUAAUAUAUAAUACAUCAUAAUAUAAUAGCUAAAUAGAUAAAUUAUUAAUGAUAUAAAAUAUAUAUUUAUAUUCACUGUAUUAUAUUAUUCUUUCAUAAUUGUUUCAUUAAAUAAUUCCCUAUUCUCUCUCUUUUUGUCUUCAUUUUUUCAGAUAAGCAACCAAAAAUUUUUUUUUUAUUUUAUUUUCAAGUACUGUUUUUAAAAUAAGGUACCAAACAUGUUUUUAUUUUUAAUAAAAACUAAUCAUUCUUAUUUCAUAAAAUAAAUUCAAAAACACCAUUUAAAAAAUAAUACCAAAUGCACCCUUAGAAACUAUGAGAAAUAUACUGAUUUUGCAAAUAUAUUUAAUACGUCGAUUAGACUGAAUCUUUGGAAUAAAAAUUUCAAAUUAAAUAAUAAACCCUUAGUUUCCUUUUAAUCGUAAUUAUAAUCUUAAUUAUUAAAGACAUUUUAUUUUGUGCUUGUCUUUUUUUAUUCACUCUUUUUUUAAUGAAAAAUAUUGCUCUGCAUGCAAGUCUUUGGUCGCGGGCCUAGGCGUCCCAAACAUCCAGCUGACAGCGACGUUUCCACUUUGAUUAUCCGCACUUCCCAGAAGUCGCAAGGAAAGACUUAUUCGAGUAGUUUGAUUGGUUUGAAGAUUCAUGAGACUGCUUUUCACUAGAAUUCCACGGCCUCAUUCAUUUUUUUUUUUAAUAAUCUAAAUGACAUCGAACACUCUACUCAAUAUAAAUUUUAUUCGAAUGUUCUGUUUCAACCUAAUCGGAAAUUACAAAUGAAACAAAUGCUUGCCAUCACAAACGGCCUAAAUGGGAUUUUUGUUUUUUAAAUGUUGCAAUGACUUUGAUCCUGAUGUUGAAAAUUUAUAAUGGCUUCAAUUUUAUCAUAAUUGGUUUAUAAUGCUCUGUUAGGAAGCAUGGAUAAACUGUUGGAUUAGAUUAGAUUUUAGGACUAAAAAUUAAUUUCAUCCAAUGUCAUAUUUAGCUGUCGUGACUAAUAAAUUAGUCCAAAAUUAAGAUAAGAUUUAUAAUAUUAAAUGAAAUAUUUUUGUUCUCUUUAUCACUCUUUUCUUUUUCAUUUAAAUUAAAUAUAAACAAUAAUUUCAUAAUUUUUUGUAGAAUUUUAUAUUAUACUAAAUAUCGAAAUUCUAUUCAAUAAUUUAUUUUAAGUUGUAUUUACUUAAGAUUAGUUAUCUAAGUUUAAUACAAUAAUUUAUUUGAAUAGUAUUGAAUAUUAAACAUUAAAAAUUAUUCAAUUAUUUGUUUAAAAUAAAAUUGAAUAUUAAAUAUUGAAAUAAUUAUUUAAUAGCAUAUUAUAUUAUUAAUAUAAUUAUUUAAUAGUCCAAUCUAAUGUUGUACAAAACAUGCACAAUACUAUAUAUAAUCCAAACUAAUCCAAUUCAAUCUUAAUUAAUAUUCAAUCCAAUCUUGUGAGUCAAAAUUGGCCUAAGGUUACCAAUUGUGCAAUAAUCUUUAUAGCCCGUUUCCCAGCCACACACCCUCCCUUUUCUAUUUGUAACUCGUAAUCUAACAAAUGACAUUAUACGGCUGUUACUUGCUAGUUUUUAUAAGGUGGCCAAGGCCUUUUAUCAAAACACUAUAGGAUCAACUAGUACAAAAUGAAUUCAUUUGGGAUGCAUUUAACGUACUGUGUUAGCUAUAUCGUAUUAUAAUGUAUUGCAUUAACAUGCAUUAUAUUAAGUUAUAAUGUUAUACUUUGAUAUAGUAUAAAUUGUAUUAUAUAAGGUAAUGUUUUAUAUUAAUGUUAAAACUAAAUUAAUAUUAUUUAAAUUUAUUAAUAUUUUAGGAUUUUUAUUAAUUUUUUAAAUUAAGUAUUAAAAAUUAUUUUAUAUAUAUAAAUGAGUUAAUAAUAUACUAUUAUUAAAUGAUAAAAUAUUAAAGUACUAUGUUAUAUUAUUAAAAAUUAUUAUAUUAUAAUAUAAUUUAUUUCUAGAUAUUAAUUAUUAUAAUAUAGUAUAAUCAUAUAAUAAUAUAAUAUAAGUUAAUAUUAUAUUGUAAAAAUAUAUAUUGUACAAUUAUUUAAUGUAAUAUAAAUUAAUUUAUACUAUAAUAUUAAAUUAUAAAUUUAUUUUUAUUAAUUAAAUAAAAUUAAAAUACUUUUAUGUAUUUAAACUAAAAUAAUUAAAAUAAUUUAUGUAAUAGAAGUAUGAUAAUGUAUUAUCAUUUUCUCAUUAAAUAUUUUUAGGUUUAUUAAUUUGUUAAAUUAUUAUUUAAAUUAAAAUUAAUUGUUUAAAUGUAAUAUAAAUAUAAUGAAUGUUUAAUAAAUCUACUCCUAUGGAUCUAUUUUAUAACUUUUUAUUCUAUAAAUCACGCUUAUAAUGUAGUUGUAUAAUAGAAACUGGAUAUUUAAUGGAAGCAAAAUCGCGCACGGUUUGUGGGUUAAAAGGGUCAGGAUUCUCUCCUGAUCUGAUCUUCAUUUGAGCAAAUUCUGUUAAUAUGAUUAGUGGUUAAUAAGUUAAAAAGAAAAAGUAGUUAAAUCAUAAUCAUCCAAUUUGAUACACUGAUUUUGUCCUCUUUAAUAUUUUUCUAGAUGCUUCCAUGUCAUAAUCUCAUUGGUCCAGUUUUCUUCACUGCUUAGAUUCAACUUCAAAAAUCAAUUUGAAGCAAACACAACAAUUCAACAAAUAUAAUAAGCGUCGAUAAGCUUGUGGCUGACUGGCUGUGGCCAAGCAAAACGUACCUCAUGGUUACCGAAUCAUAUCUUACGUCAGAAUUUUUAACUUAAACUAUGUUACCGUUCCACGUGUCACUCUCCAAAAAAUCCCCAAACUUUUAUCGUAUUUCCAAAGAAACCCCUAACAAAUCAAGGUAAUUACCGUCACUCUGCUCAUAUAAAUAGUCUCCUUGAUUCAACUGAUGUAGGGAUGGCAAUGGGGUGGGGUGGGGUGGGGGUGCGGAAUGGGGUACAUUAAAAUUUUUUGUCUCCAUUCCCCACCUAUUCCCUAAUAAAUUUAGUGGGUUGGGGAUGGGGAAUCCCACAUGGGGAAUGGUUUCCCCAUCCUCACCCAUUCCCCAUUUACCUAUUUUAUAGUAAAUAUAAAUAUAUUAUUUCAGUAAAUUAAAAAUUAGAAACUUAAAAUAAAUCAUCACCAUAUUAUGAAGUAUUUAUUUUUUUAAAAAAAAAUCUCUAAAAGUUUGAAACAAUAUCUUAAAAUGAUAUUAAAAGUGAAAAAUAUUUAAAGACAGCAACACCUUAAAAGAGAAAAGAAAACAUAAUAAUGUUUUAGAAUUGAAAAAUAUUGUAGGAUUUUCUUUUAUUCAUAUCUUGUUUAUAUUACAUAAAAAUUUAAAAAAAUUAUUAAUUGACAUUAUAGUUGAUAAAAUAAAAAUUACUAAAUAAGAAUUAAAAAUAUAUUUAUAUAUAAUGGGGAUUGGGGUAGGGGUGGGGUGGGGAGUGCAAUACCAAACCCCACUCCGUUAAUAAUUUGAGAAUUAUUUUUCCCCACUCCCACCCCAUUCCCCAAAAAUUAUUAAAAAAAAUUUCUAUUUGGGGUGGGGCUUCAUGGGGUCUCAAACCCGUGGAGGAUUUUGCCAUCCCUAAACUGAUGACAUAUCCUCAUAUAAAUAAAGACUAUGACGACAUUUAUUUAGAAGGGAAAAUUAUAAAAAAAAAUCUCCUCUUUCUCUGAAAAUAUAGGGUUUCUCAAGAAUAGCUAAACCUACAUCCCUAUCCUGCAAACUCUCAAUUUAACCUCUCUAGGGUUUCGAUUGAAGAGCAUUCGCUUCAAAAUUUAUUAUUCUUUUAGUGGAUUUUGGUUGUCGCGUAUCCUUCAGUUGUUAGUUCGGUUCGGAUAAUAAUUUGGAAUUCAGUUUCAAGGGUUAAGUGCAAUUUCUAAUUUUUUUAUACAAUUUAAAUUGAAAUUGAUAGAACAAUUGGGCGGUUAAUAAUUAAUUGAUGGCUAGUGAUACUACAACGGCGCCCGCGCCCGCAGCUCCGGAAAAAGUGGAGGCGGUGGAGGAGUAUGAUAGCAAUCCAGAUGAAGUGAAACGCUGUCUUGGGACACGCAGAAGGGAAGCCAGCGAUGACGAGGACGUGCAAUACCAAACCCCACUCCGUUAAUAAUUUGAGAAUUAUUUUUCCCCCACUCCCCACCCCAUUCCCCAAAAAUUAUUAAAAAAAUUUUCUAUUUGGGGUGGGGCUUCAUGGGGUCUCAAACCCGUGGAGGAUUUUGCCAUCCCUAAACUGAUGACAUAUCCUCAUAUAAAUAAAGACUAUGACGACAUUUAUUUAGAAGGGAAAAUUAUAAAAAAAAUCUCCUCUUUCUCUAAAAAUAUAGGGUUUCUCAAGAAUAGCUAAACCUACAUCCCUAUCCUGCAAAAUCUCAAUUUAACCUCUCUAGGGUUUCGAUUGAAGAGCAUUCGCUUCAAAAUUUAUUAUUCUUUUAGUGGAUUUUGGUUGUCGCGUAUCCUUCAGUUGUUAGUUCGGUUCGGAUAAUAAUUUGGAAUUCAGUUUCAAGGGUUAAGUGCAAUUUCUAAUUUUUUAUACAAUUUAAAUUGAAAUUGAUAGAACAAUUGGGCGGUUAAUAAUUAAUUGAUGGCUAGUGAUACUACAACGGCGCCCGCGCCCGCAGCUCCGGAAAAAGCGGAGGCGGUGGAGGAGUAUGAUAGCAAUCCAGAUGAAGUGAAACGCUGUCUUGGGACACGCAGAAGGGAAGCCAGCGAUGACGAGGACGUGGAGGAGGAGAGAGAUUGGGACACGCAGAAGGGAACCCAGCGAUGACGAGGACGUGCAAUACCAAACCCCACUCCGUUAAUAAUUUGAGAAUUAUUUUUCCCCCACUCCCCACCCCAUUCCCCAAAAAUUAUUAAAAAAAUUUUCUAUUUGGGGUGGGGCUUCAUGGGGUCUCAAACCCGUGGAGGAUUUUGCCAUCCUAAACUGAUGACAUAUCCUCAUAUAAAUAAAGACUAUGACGACAUUUAUUUAGAAGGGAAAAUUAUAAAAAAAUCUCCUCUUUCUCUGAAAAUAUAGGGUUUCUCAAGAAUAGCUAAACCUACAUCCCUAUCCUGCAAAAUCUCAAUUUAACCUCUCUAGGGUUUCGAUUGAAGAGCAUUCGCUUCAAAAUUUAUUAUUCUUUUAGUGGAUUUUGGUUGUCGCGUAUCCUUCAGUUGUUAGUUCGGUUCGAUAAUAAUUUGGAAUUCAGUUUCAAGGGUUAAGUGGCAAUUUCUAAUUUUUUAUACAAUUUAAAUUGAAAUUGAUAGAAACAAUUGGGCGGUUAAUAAUUAAUUGAUGGCUAGUGAUACUACAACGGCGCCCGCGCCGCAGCUCCGGAAAAAGUGGAGGCGGUGGAGGAGUAUGAUAGCAAUCCAGAUGAAGUGAAACGCUGUCUUGGGACACGCAGAGGGAAGCCAGCGAUGACGAGGACGUGCAAUACCAAACCCCACUCCGUUAAUAAUUUGAGAAUUAUUUUUCCCCACUCCCCACCCCAUCCCCAAAAAUUAUUAAAAAAAUUUUCUAUUUGGGUGGGGCUUCAUGGGGUCUCAAACCGUGGAGGAUUUUUUUGCCAUCCCUAAACUGAUGACAUAUCCUCUAUAUAAAUAAAGACUAUGACGACAUUUAUUUAGAAGGGAAAAUUAUAAAAAAAAUCUCCUCUUUCUCUAAAAAUAUAGGGUUUCUCAAGAAUAGCUAAACCUACAUCCCUAUCCUGCAAAAUCUCAAUUUAACCUCUCUAGGGUUUCGAUUGAAGAGCAUUCGCUUCAAAAUUUAUUAUUCUUUUAGUGGAUUUUGGUUGUCGCGUAUCCUUUCAGUUGUUAGGUUCGGUUUCGGAUAAUAAUUUGGAAUUCAGUUUCAAGGGUUAAGUGCAAUUUCUAAUUUUUUUAUACAAUUUAAAUUGAAAUUGAUAGAACAAUUGGGCGGUUAAUAAUUAAUUGAUGGCUAGUUGAUACUACAACGGCGCCCGCGCCCGCAGCUCCGGAAAAAGCGGAGCGGUGGAGGAGUAUGAUAGCAAUCCAGAUGAAGUGAAACGCUGUCUUGGGACACGCAGAAGGGAAGCCAGCGAUGACGAGGACGUGCAAUACCAAACCCCACUCCGUUAAUAAAUUGAGAAUUAUUUUUCCCCCACUCCCCACCCCAUUCCCCAAAAAUUAUUAAAAAAAUUUUCUAUUUGGGGUGGGGCUUCAUGGGGUCUCAAACCCGUGGAGGAUUUUGCCAUCCCUAAACUGAUGACAUAUCCUCAUAUAAAUAAAGACUAUGACGACAUUUAUUUAGAAGGGAAAAUUAUAAAAAAAAUCUCCUCUUUCUCUAAAAAUAUAGGGUUUCUCAAGAAUAGCUAAACCUACAUCCCUAUCCUGCAAAAUCUCAAUUUAACCUCUCUAGGGUUUCGAUUGAAGAGCAUUCGCUUCAAAAUUUAUUAUUCUUUUAGUGGAUUUUGGUUGUCGCGUAUCCUUCAGUUGUUAGUUCGGUUCGGAUAAUAAUUUGGAAUUCAGUUUCAAGGGUUAAGUGCAAUUUCUAAUUUUUUAUACAAUUUAAAUUGAAAUUGAUAGAACAAUUGGGCGGUUAAUAAUUAAUUGAUGGCUAGUGAUACUACAACGGCGCCGCGCCCGCAGCUCCGGAAAAGCGGAGGCGGUGGAGGAGUAUGAUAGCAAUCCAGAUGAAGUGAAACGCUGUCUUGGGACACGCAGAAGGGAAGCCAGCGAUGACGAGGACGUGGAGGAGAGAGAGAUUGGGACACGCAGAAGGGAACCCAGCGAUGACGAGGACGUGCAAUACCAAACCCCACUCCGUUAAUAAUUUGAGAAUUAUUUUUCCCCCACUCCCCACCCCAUUCCCCAAAAAUUAUUAAAAAAAUUUUCUAUUUGGGGUGGGGCUUCAUGGGGUCUCAAACCCGUGGAGGAUUUUGCCAUCCCUAAACUGAUGACAUAUCCUCAUAUAAAUAAAGACUAUGACGACAUUUAUUUAGAAGGGAAAAUUAUAAAAAAAAUCUCCUCUUUCUCUGAAAAUAUAGGGUUUCUCAAGAAUAGCUAAACCUACAUCCCUAUCCUGCAAAAUCUCAAUUUAACUCUCUAGGGUUUCGAUUGAAGAGCAUUCGCUUCAAAAUUUAUUAUUCUUUUAGUGGAUUUUGGUUGUCGCGUAUCCUUCAGUUGUUAGUUCGGUUCGGAUAAUAAUUUGGAAUUCAGUUUCAAGGGUUAAGUGCAAUUUCUAAUUUUUUUAUACAAUUUAAAUUGAAAUUGAUAGAACAAUUGGGCGGUUAAUAAUUAAUUGAUGGCUAGUGAUACUACAACGGCGCCCGCGCCCGCAGCUCCGGAAAAAGUGGAGGCGGUGGAGGAGUAUGAUAGCAAUCCAGAUGAAGUGAAACGCUGUCUUGGGACACGCAGAAGGGAAGCCAGCGAUGACGAGGACGUGCAAUACCAAACCCCACUCCGUUAAUAAUUUGAGAAUUAUUUUUCCCCCACUCCCCACCCCAUUCCCCAAAAAUUAUUAAAAAAAUUUUCUAUUUGGGGUGGGGCUUCAUGGGGUCUCAAACCCGUGGAGGAUUUUGCCAUCCUAAACUGAUGACAUAUCCUCAUAUAAAUAAAGACUAUGACGACAUUUAUUUAGAAGGGAAAAUUAUAAAAAAAAUCUCCUCUUUCUCUAAAAAUAUAGGGUUUCUCAAGAAUAGCUAAACCUACAUCCCUAUCCUGCAAAAUCUCAAUUUAACCUCUCUAGGGUUUCGAUUGAAGAGCAUUCGCUUCAAAAUUUAUUAUUCUUUUAGUGGAUUUUGGUUGUCGCGUAUCCUUCAGUUGUUAGUUCGGUUCGGAUAAUAAUUUGGAAUUCAGUUUCAAGGGUUAAGUGCAAUUUCUAAUUUUUUAUACAAUUUAAAUUGAAAUUGAUAGAACAAUUGGGCGGUUAAUAAUUAAUUGAUGGCUAGUGAUACUACAACGGCGCCCGCGCCCGCAGCUCCGGAAAAAGCGGAGGCGGUGGAGGAGUAUGAUAGCAAUCCAGAUGAAGUGAAACGCUGUCUUGGGACACGCAGAAGGGAAGCCAGCGAUGACGAGGACGUGGAGGAGGAGAGAGAUUGAGGGCUUCCAAUGGCGAAGUGUCCACAUUCCUGCGGGAGAAGCGGAGGCUGUGGAUGAGUACGAGAGCGAUCCAGAUGAAGUGAAAUACUCUCUUGUGAUGGGCAGAAUGGAAGCAAGCGAUGAUAAGGAGGAGGAGGAUAAAGAAUUUGAGCGUCGAAUGAACCGUAGGGUCCACAUUCAUUCUUACGAUGAAUCUGAUGGCCAAGGUGGUGUCCAGCUGAGUAUGGUGAGGUUGAUGAUGAAGAAGAUGACAGAGAAUUAGAAGAAGAAGAUGAAGAGGGGGAUGUGAUAUGACUUCAUAUCAUUUAAUUUGUAUAACCGUGACGCCAAUCCCAUUGAUCCUGGUCCGACCCGAACGGAUCUUGUUGAAUGAAUUGAUCCAUUGUUGUAUGCCUUACUUCUUAGUGAUUUUUUUCCUACUUGGAGCCGCCUUUGAGUACUCCUGGGAGAUAAAGUGGAAACGUUUUUUAUGGUGAAGAGUGGGGAGUGAAAAGACCAAUUCAGCAGAGAACGACCGCAUGAAUCGGAAUCCAAGAAAGGCUCCACGUUCUCCAAGUGAUUGAUCUUAGCGUAGCGUGCUAGCCGCUGCUUCAUUUCGUAUAGUGAUAACGCUUUCUUAGCGCUCCGCCGCCCCCCCCCCCCCCCCGGCGGCCGCGCCCGGGGUAUAGUAGGGGACUGGUUGCGCGGCUUUCUCUUAUAGGGGUCUAUUUUCCCUUACUUUACUCAACUUGAGUCGGUUAGAGUAUCGCUUUCAUACGGCAAGAGUUAUUGAUUCAAAUCCAAUAGUAGGUAAUAAUGCUGUCAAUGUCGGUUAGAGUAUCCAAGAGUUAUUGAUUCAAACGCAGUUGUCAACCACAUUCGAAUAACCCUUCUGCUACCUUCUAAAAACCCUUGCAUGGGCAUUAAUGCUGGCAUAAUCUCUUUGACUUCCCUUGCAUUUGAAUGAAUGGAUGAGCGUUGCAUUUGAAUGAAUGGAUCAGUGUCAAUGCAGGCUAAGAUUUUCUGGACUUUCAUGGAUGCACAAUAAAUGCUACGUCAAAGGCCUGGUAAGAUGUCAGCAAGCUGGUCGAAGAUAUCAACCUGAUUUGGUGGCUGCAAGAUUUGUUCAUCCAGGACCAUUUUCUUUGACAAUGAGAAAGCCCCAAUGUCUAUAAAUUGAGAACUCACUGAAUUGUAGAGAGAGGGGAAAGUGAAUAACGGGAGAGCCAGUGAAAAGAGAGUGUGGGAAUAUUUGUGCGUAAUUGGGGUUUGGGUGUGAGAUAAAAUAAUCAGAGAGUGGUUGUAAUAAUUUUUUAUAUAGUGAAAAUUUUUGUCUCCUUGUUUUUUGCAGUGGUGGUAAAUUUUGUCUCUAAUAAAGGAGUCUUCCAAGUAAAUUUUGUGUGUUAUGAUUGGGAUAUUCACCAUUUUAGUUUUUUAUUUAUUAUUUGUUUUACAUAUUGCUAGCAAAAAUCUGGGGCGGGAACCGAAAAUUCCCAACAAUUAUUAAUUAUUUUAAACUCUGUUCUGAACAGAGCAUGAAGGGUUUCACUUACCUAGUUACGUUUUUCAUUCUUUCACUUCACUUGAUUUCAUCUUGUCCCUCUCCUUUAUAGAAGUUGCAGAGCUUGGAUCUUUACUCGAACAGUUUCACUGGCUCUAUUUCUGACACAUUGGGCAAGCUGAAGGAAUUGCAAUUCCUGUAUGAUAAUUUCCCCAACUAUUAUUUGAAUAAUUAUUUAAUGCCGUUCAUUCCAGCACUGUUUGGCUGUCAACUUUAUUUUGUUAUUUAUGAGGAGAUUCAUUUCCCACCUGAAGCUAGAAAUUUACGGAUCAAUGACUUUUUUUUUUUCGGGGGCCAAUUGCAGUUUUGAUAACAACUAAAAUCUGUGUGGUCCGGUUACCACAAAGCCUUGCCCCAGAUCCCUGCCAUUUUCUCCUCCACCUCCAUUUGGGGAAAUUACUACUUACUUUUUGCAAGUUUUUCUUGAAAUAUUUAUUUUGAUAAGAAAACCAAUAAUACAUUUUAAGAUUUGGGCUGUUUCAAAGAUUUCGCUUGAUGUCUCUGCUACUGGUUUUCAGCAGAGUGCCCAAAAAUAGUUUUCAGCAGUACAAAAAGUAUAUAUUUUGUACCUUCCAUACAUUUUGCUUUGUUAAUGUUAUUAUUUGAUAACAUGUUUGUCGAGUUGCACAGUGUAUAAAUGCUAUACAAAUACACUCCUUUCAUUUUAUACAACUUUGAUCGAUCAAGUUGUAUCUCUUUGAUAAUAUGUUCAAUCUCCUUUCAUUUUAAACUUCAAUUGAGUUGCUAUCUAUUUAACAUUGGCAAGUCAGAGAGAGGGAUGGGACUGUCCAAUUAAAAUUAAGUUCCAAGUGCCAAUCCCACCAUUGUCGUCUCUUGUUUGCCAAAUUCAAAUUUGAAAAUCUCACCAAGUCAGUAUGGUGAUGUUGUGGGAUUGUCUCGCCUAGGUUUUUAGCCUCAUGACCUCCUUUAUUAGAAAAUGUCUUAAGUGUUCUUACUCAAUGGUAGAAUCAUAAUUUUACUUCAAUGGAAGCCAUAAUGAUUAAAAUAUACUCUUUUGAUUAAUUACUUAUUUGAUGUUGCUCUCUCUACCUUCAUCUCCUUCUUUAUGAAAAAUUUAUUGUAAUACAUGGAAGUAUAUAUUGCAUUGAAUAAAAUGAAAUUGUUCAAAAAUUAACAAAUUCAGCUUUAUUAUAAUCUAAAACAAAGUAAAUAAAAUAAUACCCAUCAUGUAAAAAUUAAAAAAAUAAAAAAUUUUGUACCACUUUGAAUCUAUUUUAAUUUUUUUGGUCAAAUCUCAGAAGCACAAAAUUUGACCAACAAUAAUAGGUAAAAACUAAUAAUCUUAUAAUAAAAAGUAAUAUUUAAAAAUUGAAAAUUAAAUUAUGCUAGUAAUUCCGUAAAAUUAAAAUUUAUCUCCCAAAAUUGAUAAAUACUAUGUCACUUUGUCAAAUUACUUAGGAUAAAAGUUAUGUGGCUAAAAACUUUUAAGAUGAGUUGUAUGCUAAUGGAGAAGGACAAGACACAAAAGAAUUCAAUGAAUGCUACAUCACGCAACAAUGCUUACUCUUAACAAAUUAUUACAAUUUACAAACGUGAUUCAUGAAACUUGACUUUUUUGUCUAAAGAAAGGACUAAAGAAACAUGCUAAGCAACAAAUAAAAAGUUGAUAGGCACUAUUUAAAUAGUAUUAAUAUGGCAACAAAAAACAUGCGAGCAAAGUAGCCUAUUCCUUUAUUCUAUAAAUAGCUCAUUUGAGCUUAGAACCUUUAAAGUGUGUCGUACGUUUCUGUUACUUCCAAUAAAGAUUUUCUCUAUUCCCUUUUCUUCCACUUUCUCUUCCAUUUUCACGAUCCCCAAACACCAUCAAUCCAUGAUUUUCUAGAGUAUUAGCUGUCUAUUUCUACAAACAUAGAAUUGCUGUUUUAAGAAACAAAGUAGUCUGUCCUGUCACCCAUGAUUGCCUCUUUCUUUUCUCCACAAAUCUUUGGUUAAUUUUUAUUUUCCCUCAACUUUUUUCCCCUUUAGCACCAAAAUUGAUUUUUGAUACUUUAUGCAAAAAUUAUGAUGAAAAUGAGUCACUUUAGAACAUCAAUAAAUUUUUUUUUACAUCCAAAAUAACGACAAUUACACUUAGAUCACUCUUAUUUAGUUGAAUUAUAUAUGUAAUAAUGUUGGCUUAACAAAAUAUAAUUCUUGACCGUUGUAAUUACGAGCUGGCAUUCUUUGGUUUUAGUAGUAGGGCUUAUAACGCUGUGCAACAAUUCUUGGUGGCUUCGAAUUAUUAUACGAUCAUUCUCAAUUCUUUACGGUACGUAAUUAAAAAUUCCUAUAUCACAAUUAGAACUUACAAACAAGUCAAAGUGAAUUAAAUCAAACGUAUAAAUUCGAGGUCUAUUACAAACUUCUAAAAAAGAUUUUCUCUGCUCUUUUUUCUUUCACUUUCUCUUCCAUUUUGCCAAUCCCCAAACACCGCCAAUCCUUGAUUUUUUAAGUAUUAGCUGUCAAUUUCUACAAACAUAGAACUGCUGUUUGUUUGUCUAAUUACUUUCAAGAAACAAAACUCUCUGUCAUGUGGUCUCUUCGUUUAUUGGCUUGUGAGCAAAUAAGAUAUUGGGCCGAUGGGCUUAACGUGACAAGUUCUUGAAUUGAAUGGCUCCUCUUUUUUUCAUAAAUCUUUGCUAAACUUUUUUGUUCCCUCAACCUUUUUUGGCCUUUCGCGCUAAAAUUCUUUUUUUGAUACAUUAUGCAAAAAUUAUGAUGAAAAUGAGUUACUUUAGAACAUCAAUAAAUUUUUAUUACAUCUAUAAUAAGACAACUGUAGUGAGAUUUCUCUUAUUUAGUUGAAUUAUAUGUAAUAAAAUUAGUUUAACGAAAUCUAACCCGUCAAUAUUCCAUAUGACAUAAUUAACGUAUUUAAAAAAUCUUAGCUGUUCCGUCGCUUGUUUUACAAUUCUUUUAUAUAUCUUUGAGACUUUCUGCUUCCUGACACAUCAUAUUGUUCUCAAUUCGUCUAAAUUAAUUUUUUCUUCAAACACUGCAGCAACAACCGGUAUAAAAUAGAAUGAACUCAUUUAAUGGGAAUUUUUCUCAUUGGUCUAUUUCUCUUCGCACCUUAGGUUCCUCUAACAAACUUAAAAGAUGUUCCCCAUCCCACGUGUCCCCAAAUCUUCGUAUUUCCAAACAAACCCCUGCCAAAUAGAGAAGAGGAUGGCUUUUAUUGCAACCUGUAUGAACGUUAUGGCCAUAGGACAUUGGAUCAAAAUCAAACCAAUGGAUUGUAAAGCAAAAUUACCAAUUAAAAAUUCAACCAAUUGAAUCGGUUUGGUGUCACUUAAAAAAUAAAUAAUAUAUAAAACAACACAAUUAAAUUCAUUCAGUCAGUAUUUUUCUUUUCUCAUUUUCAAUGAAUGCUUAAUAUGGAAAACAAUCUGUCCCAUUGAGCACUGUUUAAAUCAUUCCCUAGUUUGUUCAACAAGCAAAGAAUAUUCUUAUUCGGCUCGGCAGCCAAUCCGUUAAAAUUUGUAAAAAUUCAUUUAAGUGAUGACUGUGAUAUGACUCGAUCAAUCGUUUAAUUUGUAUAAUUUAUAAAAAUUUGAGCUUCAAGUAAUGUAGAUAGAAUGGUUAAUUAUUUUAAUAUUCAGAUAAAUUGAUAUAUGUCAUUAUAUUAUGAGUGGAUGAAAUAUCCAAUAGAAAAAAAAAAAUGUUUGUAUUCGUCAUUUUUAAUGGGAAUCUAUUUAGUUUAACUUAUCCAUAAAAAUGGUUGCCAGACUUAUCUUGUUUCUCAUUUUGUUUAAUUUUCAUAAAUUUGACUCACGAUUAAUUGUGAGUGAAGAAUUUUUUGAAAAAAAUCUGGUCUUCCAUUUAUUUUGUAGGAUUUAAAAGAUUAAAAAACUUUAAUACAUAUAAUUUUAUGCUCGAAACUAAAUACUCGUAGCAUUGCUGCUUCUAUAAAUAACUCAUUUGUGCUUCCAACUUGUUAUUUGUAUUUUACGUUUUUGUUUCUCUUCAUAAAGAUUUUCUUUUUUUUCUUUUUUCCUUUCACUUUUUCUUCCAUUUUCCCGACUCCCAAACACCACUAAUCCUUGAUUUUCUAGAGUAUUAACUGUCCGUUUCUACGAACAUAGACCUACUGUUUGUCUAAAUACUAUCAAGAAACAAUAUACUCUGUCGCGGGAUCUCUUCGUUUAUUGACUUUUGACUUGUGAACGGGGCUAAUUAAAGGGCAUUCCUUUCUUCAAGAAAGAAUGCAAAGAAAGUACUAUCCAUGAGACACGUUAAAAAUUAUUUUACAUAAAAAAUGAUAAUAAUCAUAAUAAUCGGUUUAGUGUAACCCCGUUAUUACUUAGUGACUGUUCGAUUGUCUUCUCUUUCAUUGACUUCGCAACUGUGACUUCUAAAUUGGGUCAAGGAUCGACAAAAAAUGUUAUAACCUAUAAAGCAUGGAUAAUUAAUUAAUGGGAAUGCACCUCUCAUCUUUACCAUUCUCUUUGUCAUUUUCAUAAUUCAGCUGUUUAUUAAUAAAGUGAAUAAAUUUAUCUUUUAAUAAUAUGUUUCUUGGCUGUUUUUUGUGUAUUUUUGCGUACAAUUUUGUGUGCAAAUAGCAUUAUUCAUUAGUAAUAAGUCUGGAGUGUUCUAAUUUCUUCUAACAAGUAGCUCAUUUUAGCUUAGGACAUGUAACUAGUAUUUUAUGUUUCUGUUAAUCUUUAAUAAAGAUUUUCUCUAUUUUUUUUUUUCCUUUCACUUUCUCUUCCAUUUUCCCCGACUCCCAAACACCACCAAUCCUUGAUUUUCCAGAGCAUUAGCUCUCUAUUUCGACAAAGGCAUAAUUAGUCACGGUCCGAUUGUCUGACUUCUCCGUUGACUCGGUCAAUUCACGACCUUGACCUGCACAGUUGAUACAAACGGACUUCUCCAUUUGAUGUGCACAAAACUUUCUUGGGUCAUUUUGUUUGGUGAUGAUGAAUUGGAUGUCAGUUCAUGAGUUUCAUGAUGAAGGGGACCAAAAACAUUAUUUUAUUAUUUAAAGAAGACUAACAAUUAUUUCGAUGGUCAUUUUAUUAUUAUUUUUUAAAUAUCCAAAUGGUGAAAUUUUAAAGAAUUAAGGUGGUUGACUUCUUUACACAGAAUUACAAAGCAAAACAAUUAAGAAAUUAAAUACUCGUCAUCCAAGUGAGAAGAGAUUGGGUUGUUGAUACAUUAAAUAAAAGAAAAAUCAAUUAAAAGCACAACAAUUCAAUAAUUUCAUUCUCAAUCAUAUCAAAAAUAAAAUUUACUGUACAUUGUUGUUCGGUUCUGUAAAAAAAAAAAAAUUAUUAGGGAUUUGCAGUUUUUUUUAGUGUAAUUCUCGUUAAUUAAAGUUUAGUCUGAAGGGUUAAGCACAUGGAUCAUAAUCAUAGUAUGGCCUAAGGAAGGAGCACAGUUCAUUGGCUGCACUCAGUUUACAGAAUAUUUUGGGAUUCAAGACUGUAGGUUGUUCCGGAUGUAACUUGCAAAGGCUGUUGCUGUGUAACUGUAUGCCAAGCUGGCAAGUGUGCUAUACACAUAUUGUUGAGAUAGCACCAAAGAUUGUAAACUAAUUAGUACUGGAAAAUCCUAUUUGCACAAAAAAAUUGCACAAAAUAAAUAGAAUGAGAAUACUUAUGCAAAAAAAAUAAGAUUAAUAAAGUGGAUAAAUUUAUCUUUUAAUAAAAUAUUUCUAGUCUUUCAGUGUUUUCGUGUAUUUUUGUGUACGUGCAAAUAAUAUUACUCAUGAGUAAUUAGUCUAGAGCGUUGUAAUUUCUUCUAAUAAGUAGCUCAUUUGAGCCUACUACCUGUAACUAUGUUUUAUGUUUCUAUUACUUUCUAAUAAAGAUUUUCUCUGUUUUUGUUUUUUUCCCCCUUUUACCUUCUCUUCCAUUUUUCCAACUCCCAAACACUACUAAUCCUUGUUUUUUGUUUUUUUUCCCCCUUUGAACGGGGCUAAUGUUGGUCUAACUGCUUUCAUGAAACAACGUACUCUGCGGUUAAAAUUAAUUGAUCAUUUUAUUUGGUGAUAAUGAAUUGGUUGUCAAGUCAUGAGUUUGAUGAUGCACAGGACGAAAAACGUUAUUUUAUUAUUUAAAAUAAUACUAACAAUUAUGUUGAUGGUCAUUUUAUUUUUUAAAAUAUGCAAAUGGAAUUUUACCGAACUAUAGUGCUUGACUUCUUCAUACAGUGAUUGACUUCUUUGUACAGAAUUAUAAAGUGAAAGAAAUUACGAAAUUAAAUACUUUUCGUGCGAGUGGGGGAGAAAUUCUGUAUAUUUAUGAAAUAACUAUUGAUUUCACUUUGGUAAUUACUUUUUAAAAGUAACGUAAACAUUUUUAUUUUAUUUGCAUUCGAGCUUUCUUUCUUUUUCGCUGGCCUUUACUCUUGACCGUAUUUCAUGGGGCAUAUUCAAUCUGAAUCCUCUGCAAGUUUGUGGCAGUUUGGUUAGUUACGAACUUUCGUAGAAUUGCAUGAAGAUGACGCUUUUAUAGACAUUUUUUCUUGUUUCUUUUUUUCUUCAGUGAACAUAUUAAAAAUUUAGUUUUUUGUCAUCAUGACUAGAACAGUAAAAUGAAAAUAGUCCUCAUUUUGACGAUUGACAAAAAUGUUGUACUCAUACCGAUUAAUGGGCCACUGAUUUCGUCUUCUUAAAAAAUUAUUAUUGCAGUGAGGUAAUUGGAUCGAAGAUGAACGAUUUCCAUAUUUGCCUAACCUAAGUGAUAAGAAUUUUCAUAUGAGACAUAAUCUGGUUUAUUUUGCUUGACUGUAUUCCAAGAGACAGUCAUAUCUACUAAAUGAAACAAAUCUUGCUUUUCUAGAGAAAUAAUGCAAUAUGCAAUUAUGCAUGAAGGUGCGCAUCCAUGUGAGAAAGUUGACGAAAGCUUCUUUUUCAGUAUUGGAAGUGCAAUCCACAGCGGAACAUUGGAUAAAACCAAUGGAAUGUAAAGCAAAAUUACCGAUUAAACUAAAUUGAAAAUCCAACUAGUUGAAUCAGUUCAGUGUCACUAAAAAAAAAAAUUAUAUAUAUAUAACAACACAAUUAUCAUAUUAAUGAGGCACUGUUAAAUUCGAAUAUUUUUCUUUUUCAUUUUUAAUGAAUGCUUAAUAUGACAAACAAUUUGUUCCAUUGAGCACUGUUUAAGUCAUUCAAUGAAAAUGAAUACUUCUAUACAAAACAAUUAUUCCCUUGUCUAUCUGACACACAAAGAACUUUCUUGCUCAGCUCGGCUGCCAAUCCUUUAAAGUUUGUUAAAAUUCAGUCAAUUGAUGAACGAGACAUAACUCAAUAAAUCGUUUAAUUUGUGUAAUUGAUAAAAAUUUAAACUUCAAAUAAUAUAGAUAAAAUGAUUUUUUUUAAUAUUUAGAUAAUUGAUAUAUGUCAUGUUAUUAUGAGUGAAAGAAUGAAGUGUCUGAUAGAAAACACAAUGUUUAUGUUUGUAUCAAAAAUUUUAAGUGCGAAUCUAUUUAGUGUGUACGAUAUAAAUAAAAAUAGUUACCAACUUGUCCUGUUUCUCAUUUUGUUUAAUUUUCAUAAUUUGACUAAGGAUUAAUUAUGAGUCAAUGGUUUAUUGGAAAAAUAUGAUCUUCCAUUUACUAUAAAAGAUUAGCGUGAUUUAAUUAUUUAAUGGUCGUUCAAUUUUAUUGGUUACAAAAUUCUCUAGGAUUGCAUGUAGAUUAUACUUUUAUAUAUAAAAACAAACACUGUCAACAAGCAUUAAUGUCAUUUGACGCAUGAAAGACAAUUAGUCCCAUUUUUUGUCCUGUUUACUUGAACACCACUAAUUCCACUAAUUCCAACAAUUUAUCCAAAAAAACUAUAGUUAGUUUGCCAGGUUCUAGGGGGGCUACUCUUCUUUUUUUUUUUUUUUUUUUCGAUCUGUUAAUGAAUGCUCCUACUCCUAUCGGUUCUAUAUCCAACUCGACCUCGGAAGCUAAUUCGCGUGGGCUUUAUUGGAAUAAUGGUAUCGAUUGGAAUUGUAAGGAAAGAGGUCUUCGUGUCGUGGACAGCUCAACCGAAGAGAGCAGAUGAGCCUUUUCCACCCUUUGCAGAAGAAGGAAAUAAGCUGCCUAAAAUAUUUUUUCACAAAAAUAUUUAUGGCUGUAUCAUUACUCAUUAACUAAUAGGCCACUAAUUUAUUCUUCUUGAAAGAGAAUUACUGCAGCGAGGUUGGAGGCUCAAAGAGUUCUCAUUUAGCCAAACAUAAGAAAUAAGAGUUCAUAGAAGACGUAAUUUGGAAAAUCAAUUCCAUCCAAUAGGCAAUAGGUCUCAGUGGGUUCGACUUAGUAUACGAUUAUUUUCAAAUUUUUAACGUCUUGUAAUUACAGAUUCCGAUAUCACAAUAUAAUUUUCAAACAAAUUAAAGUGAGUCAACUCAAAUUUAGAAAUUUGAGGUCUACUAUAGACUCUUGACAUAUUAAAUCUAAGAUAAUUAAGUAAAUGCUAGACAAAAUCUAACUUGUAAAUAUACCUUACUGCAUGAUGAACGUUCUUAAAAAUCUUAACUGAUUGCUCACCAAUUAAUUGUAAUUUUAAAAUUUUUACAUAUCCUUUCUUUUCCCUAAAACUUCUAGUUUCCUAACAUAUUGUUCUCAAUUGGUCUAAUUAUAAUGUAAAAUUUUUUAAAUAUAAAUUAAAUGAAUUUAUUUAAUAGAAAUUUGAAAAAGAGACACUUAUCUAUGCAAGCAAAGUUGCAUUCUGUUUGUGGGGACCUUAAAAAAAUUUUUUAAAAAAAAGCAUAAUGAUACACUGAUGACGACAAUCCUUAAGUAUUUGUUUUCUUUAGUUACAGUUUGGUUUGAAUGGUUAAGUUCAAGUUCGAAUUUUCUUUUUGUAAUUUAAAUUAAAAUUGAUAGAACAAAUGGGCUGAUCAGUAUGAUGAAGAAGAAGAAGAAGUAAAAGCUAUUAAGCAUUAUCCUAUCACCAUAUCAAAUGGACCGAAUUCAAUCAAAUGAAAUCUAGAAAAUAGAGCAGCUCAUAGAUGUACGUCGCUAAGUGGAGGUUCAUUUGGAAGUACUUGGUCGAAUUGCGACUUGCGCCGGAGGCUUCGUUUUAGAAGAGUGCAGAGCAGCUGCCUUGUCCAUUAGGCACGCCAACGACUUUCUAUUGACCAAUAAUUUUGAAAGCGAUAUUAUAAAUUUACCAUCUAAUUUUUUUUUCUUAUCAUUUCACCAUCAAAAUUUUUUGAUAAACAUCUUUAUUUUCUUUGCAUACGAGCCUUCUUUCUUUUGCUUUGGCCUUUACUCUUGACUGUAUUUCAUGGUCCUAUUCAAUCUAAAUCUUCUGUAGGUUUGUGGCUGUUUUAUGAGUUACGAUUUUUUAUAGGGUUGCAUGUAGAUGAUACAUUUAUAUACAUUUUUUCUUUUUUCUUUUAUUUUUCGGUGAAGAUACUAAAAUUUAGUUUUUGUUAUCAUGUGAAAUGAAAAUAGUCCUCACUUCAAGGAUUAAUGGGCCACUAAUUUCGUCUUCUUAAAAGAAAAUUUUUUGCAGCGAGGUAAUUGGAAGCUCGAAGAUUUCUAUAUUACAUAGUCAAACCUAAGUGAUAAGAAUUUCCAUAUGAGAUAUAAUUUGGAAAAAAAAAAAACAAUUCAAGUUAAAGAUAAAAAAUCUGUGUUCCUUAAAAAACAUAAUUCAAGCCACACAAUUUUUCUUGUUUUAUUUGAAAAAAAGAAAUUUGUGUUCCUCACAAAAACACUUUAACAUUUGUUGUCUCAUAGAGGGAAAUGUCCUUCACUCUUUGACGUAUCCCUGGGGCAAUGUAAGUUGACUUUACAUUAAAACAAAAUUGUCAUGUAGUUAAGAAAAAUCAGUCUCAUUUGAUACGCAAAGAGCUUUUUUACUCUGCAGCCAAUAUUUUGAUGAAUGAGACAUUACUGGUUUGUAUAAUUUUUUGGAUAUUAUCUCAAUUUUACUUCUGUAGGUUUGUUGUUUGUAUAUUAUCUCAAUUUUUAAAAAAAUGUAACUGCAAUUAUCAAACACGACUAAUCCCAACAAUUUAUCCAAAAAUUUUUGUUUCGAGAAAUGUAGCAUUUAUGAUAGAAUGGCUAAUUUUUUCAAUCGACUUUCUGGAUAAAUGAUAAUUUUUUGAUAGAAAUGUUACUUACUUAUUACAGGAAGAAAAUUAUAGAAUAAUUUUUUGAAUUAAUAGUAUUACUUUACGAUAACACUAUCACAAUCUAAUUAUAAAAAAAAAUAAAGUUAUUCUUUAAAUUUCGCAUUACUAUUCCUACUUUUCUUUUUAUACUACUUAAUGGCACUGGUGAAGCCUCGAAUUAUCAAACAAAAGGCAAAAAUAGUUCAAUAUCUGCUGUCCCACUGAGCAUUGUUAAAUUCAUAUGAUAAAAUGAGUACUUAUAUUAAAAAAACAAUCGGUCUCAUUGCGUGCUCUUUAAUAAUUUGUGGCACUUUUAUGAAUUUUCAAGACUAGUGAAUUUUUCAAAUUUAAAAGAAAAAAUACAGAAAUGUAAUCUCAAUUUAUCCAAAAAUUUGAGUUUCAUGGAAUAUAGCAUUUAUUAUAAGUCAUGUUAAGAUAGAGAAGAAAAUUUUAAAAACUUCUUUUUGGAUGAAUAAAAGUAUUUUCUGAUAAAUAUUUCACAAUCAUGUUUAAAAAAAUUUCACUCCUCUUGGUACAUAAUUUAAGAAUUUGACAUUAUAAAUUAAUCUUUUUAAUCAAAGUAAUAAUCUCUCCUCGGCCUGCAAAUGCUAAAAUUUAAUAUUAUAUCCGUUGACGAUAUUUUGCUCCAAAUUCACGAAAAUAAAAUUUCUAACAGAAUUAUGAAAUUCAUUACUAGAAAUUUGUAUAAAAGUUGUGAGAAUAGAAGGUUUGAUCAUAGGAAAUUAAUAUAUCCCUAUCCGAUGCAAAAAUGAUUGUAAAGAAAAACAAAAGUCACAGGCUUAUUUAGAAAAAAAAAAAGAAGAAAAAAUUACAUUCCAUUUUCCAGUUAUUAAAGUAAUUCUAAAAUUGCUAGGAUCACAAAGGAUAGGCUUUGGUUGACUGAGGUCAGCCUUAACGGAUGCCGGUCUUUUCUCCUGUACGUUCUUAGAAAUUUUGGUUUUCACUAUAAAUACUCGGUAUAUAGCAAACUUAUAAGUGUUCUUGCGUAUAGAAAGAGUUCAUUCUCUCAGGAUGAUGAGCAGAUUUCUCUUACUCCAUUGUUUGAUUCUUAUUUCCUUAUUUAUCGCGGCAGCAACAGCCAACACAAGUUCUACUAUCACAGACCGAGAUGCUCUGUUAGCCCUGAAAGCUCACAUAACUCAUGAUCCGACCAAUUUCUUGGCCAAGAAUUGGAACACAAGUACUCCUGUCUGUAAUUGGACAGGCGUCACUUGUGAUGUCCAUAGCCAUAGAGUCACAGUCUUGAAUAUUUCAAGCUUAAAUCUCACAGGCACCAUCCCUUCUCAACUUGGGAAUCUUUCUUCUCUGAAAUCACUCAAUCUCAGUUUUAACCGACUUUCUGGUUCCAUUCCCUCUACCAUCUUCACCACGUUUACACUGACAUAUGUUAGUCUCCGUCAAAAUCAGCUCUCUGGGCAAAUUGCUGCAAAUAUUUGUAGUAAUCUUCCUUUUCUUGAAGUUCUUUCUUUGUCCCGAAACAUGUUCCAAGGUGGAAUACCGUCCACUCUAUCAAAUUGCACAUAUUUGCAAACAUUAGCUUUGUCAUACAAUAAUUUCUCGGGGACCAUACCUAUAGAAAUCGGCAAUUUGACCAAACUUAAGGAAUUAUAUCUUGGCGUUAACAGACUCCAAGGUGCGCAUGAUCACGGAGUUUCAUUAUGAAAGUUGUUCCAUAAGUUGUAAUAUGAAUAAUGUUCCAUAAUACAGUUUACACACGUUGAUUAAUUUGCAGGAGAAAUUCCGCGAGAGUUUGGCAAUCUUGCCGACUUGGAGCAGAUGUCGUUGGCGAUAAACAAUCUCCAAGGCAUGAUUUUAAACUUUUUGCAAUUUUAUUUUAGCUAUGCUUGCUUCUGUAUUCAUUCGCUUGUUCUUUGAUUAUGCGAUGAUUUAUUGUUUUUCUUUCAGAUAGAGAUAAAGCUCCAUGUCUCCCCUCGCUCAUUUCAUUCUUUAAUUUAUGCAGAUAAAAAUUAAAAAAAAAUGUUUUGUAAUUUUCUUUUGUCAUAUUGCCACUUCCAUUUUGAAGCUAUUCUUAUAUAAAUGAAGAGUAAAUUGUUAUUACGAUAUUCGUCAGCCAAUAAAUUCUUCUUUUUUUUUCCCCCCAAACACGAGUGAUCAAAUUGUUUGCGCAUAUAUAAAUGUACUUAAUUUGCAGGAGGUAUUCCACGGGAAUUGGGGAAUCUUACAAAAUUGGAGAUGUUACAGUUGUUCGAGAAUAACUUGACCGGUAACCUUCUUUACAAUAUAUAUACGAGACAUCUUCCGCUUUUUAUUAGAAAUUAUAAAUUCAAGUUAAAUCUUAAUUAAAAGAUUUCAAGUCUCCCAUUAUAAAUUCUCAUAUGAUGAUGUGUCGUUACCACUAUCUAACAUUAUUCCGUUUUUUAUUAGAAAUUAGUUUGUGUUAAUUCAAAAUUCUGUAGCAUUCAAAAAAUUAAAAACACGUGGAAUAAAUUGUUAAUCUUUCUUCUUUACUGAAUUUGGAUUUCCCAAAAAUAAUCUUGACAAGUAUGCUUCACUAAUGAUACGCAUGUGUGACAACUUCAUAAAAUAUUUUACGUGGAAUCACUAAUUAUCUCUAAAGAUGCCAUCAGUGAUACAUAAUUUCUUAACAAGCACCAUACCAAAAGAAAUCAACAAUUUUAUUAAUCUUAAAGAGUUACAUCUUCACUGCAAUUAUGACAUAAAUUUUUAGUCAUCAAUCGCAUAAUAUUUUAUCUUAACUGAUGAUGAUGUUUAGUCUUGGAAUUUAUAAUAUCUUGAAGGUUAGUAGCUUUGAAAAUAAGAAAUUGUUCAUUUGCUAAAAAGUUAACUUAGUAUUUAAGUUUUCCAAUUGAAAAUUGUGAAAAAAGCGUUGAGAACUGGCGCUCCAUGGUAUUUCAGCGGAUAAAUAUGAAAAAUAGGCUAGAAGAAAUUAUUUUACUGAAAUAAGAGUUAAAAAGAGAGGAGAAGUACAGUACUCAUGACUUAGGCUUGCUGUGUGUGCUUAUUCUACUUGGGCUUUGGGCUUGAUUACACAUGUUAUAAUAAUGGGCUUUUCCUUUCACCGCACAUCUAAUAAUUUCCUAACCUUCCAAUUAGGUUAUAGCAAUUUAAAUAUAAAUAAUAAAGCAUACUAAAGCUAGCAUUGAUGUAUGGAUGAGUGCCGUCAAAAGUGUAUCGGUUUUCAUGUAUUAUUUAUUCUCUGAAACAAAUCUGAAUACAAUUCUUUCAAAAUACCGAUGAAAUAGAACAUGAAAUCGGAAAUAUUUUAUUGCGAUGAGAAUUCGUAUAUUCAUUGUAGUAGAACAUAUAAAAUAGAGUAUAAAUUUAUUAUUCUUUGAAACAAACCUGAUUAUAAUUCCUUCAAAAUUAAGUUUGUCAUUAAAUGAUUUCUCAGGAGCCAUACCAAAAGAAAUCGGGAAUUUGACCAAACUCAAGGAAUUAUCUCUCUUCGGUAACAGGCUCCAAGGUGCGCAUGAUCACAGAGUUUAAUUAUGAAAAUUGUUGCAUAAGUUGUAGUAUGAAUAAUGUUCCAUAAUACAGUUUAGACACGUUGAUUAAUUUGUGUUAAUUCAAAAUUUUGUAGCAUCUAAAAAAAUUAAAAACACAUGGAAUAAAUCGUCAAUCUUCUAAUUUGGAUUUCUCAAAAAUUAUCUUGACAAGUAUGCUUCACUAAUGAUAUACAUGUGUGACAACUUCAUAAAAUAUUUUACAUGGAAUCACCAAUUACCUUUAAAUAAUUGGAGAUGCCAUCAGUGAUACAUAAUUUCUUAACAAGUACCUUAUCAAAAGAAAUCAAUAAUUUUAUUAAUCUUAAAAAGUUACAUCUUUACUACAAUUAUGAAAUAAAUUUUUAGUCAUUAAUCGCAUAAUAUUUUAUCUUAACGGAUGAUGUUCAGUAUUGGAAUUUAUAAUACCUUGAAGGUUAGUAGCUUUGAAAAUAAGAAAUUGUUCAUUUGCUAAAAAGUUAACUUAGUAUUUAAGUUUUUCAAUUGAAAUUUUUUUUAAAAGUAUUGAGAAUUGGCCCUCCUUAGUAUUUCAGCGGAUAAAUAUGAAAAAUAGGCUUGAAGAAAUUAUUGUUGUGUGUGCUUAUUCUACUUGGGCUUUGGGCAUGAUUACACGGUCGAGCACUUACACCUGUCAUAAUAAUAGGCUUUUACUUUCACCACACGUUUGAUAAUUUCAAAUUGUUUGCACAUAUGUAAUUUGCAGGAGCAAUUCCACGGGAGUUGGGAAAUAUUACAAGAUUGGGGAUCUUAGCGCUGCCUAAUAAUUUUUUAACCGGUAUCAUUCCUUCAUCUAUCUACAAAUUGCUUUUCUCUAUUAAAUUUGGAACUGUCAUUUAAUAACUUAACAGAUAACUUCCCUUACAACAUGUCUGUGUGACAUGUUUUGCUUCUCAAUUAAAAUAUUUCACGUAUUUCAUUAUAAAUUCUCAUAGGAUGAUGUAUUAUUACUACUAUUUAACAUUAUCUCAUUUUUUAUUAGAAAUUAAUCUGUGUUUAUGCAAAAAAAUUUAGCAUCUAAAAAAAGUAUAAAAACACAUGGAAUAAAUCGAAAAUCUUCCUUCAUUACUGAAUUUGGAUUUCUCAAAAAUUAUCAUGACAGCUAUCUUAGUGUCUUACUAAUGAUAUGCAUGUGUGACAGCUUCAUAAAAUAUUUUACAUAGAAAAUAUGAAAAAUAGACUUGAAAAAAAAUUAUUUUACUGAAAUAAUAGUUAAAAAGAGAGGAAAAGUACAGUACUCAUGACUUAGGCUUGCUGUGUACUUAUUUUACUUGGGCUUCGGGCUUGAUUACACACGGUUGAACACUUACAUCCCCUGACAUAGGCUUUUAGGGAUGAGUGCCGUCAAAUGUGUAUAUGCUUUUAGGUAUUAUUAUUCUUUGAAACAAAUCUGAUUAUAAUUCUUUUAAAAUAUAGAUUAAAUAGCACGUGAAAUCAGAAAAUAUUUUACUGCGAUAAGAAUUCAUAUAUUCAUUGUACUAGCACAUAUAAAAUAGACUAUAAAUUUAGUUCCAAAAUACAUUCUUAUCUUCAUAUAAAUUUUACAUUAUUAACUUAAAUUAAUAUUAAAAUAUGUUGUUUCUUUCACUAUCUUAUUUUAUUUACACAAUGAUGUGACUAUUGGAAUUAAUAUUUGUAUAUUUAAAAUACUUGCAUUUAUUAUAUUUUGAAAAAAAUUUAUUUACAAUUAUUUUAAACCGUUGGAAGUUGGAUUUAAAUUUUUGUAGUUAUUAAAGUCAAAGGGUAUAAAUGUAUAAUAGUCAAAAACAGAUUUGUAUGAUCAUUUUUCAAUGUAUAAAUUUUCUUAGUUAGUAGGAAAAUUAGAAAUUGUUGAUUUACUCAUAAAUAAAUUUAAUGUUUAGCAUUUCAAUUUUGGAAAACUUGAACUAAAUGUUGAUAACUUCGAAUCGGUCGAGCCGAGUUUCGCUUCCUUGACCCACGGACCCAUUGAAAGUUCUAUUCGAAUUGAGUUUCCCGGUGCUUAUAAAAAGCAUUUCUUUUCCUUGUCGUAGUAAUUUAUUUACAAAUGAGUUGAUUAGCAUCGAAGUUACCUGAGAGUCUGAGACCAUGCUAGUAGGAGAAAUUUGAAAAUAAAUUAUUUUACUGAAUUAAUUUAUUUUAUCUUGCUGUAACUGAAAUACUACUUUUUUUUUGGGCUGUCAUUUGGGCUUGAUUUCCUUUAAUAGUAGUAGCCACCGACUUAGGCCUUUUUUACUUCUCACCACACAAUUUGAUUUUUUAAUUCGUUUUAACCACAUAAUCUAUCUAUUUCUCACCUAUUGCUUACUUAAAUCGCAUACAUAUUUUACCUACUAAUUUUUAUAAAUAUUAGUCAAAUAUAUUUUAUUACGUUCCUCUAGUAACUGCUCCAAAUGUGUACUAUUAAUACUUAACCCUCCCUUUUAAUUUACCGUGCAAUUUAUCUAUCACUUAAGUCACAUAUAUAUUUUACCUAUAUUUUAACCCAAAAAAUAUAAAAAUAAAAGAAAGCAAUUUGCAUAUAACUAACAAAGCAUCGACGGUGUAUAGCAUUUCAAUACUUCACGAGUGGCUUUUCUUGUGUGUUAGUACUUGUAAUAAUUGUGUAGCGUAUAAAUGACAUUUUAUUAUUAAAGUGCAUCCAUUUUUAAAUAUUACUUAUUAUUUGAAAAAUAAACUGAAUAUAAUUCUUUUAAAAUACAGGGGAGAUACCACUUGAAAUUGGUAAUCUCCAAAAUCUGGAGGAGUUGGACCUUGGUCUAAACAAAUUAAUUGGUACUGUCCCAGCUACAAUCUUUAAUGUGUCAACACUGAAAUUACUUCUGCUUGAACAUAAUUCUCUCCUGGGAAGUCUUUCGUCCAUCGCAAACGUCCGACUACCAAAUCUUGAAGAGCUUCUUUUGUGGGGUAAUAAUUUCAGUGGCACAAUUCCUCGUUUCAUCUUUAAUGCUUCUAAGCUCUCUAUACUAGAGUUGUCAAAGAACUCAUUCUCCGGUUUUAUUCCCAACACAUUUGGCAACUUAAGAAACCUUAACUGGCUCUAUUUGAAUGAUAAUAAUUUGGCAUCUUCAACUCCAGAAUUGAGCUUUCUAUCCUCGUUGUCAAAUUGCAAGUCUUUAACACAUAUUGCGUUAUCACAUAAUCCACUAGAUGGCAUUCUUCCAAGGACGUCUGUCGGUAAUCUUUCUCAUUCUUUGAAAGAAUUUUACAUGUCCAAUUGUAAUGUUAGUGGCGGCAUCCCUGAAGAGAUCACCAACUUGACCAACUUGACAACCAUUUAUUUAGGGGGCAAUAAAUUGAAUGGAUCAAUUCCGAUUACUCUCAGCAAAUUACAGAAGCUUCAAGGUUUGGGUCUUGAAGAUAACAAAUUAGAAGGAUCAAUCCCAGAUAGUAUUUGUCAUUUGACUGAACUGUAUGACUUGAAGUUGGGUGGCAAUAAGCUUUUUGGAUCAAUCCCUGCAUGCUUCAAUAAUCUGGAUUCUCUGAGGAUACUGUCGUUGGGUUCCAAUGAGUUAACUUCUAUUCCCUUAACUUUUUGGAACCUUAAGGAUAUCUUGUACCUCAACUUUUCUUCAAAUUUUUUUACUGACCCACUCCCAUUAGAGAUUGGAAAUUUGAAGGUUUUGAUUGGAAUUGAUUUUUCGAUGAAUAAUUUUUCAGGCGUUAUCCCAACAGAAAUUGGAGGCCUAAAAGAUCUAGAAUAUCUCUUCCUAGGAUAUAAUAGAUUGCAAGGAUCGAUUCCUGAUUCAUUUGGUAAUUUGAUAAGUUUGAAGUUCUUGAAUUUGUCCAAUAAUAAUCUCUCUGGGGCAAUUCCUGCAUCUUUAGAGAAACUCUCAUAUCUUGAAGAUCUAAAUCUUUCUUUCAACAAGUUAGAAGGAGAAAUUCCUAGGGGAGGAUCUUUUGGAAACUUCUCAGCUGAAUCAUUUGAAGGAAAUGAAUUAUUAUGUGAUUCACCUAAUUUACAAGUCCCGCCAUGCAAAACUAGCAUCCACCACACAUCAUGGAAAAUUUCUCUUCUCCUGGGGAUUGUCUUGCCAUUGAGUACUACAUUUAUGAUAGUAGUCAUUUUGUUAAUCCUAAGAUAUCGACAGAGAGGAAAACAACCAUCGAAUGAUGCUAAUAUGCCACUAGUAGCAACGUGGAGAACAUUUUCAUACCUAGAACUUUGUCGAGCAACAGACGGAUUCAGUGAAAACAAUCUAAUCGGCAAAGGAGGGUUUGGCUCCGUUUAUAAGGCAAGACUUGGGGACGGGAUGGAGGUUGCAGUGAAAGUCUUCAAUUUGCAAUGUAGAAGAGCAUUUAAGAGUUUCGAUGUUGAAUGUGAAAUGAUGAAAAGUAUUCGCCAUCGAAACCUUAUCAAAGUUAUUAGCAGUUGUUCAAAUGAAGAGUUUAAAGGGUUGGUAUUAGAAUACAUGCCUCAGGGAAGUUUGGAGAAGCAUUUGUAUUCGAGUAACUGCAUUUUGGAUAUUUUUCAAAGACUGAACAUAAUGAUAAAUAUUGCAUCAGCUUUGGAAUAUCUGCACUUUGGUUGUUCAACUCCAGUAAUUCAUUGUGACUUAAAGCCCAGCAAUGUAUUGUUAGAUGAUAAUAUGGUUGCUUAUUUGAGUGAUUUUGGCAUCGCGAAGCUCUUAAUUGGAGAAGAUCAGUCUAUGACUCAGACGCAAACACUUGCCACAAUAGGUUAUAUGGCACCAGGUUUGUUCGAUAUAAAUAUUUUCUAUUUCUUGCAAACUUCCUAAUAAGUUAUUUAUGUUUCAUAAUCUUCAUUAGAUGAGGAAAUUAUUAUUAAUGAUAUAUCUUACUAUGUAAAUGUUGCAAUUCAUAGAGUAUGGAAGAGAAGGACGAGUAUCCACAAAUGGAGAUGUUUAUAGCUUUGGAAUUAUGUUAAUGGAAACUUUUACCGGGAAGAAACCCACAGAUGAAAUUUUUAAUGGAGAAAUGACAUUAAAACAUUGGGUUAAUGAUUGGCUACCCAUUUCCACUAUGGAAGUUGUUGAUGCUAAUUUGCUAAGUCAGGAGGACGUACAUUUUGUUGCAAAGGAGCAAUGUGUGUCAUUUGUCUUCAAUUUGGCUAUGGCUUGCACUGUGGAAUCUCAUGAGCAGAGAAUCAAUGCAAAAGAAAUUGUAACAAAGCUCUUAAAAAUUAGAGGCUCAUUACUUAGAAAUGUUGGAGGCAGAUGUCUAAGACAAUCAAAUUUAAAUUGAUUCUGCCCCUCCAUUGCUUGCUAUCCUUUUCAGAGACUUGAACGGUCAUCCUUCAUACCAGUUUUGUUGAUAUGUUUUGUUAUUGCUCUUGCUCAUGUUUGUUUCUCUAUUUCUUUAAUUUGCAUGCAUGUAUUUUUCAUUCUCUUUUAUGUCCUCCCCUAAUUAGACGUAUCCUUUUUAUGUUUAUUCAAUAAAGCUUCUCUAAUACUAUCGAGGUUCAUCAAAAGAAAAUUUUAAAUUAAUUUUUCUUUUCUAUGUUAGAUAAUGAAAUUCUAAUCUUCAUAGUGAAUAACUUCAAUAAUAAAGUGUAAGAGUAUUAGUAGUUAUGGUUGUUUUCUGAACCUGAAGUCAAGAGCAAUUUAACAGCAACAAACAAGUCUCUUGUAUUAUAGGCAAAAUUCUUUUCAUUAAUCUUAUUUGUCUACAUGUUCUCCUAUUUUCUCCAUUAAUCUUCGCUCAAGGUUUCAUGCUUCCUCUUUGAUAAAGAAAAAUAUACUUGCGAAUAUUUCAAUUUGACAUGAGAGACAGUUUUGCCAACCAUUUGAUAAAAUAGCUAUGAGUGGAGCUUUCAAUCAUUACCUCCACCAAAAUCCUUACAACGCCACUUUUAAAUUUUAUUUUUUAAAAUACAUUCAGUUUAAUUUAAAAAAAAUAAAUCCAUUUGUUAAAUUUAAUCUUUUUCUCAUAAAUUUCAACCUAAAAAAUAAAUUUCUUUUAAAUUUUUAUUAUAAAAUACUUACAAGUUCUAAACUAUUAAAUUAUUUUCUUCUUAUUAUAUUGUUUAUAUCUUCAUAACUCUAAACUCCUAUAAUUUCUUAAAAAACAUUUUUUAAUUUAAAAUAUAAAUAUAAAAUAUAGAAUGGAGUGAGUAUAAAAAAACUUGUUAAAAUAAUAAUUCUUUUAAGUAUUUAACUGAAUUUUAAAUUAAAAUAAGAAAUAAAUUAAUUUUUGGGAAAUAUUUAACCUACCCCAAAUAAAUUGACAUUUUGCACCGCGUCCCCAAAAAAUUUGAUUUGUUGCACCGCGCCCCCAAUUCCGUUAUUUUCUCAGUUAAGUUUAACUGUGAGACAUUAAAAUUGGAAGUUUAUUCCUUAAAUUACUUUUAAUGGGAAUUCUCUUUAUUGCAAUUGAAAUAAAAAUCUUAAAAAGUUAAAGGAAAAAUAAUUGUGGUGACAAUGUACAUGUAAUAAGAAAUUUUUUUUUAUUGCAAUUGAAAUAAAAAUCUUAAACAAAUUAAAGGAAAAAUAAUUGUGGUGACAAUGUACAUGUAAUAAGAAAUUUUUUUUAUUGCAAUUGAAAUAAAAAUCUUAAACAAAUUAUAGGAAAAAUAAUAGUGGUGACAAAUGUACAUGUAACAAGAAAUUUUUUUUAUUGCAAUUGAAAAUUAAAGGAAAAAUAAUAGUGGUGACAAUGUACAUGUAACAAGAAAUUUUUUUAUUGCAAUUGAAAUAAAAACCUUAAAAAAAUUAAAUGAGCUAAAAAAAUUUCAUAAAGAGGGGUAUUUUUGUCAUUCAAUCAAAAGUUAGACGGAACCGUUAGAAAUAACUGAAAAAUUAACAGAAUUGGGGGCGCGGUGCAACACAUCAUUUUGUUUGGGUGUGCGGUGCAAAAUGUCAAUUUAUUUGGGAGUAGGUUAAAAAUUUCCCUAAUUGUUUUUAUUAGUUAAGUAAUUUUCAAUUGAAAAAGAGCUUUAUGAGUAAUAUUAUUGAAAUAUGAUUAAAAUUCUUAUGAAUUAAACAUUUUCGUAUAAAUACUAGUGAUAAUUAUAGAGAAAGUACGAUGAAGUGAAAAAACUUAAAUAUAAAUACUCUAGUAUAAUUUUACACAUGCAACUUAUGAACCAAUGAUCUUUAGAGCAUCAUAAAAUUGUUUUAACACAAUUAAUUGGUUUGAAAAAUUGCCAAUAAUGUCUACAGUGGGAUUUAAAAGAUUAAACUACAUAUAUAAGACAUGAUAUCAUUUAAGACGGCUUACAGAUUAUGAGAAAUAUUUUGAUCUUCUAAAUAUUUAAUAUGUCAAUUAGACUGAGUCUAUGCAAUAAAAAUUUCAAAUAAAAAAACCUUUUAUUUUGUUUUAAUCAUAAGUGUGAUCUUAAUUAUUAAAGUCAUUUAAUGUCCAUUACUUAUUCAUUUUUUUAAUUACCUAAAUGACAUUGAAAACGCUACUCAAUAUUAAUUCAUUCAAAUGUUUUGUUUUAAGGUAAUCGGAAACUACAAAUGAAACAAAUACUUGAAAUCACAAACGGCCUAAAAAUAGAUUUUCAUUUUUCAAUGUUGCAGUGACUUUGAUCUUGAUAUUGAAAAUUUAUUUGUAACUUAUAUAAAGGCCUCAAUUUUAUCAUAAUUGGUUAGUAAGGCUAUGUAGGGAGCAUCGAUAAAUUUUGGGAUUGGAUUAUAUUUUUGGAAUUAAAAAAUUAAUUUCAUCCAAUGUUAUGUUUAGCUGUCAGGACUAGCAACUUAAUCUAAAAUUAUUGAAAUUAUUAAUCUUUUAUACUAUAAUCUUUUCGUUCCCACUUUAAAUAUUAUUGGUAACUUAAAUCAUUUUUUAAAAUUAAAUAUAAAAAUUAAUUUAAUUUAAUCUAAAAAUCAUUUAAAUUAAAUAUUAACAUUAAUUUCAUAAUUUUUUUACCUAGAAUUUUAUACCAUAUUAAAUACUAAAAUUAUAUUCGAUAAUGUAUUAUCAUUUAUUUAAGGGAAAAUAUCCAUCGUCCACCCGUUUUUUUCAACUUUUUCAAAAAUACACAAUUCCUUCUUUUUUUGGCUGGAAUCCACCUAAAGUUAAAUUUGUUUCACUUUUCCACUUCCGUUUGGAAUCCGUUAAGAAAACUAACAGAAACUUAAAAAAAUGACCAUUUUACCCCUUAAAACGAAAAUUACAAUUUCACCUUAAAAAUUGCCAAAAAUAAUCAAAUUAAAUCUAAUUAUUUUCCCCAUCAGUCAAUAAAGAAAUUAAUUGUACAACCAUCAAAUGCAGGUUUUUUUUUUAAAUAUGUCUGUAAUUAAAAUGCUAAAUUAUAGCAGUAAUAUUAAAAAUAGCCCAAUCUCGCAAACCAUCAAUUGAAUUUAAGAUAAGUAGAGUUUUAUUAUUCAUUGAGUUAUAAUCUCUAGUAGUUAAGAUUUUUUUAUACUUCAUUAACGUACCAAUAAUGAUAUUCAUCAUUAAAUCUAAUUAUUUUUGGCAUUUUUAGGGUGAAAUUGUAAUUUUUGUUUUGAGGGUAAAAUGGUCAUUUUUUUAAGUUUCCGUUAGUUUUCUUAACGGAUUCCAAAAGGAAGUGGAAAAGUGAAACAAAAUGUAACUUUAGGUGGAUUCCAGUCAAAAAAAAGAAGGAAUUGUGUAUUUUUGAAAAAAUUAUAAAAAAUGGGUGGACAAUGGAUAUUUUCUCUUUAUUUAAUAAAUGUUUAGGUUUUAGUAUGUUAUAUUAUUAUUUAAAUUAAUCUUGUAAUUUUAAUAUGGGCAAAUUAGAUAGUCCAGUGAAUAAGAGACUGAUUCCCAACCAUCCUAAGAAUUAGUCUCUCAUUUUUUAUUUCUAAUUUGAUGUGGGUCCUGUUAUUUCGAUUUCAAUUCUUACAUUUAUUUGUGAGACAAAACUAUGGUGCAACUGUGGUACAAUUAGAUCCAGCCACAGUUGUCACCAUAACUAGAUCCACAAUUACACCAUAACCGGGCCCUUAUUUGUGAAGUAAAAUGGUGUUAAUAAUUUUGAUUUCCAAUUCGAGAAGUAAACACGUCAUAAUAUUUUUUUAGAUGCUUCUAUGGCAUAAUCUCAUUGGGUCCAUUUUUGUUCACGCCUUAGAUUCAGCUUCAAGAUUCAAGACUCAAUUUGAAGCAAACACAACUACAAAACAAAUAUAAUAAGCGUUAAUAAGCCUGUGGCUGACUAGCUGUGGCCAAGCAAAUGUAACUCAUAGUGACCGAAUCAUAUCUUAUUAUCUUAUGCCAUAGGCAAAUGCUAUGUUACAAUUAAUGUAACAUACAUACUCAACAACAACCACACAAAUUGUGUGGGCUCAUCAUUUGUGUGGUUAUUAUUGAGUGUGUAUGUUACAUUAAUUGUAACAUAGGGGCUCCCUAUGCCAUAAGCUAAACAAUGUUCCCAUUCCAUGUGUCACUCUCUGACCAAUCCCGAACUUUCUUCAUAUUUCCAAAGAAACCCUCACCAAGUCAAGAUAAUUACUUUCACUCUACUCAUAUAAAUACUGUCCUCGAUUCGACUGAUGUCUGAUGACGACAUAUCCUUAGUCUUUAUUUAAAAGGGGAAAUUAUAAAAAAUUCUCCUUGUUCCCUAAAAAUCUAGGGUUUCUCAAGAAUCGCUAAACCUAGAUCCCAAUCCUUCAAAAUCUCAAUUUAACCUCUCUAGGGUUUCAAUUGUCGAGGAUUCGCUUCAAAAUUUAGUAUUUUUGGGGGAUUUUGCUUGUCUCGUAUCCUCCAAUUGUUGUUCGG
Molecule: long non-coding RNA, 90696 nt
Filed under: Citrus maxima (pomelo)
Lineage: Eukaryota; Viridiplantae; Streptophyta; Magnoliopsida; Sapindales; Rutaceae
Description: long non-coding RNA (CMAX_LNC000185)
Source: RNAcentral